GGACGAUAGCCUUUAACGGAAAGAUCUUGAAAAUUCUCUUUUGCAUCUAUAAGUCUUCCACUUUUGCAUAGGCCAUCUAUAAGUAUAUUGUAAGUGAAUAUAUCUGGAUCAAUGCCACUCUCUUUCAUUUCCUUGAAUGCCUCGUUAUUUUUGAACAUCCCAUCCAACAAUGAACUGUAAGUGACUACAUUAGCGGGUUGACCUCUAUGAUGCAUCUCGAUAAGAAGGAUAAGAAGCCGGGAGAUUCUCUUUGAUUUGCUCAAGCCAUCAAUAAGAGUGCUGUAAGUUACCGUGUCUGGAACCAAGUUCUUGCGAUGCAUUUCUUCAAAGAGAUUCAAGGCUUCAUCGACCAUUUUACUUUUGCAGAAGCCAUUAAUCAUGAUACUGUAACUUNNNNNNNNNNNNNNNNNNNNNNNNNNNNNNNNNNNNNNNNNNNNNNNNNNNNNNNNNNNNNNNNNNNNNNNNNNNNNNNNNNNNNNNNNNNNNNNNNNNNNNNNNNNNNNNNNNNNNNNNNNNNNNNNNNNNNNNNNNNNNNNNNNNNNNNNNNNNNNNNNNNNNNNNNNNNNNNNNNNNNNNNNNNNNNNNNNNNNNNNNNNNNNNNNNNNNNNNNNNNNNNNNNNNNNNNNNNNNNNNNNNNNNNNNNNNNNNNNNNNNNNNNNNNNNNNNNNNNNNNNNNNNNNNNNNNNNNNNNNNNNNNNNNNNNNNNNNNNNNNNNNNNNNNNNNNNNNNNNNNNNNNNNNNNNNNNNNNNNNNNNNNNNNNNNNNNNNNNNNNNNNNNNNNNNNNNNNNNNNNNNNNNNNNNNNNNNNNNNNNNNNNNNNNNNNNNNNNNNNNNNNNNNNNNNNNNNNNNNNNNNNNNNNNNNNNNNNNNNNNNNNNNNNNNNNNNNNNNNNNNNNNNNNNNNNNNNNNNNNNNNNNNNNNNNNNNNNNNNNNNNNNNNNNNNNNNNNNNNNNNNNNNNNNNNNNNNNNNNNNNNNNNNNNNNNNNNNNNNNNNNNNNNNNNNNNNNNNNNNNNNNNNNNNNNNNNNNNNNNNNNNNNNNNNNNNNNNNNNNNNNNNNNNNNNNNNNNNNNNNNNNNNNNNNNNNNNNNNNNNNNNNNNNNNNNNNNNNNNNNNNNNNNNNNNNNNNNNNNNNNNNNNNNNNNNNNNNNNNNNNNNNNNNNNNNNNNNNNNNNNNNNNNNNNNNNNNNNNNNNNNNNNNNNNNNNNNNNNNNNNNNNNNNNNNNNNNNNNNNNNNNNNNNNNNNNNNNNNNNNNNNNNNNNNNNNNNNNNNNNNNNNNNNNNNNNNNNNNNNNNNNNNNNNNNNNNNNNNNNNNNNNNNNNNNNNNNNNNNNNNNNNNNNNNNNNNNNNNNNNNNNNNNNNNNNNNNNNNNNNNNNNNNNNNNNNNNNNNNNNNNNNNNNNNNNNNNNNNNNNNNNNNNNNNNNNNNNNNNNNNNNNNNNNNNNNNNNNNNNNNNNNNNNNNNNNNNNNNNNNNNNNNNNNNNNNNNNNNNNNNNNNNNNNNNNNNNNNNNNNNNNNNNNNNNNNNNNNNNNNNNNNNNNNNNNNNNNNNNNNNNNNNNNNNNNNNNNNNNNNNNNNNNNNNNNNNNNNNNNNNNNNNNNNNNNNNNNNNNNNNNNNNNNNNNNNNNNNNNNNNNNNNNNNNNNNNNNNNNNNNNNNNNNNNNNNNNNNNNNNNNNNNNNNNNNNNNNNNNNNNNNNNNNNNNNNNNNNNNNNNNNNNNNNNNNNNNNNNNNNNNNNNNNNNNNNNNNNNNNNNNNNNNNNNNNNNNNNNNNNNNNNNNNNNNNNNNNNNNNNNNNNNNNNNNNNNNNNNNNNNNNNNNNNNNNNNNNNNNNNNNNNNNNNNNNNNNNNNNNNNNNNNNNNNNNNNNNNNNNNNNNNNNNNNNNNNNNNNNNNNNNNNNNNNNNNNNNNNNNNNNNNNNNNNNNNNNNNNNNNNNNNNNNNNNNNNNNNNNNNNNNNNNNNNNNNNNNNNNNNNNNNNNNNNNNNNNNNNNNNNNNNNNNNNNNNNNNNNNNNNNNNNNNNNNNNNNNNNNNNNNNNNNNNNNNNNNNNNNNNNNNNNNNNNNNNNNNNNNNNNNNNNNNNNNNNNNNNNNNNNNNNNNNNNNNNNNNNNNNNNNNNNNNNNNNNNNNNNNNNNNNNNNNNNNNNNNNNNNNNNNNNNNNNNNNNNNUAUUAUAAAUUAAUAAAUCAAACUAAAUGAUAUAAUGAAUUCUAAUUAAUUAAUUGGUAUAAAUUAUAAUAAAUUAUAUGAUAUUUAAAAAAUAAAAUGAAUAAGAAGAAAACAAAAUGAAAUAAAAGAGAUAGAAGACUACAAUAAAAUAAAUUCAGUGAGAGUUUUUUUUAUAUAAAUUUCAUAUCACAUCCGUUUCAAUAAUAAUAAAUAAAAAUACGUCAACUUGAUAUCUAAGAGAAAAUGAUGAAAUAAAAUCAUAAUACAAUUCUAAAGUAAAAGCUGAAAUUAGACCAUAAUAUCAUUGCACAACACAAAUUGAAAGUAAUUUUACACUACAAUAUACUACACAAACAGGUAAAUGACUUAAGUUUAAAUAUGAUUUUUUUUUAUUUAUGCAUACAUGAUAACACCAUGGUCUAUAAAUACUUCAUAGAUAACAUAUCUUAUAUAGCUCCGAAUGAUGAGCACGAAAGUUGGAGAGUGUGGUAGUUUGUGUCCACGAUAGUUGCCUUCUUGCAACGACGCCUCAUAGGAAGAAAAAAAAAUUGUUGUAAAAGUUAUCAAAUGAAAGAGUAAUUAGUAAACGAAUGGUAUUUUCUUCUAGCAUACAUGGUCUUUUAUAGUGAUAAAAUAAAAAUGGAAGGAAUUAAAUUUUAUAUUUCUAUAUUAGGAAUAGAAUUUGAUAUUUAUCCUAAUAAAAUUAUUAUUAUUAUCAAUAUAAAUGGGUUAACAACUUGCUAUUAAUAAAAUCAUUGGAUAAUGAAUAAGAAUUAGAAGGAUAUUAAUAUAAUUAAAAUGAAUAUAAUUAAAAUGUUUAAAAAUAUUUUCGAUUGACAAUUAGUUUAAUAAUGUAUUAAAUAUUAAUUAUAUAUUCCUAAAUUAGAAUAAUUAUGCAUUAUUCAUUAAAUACUAAUUGUAUCUUACUUUCUUUUAUCAAUUCAAUAAGCCUCUAGCAACCAUUUCCCGAAGAAGUUUCUCCGCCAUGUCAUUCUCAUCUUUUUCAAACAAAGCACGAAUAAUAGUUUCAAAAGUCACAGCAUCUGGUAAGCAACCAUUGCCUUCCAUUUUUGACAAGAGUGCCAAUGCUUCUUCAAACAAGCCCUCUUUGCAGAGCCCAUUGAUCAUAAUAUUGUAUGUCCUCACAUUUGGAGGAUAGCCUUUAACGGAAAGAUCUUGAAAAAUCUCUUUUGCAUCUAUAAGUCUUCCACCUUUGCAUAGGCCAUCUAUAAGUAUAUUGUAAGUGAAUAUAUCUGUAUCAAUGGCACACUCUUUCAUUUGAUUGAAUAACAUAAAUGCCUCGUUAGGUUGUUGGUUUUUGAACAUCCCAUCCAACAAUGAACUGUAAGUGACUACAUUAGCGGGUUGACCUCUAUGAUGCAUCUCGAUAAGAAGCUCCAAAGCACGGGAGAUUCUCUUUGAUUUGCUCAAGCCAUCAAUAAGAGUGCUGUAAGUUACCGUGCCUGGAACCAAGUUCUUGCGAUGCAUUUCUUCAAAGAGAUUCAAGGCUUCAUCGACCAUUUUACUUUUGCAGAAGCCAUUAAUCAUGAUACUGUAACUUCGAACAUUGGGCAACACUCUAAUUUGGGCCAUUGUGUUGAAUAUAUAUUUUGCCCUAUUUACCUGAUUAACCAAACAAUAUCCAUCCAUUAAGCUGUUAUAAGUAACCACAUCUAGUUUCACACCAUGUUUUGCCAUUACAGCCAAUACACUCUUAGCAUCUUUGAUCUUUCCUUCCUUGCAUAGCCCAUCAACCAAAGUAUUAUAGGUAUAAACAUUAGGAGUAAUGUUUCUAAGCACCAUAUCACUUAACAAAUCAAUGGCUUCCUUAUAUUGACCCAUAAGACACAAUCCAAAAAUGAGAGAACUGUAUGUGAUAACAUUAGGAGAAAUUCCCUUAGCAAGCAUUUCAGAAAAUAAUUGAAAAGCCUGACUUACAAGUGUAUCCUUGCAGAGGCUAUCAAUAAUUGCGUUGUACAUGAAGACAUUAGGAGCAAUGCCAUACCGUGGGAUCUUUCUCAACACUUGAAUAGCAGCUGACGUGUGUCCGGUCUUACACAGCCCAUUGAUCAAGGUCCCAUAAGUGACUUGAUUAAACUGAAAUCCAUGAGCCAGCACUCUAUCAUGAAAGCUCACUGCUUUUUCAACACUACCACAGAGAAAGAGGCCUUUAACGAGUGUAUUCAAUGUUACCGUAUCAGGUUGAUAAUCCAUUCUGAAAAUCUUGGCCAAUACAGAGAAAGCAAGCGUCAUACGACCCAUGCCGCAACAACAAUUAAUUACGAUGCUCAAAGUAAAUAAGUCGGGAGCGAUUCCCCUGGCUUGCAAUUGCUGAAAAAGGGAAAUGGCGGUGGAGAAAUGGUUGGUCUUGGCAAGAGAUCCCAAAAUCUUGGUGAAUUGAAUGAUGGAUGGAGGGCGACGCAUAGAGAGCAUGCGAGUGAAGGAAUCAACAGCUUCAUCAACUUCACGAAGGCAUGGGGGCUCAGAAUGAGAGUGAAGGGAUGAAGAGGACGGGAAGGAAACAAAAUUAGGGAUUUGGAGAAGAGAAUACCUAGAAAUGAAAGUGAUCCUUGAGGUUGAGGAUGACAACAUUUUAGUGUUUCGCACUUUCGCUGUUGUCUAAGUUUGAGGGAGUUUGCUAACUCUGCGGAAAUAGUCCUCUGUUUCCAACACCCCCCAUACUAAUGAAAGGUCUCCAGACUCCAGUCCCGUUUUACUUGGGUUCUGUUGAUUUUUUUUUAUCAAUUUUAUGAAUUGGACGCAUAUACCAAAUAAAUUACAAGGCUUGGGGGAGUAAUGGUUUCAUUAUGCUCGAGAAAAAAUGGUGAUCUAUCAGACAACAACAACGACAACAAUAACAAUAAAAUUUAAUUAUUUUGUUAGUAUUUAUAAUUUUAUUAAAUUUUUAAUUUUUAGAAUUUAAAAAAUUAUAAUUAAAUUUUUAUAUUAAAUAAAAAUUUAUAAUUAAUUUGUAAUUAAGUCCUCAAUAAUAUUUAUUGUAAAAAAAACGUACAUUUAUCAUAAUAUCCUUUUCUUUUUCUUCUCUCUUUUUUUCCUCCUCUUCUCUUCAACGUUUUUGUUCUUCUUCUUUAACAAUAAUACGACUUUAGCAACAACAAUGUCAAAAUUAUUACUGAUGACCAAAUUCAUUAACACAUAGUAAAAACCAAAAUUAACAAUAAUUAUACAAAUUACCACGAUAAUGUGCAUUAUUAACAUGAAUGAACUCAAUUCAACUCAUCCCAAUUAUAUUUAUAUUAUCAAUAAUUAAAAUAUUUUCCUCAUCAUAAACAAAAUCCUUCUCUCUAACAAGUAACAACUCAAUCUUACUAAUCAAAUCCCUCAUAGUAUGCCUCUAGAUCCUAUCCAUAGACACAUAUCGAUCCAAGAACUCACGAUCUAUCAACGUCUUUCCCUCCACCACUCCAACACCAUCACCGCCAUCAACCUCAAACACACCGUUUUGGAACGCAGGAAGCUCCUCAUCCUCCAACGCCUCCCCGUCCUUCGCCAUUCGGAUCCUGUUAGGGACCAUCCUAACCCUCUUGCCCUCGCAAACUAAGCUCCGUAGCGUCUCACUUUUUUAGCAACAGAACCACUCGGGUCUGUGGAGGACCUAGACACGGCGUGUGAAGCUGUUUUUGAAAUUAAUGGUGGUAGUGCCGGAAAUACGACGUCAUUUUGGCAGAAUCAAAGACUCUCAUAGUAGUCGACCCAAAAAAAAAGACUCUCAUAGUAGGGACCAAUUUGCAAUUUCAUUAAAAGUAUAGGGACCAACUGUAUAAUUUUUUGGUGAACAACCAAGAGUAAAAAACAAAAGAGCAGAAAAGAAAAAGAAAAGAAAUCAGGUUCUUAACAGUAAGAGAGGACAAACCACCUCUGGCGGCUGGUGCCAAAGGUGAACCUCAUCAGCUCCGCUACCUCAAGAUCCCAUCUUUGCCAACCGAUCUGCCACGACAUUAGCUUCUCUCGGGAUAAGCUCAAAACAAAUAUCUCAAUCCCUUCUUAACUUCAAGUCAAAGAUCAAUUGUAUCACUUCUUUUUCAAGAUGCCAGAGUGGAACUUGCCAACCAGUUACUAGCUCAAAAGCUGCUGCGCAAUCUGUCUCACAGACAACAAGCUUAAGACCCGCCUCCCAAGCCCAAGCCAAACCUUUCCAUAUACUCCACAACUCCAUCUUGAUGACACUAGAUCCAAAGAAAUUUCUUGAGCAUCCCAUUACCCAUUGACUGGAGCUAUCGCGAAUUACCCACCCAAAACCAGCACAAUCAUCUCCCAAGUUCACACUCUCAUCACAAUUUAACUUCCAAGCACCAGGUUCUGGCGGAGACCAAGACAGAGAUUUUAAUCCCUGGAUGCAACACACUCGAUUCUGAGUUGUAUAUUCAAAAUCCACCAUGCACCUGUGAGCCUUGUAUGCAAUUGACCCAGCAGAUCCAAAAACUCCCUGAAAAUUACCCAUAUUUCUGUCUAGUCAAAUUGACCAUAUUAUAGCUGCAAAUUUGGAACAACCUGCAUUGAGGAGGCCAUGCUUGAACCAAUCAUGCACCUCUUGAGAGCCAAAGAAACACACAUAAGAAAAACCUAGAGAAACCCAAACUGAUCGCACCACUUCACAAUCCCGAAAACAAUGAAGAAUUGUCUCCAGAAGUUGAUUGCAACGUGUACAUAAGGAUGAGGAGGAGAGAUGUCGCUGAAAACGCAGAUAUUGAGUUGGUACAGCAUCAUGAAGGCAAAGCCACACUAGGAGCCUCAACUUUUCAGGGACCCGCGCCUUCCAAAGCCAAAGCCAAUUGAUAUUCCUAUCCCAAUUCAACUUAUUCCGAAUUAACCAUAAAUAUCCUUGUUUAGCAAAGUAAAGAGUGUGCUCCCAACUCCAACCCAAAUCACGAUCAGAAGCCGAAAUAUGUACUAAACUAAGAAUGUCUUCCCUUAAGUCCCUAGGAAUAAAAGAAUAAAUCCUCUCCAAAUGCCAAACUCCAUCACGGUAAACAUCUUCAAUGGUCAAAGCAGCCUCAUAGAUAUCAAGAAAUUCAACCCUUGCUCCUACUGGCCCAGAGUGCAACCAAGAUUCAAACCAGAAAUUCUUAGAAAGAUCUCCCACUUCCCAAAGAAACCCUUCCUUUAAUACGGAAGCUGUGUGCACAAUAGACUUCCAUAUAUACGAUGAAGAACCCAUUGCUUUAACUGCAAAUAGGUUUCUAUUCUGGAAGUAUUUCUGAAGCAUAAUCUUGAUCCACAGUUUCUCUUGAUUCAUCAAAAUUUGUCAAACUAGCUUUCCUAAUAAAGAAAAAUUGACCAACCGCGACUCCCGCAAAGCAAGACCUCCAAACUUUUUUGGAGUCGUCAAAACUCUCCAAGAUGCUAAAUGAAGACUACGGUGAUUAUGACUACCACACCAAAUAAAACUUCUAGUAAAUUUAUCAAUGUUAGAGCACACACCUGAUGGAAAAAAGGCUUACUUGCAUCCUAUAAAUAGGUAUAGAAGAUAAAACUGAUUUAGCAAGGCAAAUCCGACCAGCUUUAUUAAGGAAGCGACCUUUCCAAGAUGCUAGCCUAUUAGUAAGCUUAUCAACCACAUCAUUAAAAUCAGCUUUAGUAACUCUCCCAUGCUUGAGGGGGACACCAAGGUAUUUUUCCAGAGAAUUAGCAAAUCGGAUAGAAGAAAUACCAGUGAAGAAAUCCUUGCGUUGUCUAGAAACAUUCAUAGAACAGAUAGCACGAGAUUUGUCAAAAUUCACCUUCAUACCAGAUGCUCUGCAAAAGGUGGCCAUAGUGUCCAAAACAUGAAGCACUUGAGAUUUCUUCGCUUUGCAAAAAAGGAUAAGGUCGUCUGCAAAAGGAGAUGGGAGAUUACAGGACCUCCCCUAGACACAGUCACUGGUUUUCAUCUACCAACCUCCACUUGCCUAGUAAUGAGGCAACUCAACCUCUCCAUACAAAUAACAAAUAAAUAAGGAGACAUCGGGUCUCCUUGCCUCAAACCCCUCUUUGGCUGAAAACCAUCCAACCGGUUACCAUUCCACAUUAGAGAAAGGGAGGAAGACUUUACACAUUUCAUAAUAGGAGAAACAAUAGUACCUGGAAAGCCAAACAUUAGGAGAGAUUGCUCCAAAAACUCCCAGCUCACCCCUGUCAUAAGCCUUUUCUAGGUCAAUUUUAAAAGUAAGAACACCUUUCUUUGAUUUGGUUUUCUUCAUAAAAUGGAGAACUUCCUGGGCUACAAUGAUAUUGUUUGGGGCACCCCUUCCAAGAAUAAACCCUCCCUGCAAAGGGCCAAUGAUAUCUUGUAGAAAAGGUCGUAACCUCUCCACAACUACCUUAGUUAUAAUCUUGUAGAUGACAUUACAGAGGCUGAUAGGACGAAACUCUUUCAUGCAAGACGGGUUAUCAACUUUUAGGAAUCAGCACCACCAAAGUGUCAAACAGAGCACUAUCCAGAUCAAACCCAGCGAAAGCCUUCUUAACAAGUUCCCAUACAUCUGUACCAACCACUUCUCAAUAUUCCUUGAAGAAAAAAGCCUGAAAACCAUCGGCACCUAGGGCCUUAAAAGAGUUCAUGCCCAUAACCACCUUCCUAACCUCUUCUUUAGAAACAUUUCUUGUGAGACUUUCAAUAGCCUCACGAGAUAAAGAAGGUAAUUCCUGAUCCCCAUCACAUCAAGUUCUACCUGUUCCACAUUACAAAAAAGAUCUCUAUAAAAUCCAAUUGCACAUUCUUCGAGUUCUUGCGGAUCAGUACUCCAUCUUCCAUCCUCCAAAAAUAACCCCUGAACCUUGUUACGCUUCCUCCGCAUAAUGGUUUGCAUAUGAAAGAACUUAGUAUUCCUAUCUCCAAAUCUGACCUAGUGCUCUCGGGAUUUUUGAUACCAAAACAACUCCUCUUGCAUAAGCAGAUUACUAUAUUUAGCUUGUAACUCCCUUUUUUCCUGUAUAAGAGAUAAAGCAUCAACUCUCUCCAUUCUCUGUUGGAUACUGGUCACACGCCUCUCUAAUUCCUUCUUUCUUUCAAAAAUAUUCCCAAAUACAUCUCGGUUAAAGGCCAAAGUAUCAUCUCUGACCUGAGAAAAGCAACGAAUAGGAUUGGGUCUACCCUUGUCCCAAGCACCCCUGACCACUGACGAAAAACUUGGGUGAUAAGACCAAGCUACUUGAAAACGAAAAGGUUUUACCCCGACUCUUCUAUCAUUACCUUGACAUCGCAUCAUAAUGGGACAGUGGUCAGAAUGCAUCCUCGUCAAAUUCUCCACAUAGCUUUUCGGAAAACGAAAGCACCAAGCAUCAGUAGCCACAGCCCUAUCCAACCUCUUCGAGAUGAACCGAUUACCCUGCAUAUGCCUGAACCAAGUGUACAAAGAUUCAUGAGCUCCCAAAUCAAUCAAACCACACUCAUCUAGGAGAGCUCCAAACCGCUCUGCCCUUCGAGAGACAAAGUUCCCACCUUUAACCUCGGAUGAAAGAAGGAUCUCAUUAAAAUCCCCAAUAGCUAAUAAAGGACCUGAAUAAUUUCUGGAAAAAUAUGUCAAAACCCUCCAAGCUUCUUCCCUUAUGCUAGGAACGGAACUUGCAUAAAUUGCUGCAUAGACCCAAGAGAAACCGCCAUUCGAAAACUCAACACACACCACUUGCGAACUCGCUGCCACGACAUUGCAAGAUACUCCGGGCCAUGCAGAGAGCACCCAAAUACCUCCACUAUGCCCCUGAGCUUCUUCAAUAUGAAUAGGAGUAUAACCUAAUCUGUUCCAAAAGACAGCCAUCUUUUGGAAAGCACAAUGAGUCUCUAAAAUGAUAAAAACAUACGGAUGAAAAUUCUUUACCAAUUGUUUCAGAUGCACCCGAGCCAGCUUAUUUCUAGCUCCUCUCACAUUCCAAGCUAUAAUGUUUGCACAAUCCAUAUUAAUAUUACUUGGAGUGAGACCCACACCUCAGAUUAUUUGAGGGUAGUGAGUGAGGUCUCCACUGUAACCACACUGUGCCCAUUCUCAACCAGGGAAUUCUGAAGAGAAUUAGGCCUUAAUCUCUUUAAAUUGUUUUUGAAUGGCGUUUUAGAAGUCCCCGCGCCUUGCGAAUAAGCCACUGCCCGUUCUGAACCAGGUCCUUGCUUGCCACUCGUCACACCUUGAGCAGAGGUAAAACCUGACGAAGCUAAUUUAAAGUUCCUCGCUUGUUUUAGCACUUGAUUGCCCUUACUUAUGUGUAAAGAUGAUUCAACCACAUUGAUGCCUUUCAUAGCAGAUUCUCCUUUAGCAACAUAAUUAGAAGAUUUAUCCACAUAAAUUUUUUUGGACUUAUCCUGGUCAUGCCUACCCAAAAAGACCUUCUUGCCCUUUGCCUUUCUUUCCACUUUGGUCCACGUUGUAUCCCCUGCAUGUGCCCCUUCCAUUACAUGCACUUCCUUAUCCUUAUUCUUCUCUAUCCCAAUUGUAGCACUACCAAAAACAAAAGGCUUCUCAAUAUUAGAAGAAAAUGGCACCUGAUCUAUCUUCUCAUGAUCUUGUUCCUUGUCUUCAUUCACCCCUGUUUCAUCAAUGUUCACCGAAAUUGAACUAAUCAAUUUACAGUCCACACUAACAUGCCCAUAACAACCACACGUAUUACAGACCAACUCAAGGCUUUCAUAUUCAACAUCCAAAACCCUCCCAUCAACCUCAACACUACGAGUAAUGGGAACGCCUAAAUCAAUCUCCACACAAGCCCUCGCAUACUUCCCUCUUGCUGCCAUCUUAGUUGCUACAUCGACUUUCACUGGCUUUUCCACCGCAGCGGCAAUCCUCAACAUAGCCUUCUCAUAGUAGUAACGAAUCCCUAAACCGUAAAAGCAUACCCAUACCAUGGUGGAUCCAAAAACCUCCUCCUCUAAAUAAAACUCAGGUGACCAUGGCUUUACAGCAAGAUAGAACCCAGAUAUCAUCCAAGGACCACCAAGUAAUACCCUCUCCCUCUCCCGCUCACUCCGGUUCUUCACCAGAAAAUAACCAUUUCCUACAUCCAGAACUUGAAACAACUUUUAAAAUAUAAAAAACUAAUUAAAAAUUUGAUAAAAUUAUAAAUAUUAAUAAAAUAAUUAAAUAUAAUAAUAAUAACAACAAAGAGAUAUGUUAUCUUUAGAAAAGUAUAAUAUCGACACAUAAUUUUAGGGUUUAUGAUUUAAAAAAUUUGUUGAAUAGUAUAAAGUUAAAAGAGGCUGAAUUAGUAUGUUUGAAGUAGUUAACAUCACACUUACCAUAAUUUUGCUGAUACACCUAAUAUAACUUAAUAUACACCUGUUUAUAAAAUUUUGUCCAACUCUACUAUAUAUUUUUUUGAGUGAAGUAGAAGACCAAAAAUAUUUAAUAUUAUGCUAGGAAAGAAUAUAUUAGAAAAUUUAUACUUAGACAAUAUUCAUGCUCUAACAAUUAAUUAAAGUUAAUUUUUGUUUCUGCCUCUUGAUAAUUAUUUAUUUAUAUUAAAAAAAUUAUCAAACAAUAUUGACAAAUCAACUUAUCAUUGGGAAAAGAUUGAAUGAAAUAAAUAAAAAAUUGUCACCUAAAAAAAUAUUGCACUCCAUAGCUAUUAGUUAUUAUCAUUAAAAUUAGGGACGCUAAAUAAUAAUUUUUUACCAAGAAACAAUGACUGCUCUUUAGGUCUGUUAAUUUCAAUAAAUUUUUUUAAUGUGAAUUCAUUCAAGGUUUAAUUAUUCUGUUAGUUCUUAUAGUUUCGCAAAAUUUUUAAUUAGGUCCCUAUACUUUUUUUUCUUUUAAUUGGGUCUCUAUACUAAUUUUUUUUUCAAUUAGGUCUCUCUUAGUAGUAAUUGAUUUAAUUAUAUAGGGACCCAACUAAAAAAAAUUGGUGCAGAAACUCAAUUGAAAAAAAAAUUGGUGCAGGGACCCAAUUAAAAGGAAAAAAAAGGUAUAGAGACCUAAUUGAAAAUUUUGCGAAACUAUAGAAACUAACAAAGUAAUUAAACUUUCAUUCAACAACAUGUAUUUCUAAAUAUUUUUUUUUUUUGUAAAAUGUAUUUGUAAACAUUAAGGACCUUGGGAAGCUUCAAAAAUAAUUUUUUUGAACUUUUAACUUUUGAAAAGUAGUAGUAUUAAUGUCAAGUACAAUUUUCAAAAUCAAAUUGCAACUUUCUAAGAAGAUAUUUAAGAGCUUAUAGAGAAGUUUAAAAAAUGAUUUCUCUCAUAAUACUACUACUUUUUAUCACAUUUCUAUAAAAUAAGCACUUUUAGAAUUAAAAAUUCAAAUACAAAAUAAUUUAUUUAUAAAUUAUUUUUAAUAUAAUUAUUUAUUAUUUAAGCUAUUUUUUUUAAAAAAUUCUGCAGAAGACCAAAUCUAAGUCCCAAUAAAUAAACCCCCAAAGAGAUUCUAAUAUACAUCAUUCCAAAAAAAUCUCACAAGAAGCAGAGAAAAAAUAUAGUAACAAUAAUUAAUAAAAUUAAAAAAAACACACAAAAAGGGUCUCUGAGGCCCAUCCGUAAAAAAACUUCACUAAUUAUUUAUCCUAUAGAAGAAACAAAACUUCUGUAACGAAGCAGAAAAGCUAUCGAAGACUAGGUAAAUGGACACACGAUUCGGUGGUCGAGGAACCUUUGGACCACUUAGUAAUCCAAGUAGAAAACAUGUUUUUGGAGUUUUUUUAUCAAUUACUACAUAGUGUGUGUUUGGAUUACAGUUUGUAAACGAGAGUUUGUAUAAAAUUGAUUUUGCAAACUUGAUUUUGAUAAAAAAUAAGUUUGUGUUAAAAUGAUUUAUGUUUGGUAAUUUUUGUAUCAAAAUUGAUUAUAGUAAAAUAAAUAUUGUUUGUCUUAUACCAUUCAAAAUCACUUUUAGAUAAAAAAUUACUAAAAUAGACCUCAACUUAAAUAAUUUUUUUAUAUUAUCCUAAUUUUAUAAAUAAUAUAAUAACAUACAUGAAGGAUAAAGUUGGUAAAAGAUAAAUAAAUAGUUAGUAUCAUGACUAAAAAGCUCGUUAGGAAAACGGAGAAGCUAAAAAUAGUUGCUUCUUGUAAACGUUGGUUUUGGCAGCAGAAUCACUUCUGCGUUCAUAGAAAAAAAUUUUGCCAAACCAAAAGUUGAAGCUUUCAAGAAGUCUAAACGUACUUCUUCCCUUCUAACGAGUUUCCCAAACACAUCCAGAGUCAUUCUACAAAACAAACCUCAUCAUUAUACCAGCAACAAAAUAUAUUUUCUUCGUCCAAACUAGACCAAACUACAGGAUCAAUGAUUUAAGUUAAGUGAUAAAAAUUGUUCUUAUGUUAAUACAUUGAUAUUGGUGCAAGAAGAUAAUAAGAUCCUGAUCAUGGUGAUUGAAAAAAAAAAUGGAUUAAUGAGGAUUUGUACAACCUAUUUGUGAUUUAUGAGGGUAGAAUAGAAUAAACUGUUCAAAAUCCUACAGAAUUCUAAAAAAUGAGAACAUUAGCAAUUGAUUGAGUAGAUGGAUAUUCCAUUACCAAUCGAUUGGAUUACAUUACCAAUCGAUUGAAUUUGGCUAAAACUUCAAUGUCAUUACUUUUCAAUCGAUUGUAUUUGGCAAAUCCAUGUUGUUUUCGUGAAUUCAAUCAAUUGAGUAACAACAACAAUUGAUUGCUUUGAGGCAUUCAUUCGAUUGGAAAGUAUAAACAAUCGAUUGGUUUAAACUUUUUACCAUUCUACCUUACAAUUUUCAAUCGAUUGUUUUGAAAAACCAAUCGAUUGAAUUUUAAGGAAACACGAUUUGGAAGCCAUGGACGAACGUAACGAGAUCAAAGUUAAUUUUUUAAUCAAUUGAAAUUAUUAGGAUGAAUAGAGGAUAUAAUUGGUUGUUAUUUUUGUAUUUGAUUGUUAAUAAAUAUAAUAGAUAAUUGAUAAAAUAAUAAUUUAUAAAAUAAAAAACUAUUUUUAUAAUUAAAUAAAAUAUAUGGGGUUGAUUUGUAAUUAAAAUUAGUUCAAGGACUACGUAACAAUUGAUAAAAAAAUUCCAAAAAUAUGUUUUCUACUUGGACCACUAAGUAGUCCAAAAGUUCAUAGACCACCGAAUCUUGAGCCAGGUAAAUGUAUCACUCUAGAGUAUGCUAUCUCAGUUCAUCAUGUGAAGAAAAAAAAAAUUUUCAUUAACAUAGCAAUAGCCUUUUAUUAUAUCACAUUUUCUUUACUUCUUUUAUUUCACUUAAAAAAUACCGAUAAAAAUUAUAUUUUAUAGACAACAACAUACGUGUAAAUAUUUUUAUAUAAAAAUAAUAUUUAAAAAUUAUUAAAUAAUUUAAUAAAUUUAACUAAAUUAUUAUCUAACAAAUUUUAAUUAUUAAUUUUAUAUAAAGAUAAUUUAAUAUAAGUCUAUUUUAUAACAUUAAUUAAAAAAAGCAAAUUGAAAAGAUAUAUUUUCUCUUUGAAUAAAUACUUAAAUUGGUCUCUGAAAAAGUAUCCGAUCUCUAAAUUAAUUUUCAAAAAGUAAAAUUAAUUAGACUUGUCCCCAAAAGAUUUAAAAAUGGUCACGUUAGUUCUUCCAUCCCCUCCGUUUAUUCCGUCAGUAACGACGUUAAAUCUUGCUUAUGUGGCCGUUAAUGUGUCAUAUCAGCAUGACAGGUUGGUGCAGAAUGGCUAAUGACAAGAUAUGUUUAAAAAUUUUUGUCAAAUUAGAGUGUGUUUGUGAAACACGUUGGAGAGGAUAAAAGUGCGUUUCAAUGCUUUGAACGCUGUUCUUUAAUGUUUGGCAAUUUUUCUUCUCUAAACGCCAAUGUGAUUCUGCAUCCCAAAAACUCGUUUACUAGAAGCAAGAAAUUAUAGUUUAUGCGUUUACUCAACUUACGUUUUUUUUUGUGACUGAAAUAAAUUAAACAAAGAAAAACAAAACAAACAAAACAAGGAACUGUUUAAAUAGAGGGACAGUCCCGUUUAAGACUAUUCUUAAACUCCUCCCAAGGUGAAAGAAGCUCCACAUGCAAAAGUUGUAACUUCAUCGCCAUCUUUGCCAUAGUAUCUGCCACCGUAUUUGCAUCUCUCAUAAUCAAACGAAAGUCAACACGCCAAUUCCAAUGCAUGAUAUCUCUUAUUUUGAGCAUCAGUGGAUCAAUAAACCCAAAAUCAUCUUGAGUAACAAGAUUAAAUGCUUCCACACAAUCCGUCUCACAAAUAACAUCUCGUUGACCCACAUCCCAAGCUAAGAGAUAUCCUCUCCAAAUAGCAAAUAAUUCUCCUUGAAGAAUACUAUUACUCCCAAUCAUUCCCAAACACCCCCUUUGCCAGCUCCCAUUACAAUCUCUAAUAACACAAGCAAAAUCAACACUAUCACCCGAACCAAAAUAACUAGCAUCACAAUUAAUCUUAAAAGUACCAAUGGAUGGGGGAUUCCAAAAACCAUUUAGAGUAGAGGGAAGGAACAUACGUUGUAAUUCAAAAAUAUUCCUAAGCUCCUUUUCUGAAGUUAAUGCUAGACAAAUCACUUUUUUCGGAGGCCAAGUUUCAUGGGGAUUAAAGAUGUCAUUAUUCCUUGCUCGCCAUAUCCACCAAAGUCUUGAAAAGAACUUGAACGGAUGCUCUCUGCUAUGAUACAAGAACCAGUUCUUCAAAUCCAAAGGAUGACAAGAAAUAUCCAACCUAUGCCAGACAAGCUGAGCUUUUGGACAAUUCCGAAUACAAUGUAAAACCAAUUCCUGGCUAGAAAGACAUCUUGGACACCUAUCCGAUGACGACAUCCCUCUUCUAAAGUGAAAACUUGCAGUAGAAAGAGCCUCCUUAAGACACAACCAAGCCAAAAACUUAUGCUUUUCCGGAACAAGCUGACGCCAAAGCCAAAGUCAAUUCUCCCGCUCCUCCCAACCAAACAGCUGUUUACACAACCACAAGUAACCAUUGCGUGAGUCAUAGACUUUGGCAGCAGACCCACUCCAAUACCAACCCACUUCCGGACCUGCUUGUUCAUCUGGAUUGUAAGAGAGAAUAUUAUCUUUCAGAUUUUGAGAUAAAUGAGAAUAAAGAGUAUCCAAAUGCCACCUACCAACCGACCAAAUAUCAUGUAUCCGGAGAUUCGAAUCAGAAAUGUGAACAUAAUCCAUCUCAUUAGAUAACGUCCUUCUCUCCUCCAGCUAGAAAACCAAAAAUUCUGGUUCAAAUCUCCAAUACACCAAGCAAACCCAUCCUUCAACACUUUUUAAGCCUUGCAAAGACACCUCCAAAUGGGAGAGUCAUUGUUCUUAGGAUAACUAAAACAGUCAUAUAGAGAUGAUCGGUAUUUGGCAUCCAACGACCCAUAGCUUGUUUGGCUGCUGGAAAAAAGUCCAAACUAGCUUUCCAAGAAGAGCAAUAUUUACACAAUAAGGAUCUCUAAUCCCCAAACCUCCAUAUUUUUUUGGAGUAACCAGUACCUUCCAACUAACAAGAUUCAAUCCUCUUCCAUCAACUUGUCCUUUCCAAAGAAAAUUCCUCAUCAUAGACUCCAAUUUACUAAUGAUUCUUUUGGGAAAAAUAGAGACCUGCAUCUGGUACGUGAGAAUAGCAGCGGCAACAGAAUUAACCAAGCAGAUUCUAGCAGCCCGAUUGAGUAAACUCCCUUUCCAGCUUGCUAGCCUACUCCGAAUCUUAUCCAGGACACCAUUGAAAGCUGAGCGAGUCACCCUAGAAUGGCUAAGGGUAACUCCAAGAUACUUGCCAAAGUCCUGGACAAAUCUGAUAGAGGAUACCCCAGUGAAAACCUCUUUCCUUGUUGCAGAGACAUUUUUGGAGCAAAGCGCUUUAGACUUCUCCACAUUAAUCUUCAUCCCAGAUGCUUUGCAAAAAGUCUCUAAAACCAACAUCACAUUUUGCACUUGCCUCUUUGUAGCUUUACAGAAUAGAAACAAGUCAUCCGCAAACAUUAAGUGGGAUAUUCUUGGUCCCCCUCUAGAAAUAGCAACCGGCUCCCACAAGCCCAAAUCAACCUGAUGACUAAUAAAGCAUGUCAAUCGCUCCAUACACAACACAAAAAGAUAGGGUGACAUAGGGUCUCCUUGUCUAAGACCUCGGCUAGGAGUAAAGCCAUUCAAACGACUCACAUUCCAAAGAAUAGAUAAGGAAGAAACAGUGACACAAUUCAUAAUCAAAUUAAGUGUAGGAAUAGGAAAACCAAAGCUCCUAAGGGUAUGAGCUAAAAACCUCCAGUCAACUCUGUCAUAAGCUUUCUCCAGAUCAAUCUUAAAGGCCAGUGUGCCUUUCUUUGAUUUAGUCUUCUUCAUAAAGUGGAGGACUUCUUGAGCAACAAUGAUGUUGUCAGGAGUUUCUUGUCCCGGAAUAAAUCCUCCUUGAAACGGGCCAACAAUCUCCGCAAGAUGAGGAUGAAGCCUAUUAACAAGGACCUUCGUGAUGAUCUUGUAAACUACAUUGCAGAGACUAAUCGGCCUGAAAUCUUUCAUAGAUACCGGUGAUUCAACCUUUGGAAUGAGAACCAGUAAAGUCUCCAACAUUCUCGGAUCAAUAGUAACACCGGAGAAUGCCUGCUUAACCAUCUUCCAAACAUCAAGACCAAUGAUCUCCCAAUAUUCUUUGAAGAAGAAAGAUUGAAACCCAUCAGGACCCGGAGCUUUAAAAGAGUUCAUGUGAAAAACAGCUGUUUUGACUUCCUCCAUAGUAACCGGUGCCGUAAGAUUAUUGCAAGCUUCCUCAUUCAGAGAAGGAAGAGGCACAUCACCAAGGCAACCCAAAUCAACAUCAUCCAAAUGACAGAAUAAGCUUUUAUAGAAAGACUCUGCUUCUUGACUCAUAACCUCUGGAUCAGUUUUCCACACUCCAUCCUUGAGAAAAAGGCCAUGAAUCUUAUUAUGCUUCCUUCGCGCAAGAGUUUGAAUAUGAAAGAAUCUUGUAUUCCUAUCCCCGAACCUUACCCACUGCUCUCUGGACUUUUGGAACAAUAGGAGCUCUUCUUGCACUAGAGUAUUAUUAUAAUCAUCAAGCAAUUGUUGCUCUUUCUGACGCAAAUAAAUACUAUCCACCACCUCCAAACGCUUUUGUAAAUAAUUAAUCUGCUGCUCUAAUUCAUAUUUCUUAACAAAAAUGUUACCAAAUACCUUCGAGUUAAACUCUAGUAAAUUCUUCUGUACUUCCGAAAGCUUGCCAUGAAUUUCUCUAUUACCAGACCACCAUAACUAGUUCACAAUAUCCCUAUACCCAGGAUGAGUAGCCCAAGCAGCAACAAAUCGGAAAGGUCGAUUCCCUUUAGGCUGAGGACGACCUUUACAACGCACCAGAAUAGGGCAAUGAUCAGACUGAAGCCUAUUUAAAACUUUUGCAUAAGCCUCUGGAAAGAUAGUUAACCAACUACUAUUUAUAAAGACUCAAUCAAGCUUUUUUGCCACGUCAACAUAAUUUUUCACCCUCCUGUACCAAGAAAACCGCCUCCCAAUAGUCUUCAGAUCAAACAAACCACUAUCCCCUAAUGAAGUAGCAAAUAUGUCUGCUCUUUGAUGAGAAAAUUGACAGCCCUUAGAUUCAUGAGAAAAUUUGACUUCAUUAAAAUCACCAAGAACAAUCCAAGGUCCUUGAAAAACCAUGGAUUGUGCAACAAGAUAAUCCCAAAGGAGAACCCUUUUAUUAAAUUGAGGACUGCCAUAAAUACCACUACACCUCCAAAUUAAAUUAUCAAAGUGAACCUCAACAGUAACACCCUGAUCAAAAACAUCAAUGAACUUACAACAAACACCCUUCAUAGAGGAUAGAAACCAAAUACCUCCCUUAUGCCCCUCUGCUUCUACUAUACCAACAGAGUGAUACCCCAACCUUUCUCAAAAUAAUUUUAAAUGCUGAAAAGGGGAGUGAGUUUCAACCACAAUAAAGAAAACAGGUCUAAAUUUCCUAACAAGUUCCUUACAAUGCACCAGGGCUAACUUAUUAGAAGCAGCCCUAAUAUUCCAAACAAUCAUAUUUAAACUGUCCAUAAAUAAUAGGGACAGAAUAAAUAAGAACAUAAACUCUAAACAGAAUCACCAACCUCAAUAGGUGGUUUGUCCUGCGGUACUGGCAUACUCUGAUCCUCAAUAAUUGCCACCUUCGGACCCCCUGACACUGCACCUGCCAUGCUCCCAUCUACUAAGGUUUCCUCCGUUGUGCCACCAUUUUUAUCAACUGGCGAGUUCUGCAAGGAGGAAGGCCGAGGACGCUUCCGUAGAGAAAUUCCACGACGUGCAGGAGUUCUGCGCGAUGGAGAUGGCGCAAUUUCAUGUUUUUCUCGCUUCUCCAUCCUAAUGCCAAUUGAUUUGCCUCCAUCACCAUGCAAAUUGGGCCUUGGAACCCUUCUCGAACCAAACUUGCUGCUUUCCAUCUUGGUCCUUCAAACCUGAUGACUGGCCCAUUGUGAAUUUUCUCUUACGCAGCACUUGUUGCCAGCCCUCUCCAUCAUCCAUGCAUGCCUCAUUAACAUGACCAUCAGGCACGUGAGGAGCCAAUGAUUCCGUAACCACAUCCUUCCCUUUAACAACUCCUAAUUUCUCACCCAAAUUACGAGGAUUCUCACCCAAAUCACGAGCUUCUGAUUCAGCCUCUUUUUGAAUCUCAUGAUUGUUAUGUGGCACUAGUGUCGGGGCUUCAUUAUUUUUUCCAUCACCAAAAGAAUUUCUGUUUCCUUCCAAGGACUCUUUCUCCAUGCACAACGAUUUAUCAUGCACAUACCGUGCAUAAGUAGCACAAAUCAACUGUAAACUCUCGUACUCCACUUCAUAAGUCACACCCUCCACUAUAAUAUGUUUGAUUACAUGCAACUCAAGAUUAAUUUGAACACAAGCUCGGACAUAUUUUUCUCUUUCUGCAAGCUUAGUAGCCAAAUCUACUUUCACCGGAAUCCCUAUUGCAGAAGCAAUUCGCAGCAUUGCUUGUUCCUGGUAGCACCAAAUUGGAAGUUCCGAGACUCGAAUCUAUACCAGCGUUGAUCCAAAGAAUUUUUCGCAUGGCCUAAAAUCCACAUCUCAUGGCUUUACUGCAACAUAGUGAGCCUCUAUCAACCACGGACCACCAAGAAUGACUUUCUCACUAUCUGCAGCAAUAUCAAAUUUAACCAAAAAAUAUCCAAACCCCACAUCCAACAAAUCAAACCUCCUUUGAUGCGUCAUACUAUCCGAAGCUUAUGCAUGAGAGCCGUGUAGCCAUAAUGCUUAUCCAGCACCUUGAUCACGAUGGCUUCCUUAUAAGGUUCAGCUAGACAGCUCUUUGCCUCCUUGGUAAAACUGACACUUGGUGGACGAGAAUCACCCUACUUACCUGUCACUGUCGUCGCGAUACCAUCCCUAGAUAAAGACCCUACUAAUGCAAAGGCCUUAGACUUUUCUGCACCAAUGACUUUAUCUCUAAAAGAGACAUUGGCUGGCUUUCCUAACCCCUCUCGAGAAGAACCCUCCUUAACACCGGAUAUACACACACCCACGCUCUCCCCCUUGUCUCUUCCGAGGGCAUGGCCAUCUUUCUCACCGUGUUUCACCCUCAACCGCUCACCCCCGCUAUCUCUUUCUCUCAUUCUCCUUGAGUAUGGAGUACGUACUCUUUCUCUGCUAGGAUUUUUUCAAAGGAAAGUAAUAUUUGUGUUAGAAACUUGUUACUUUACUCAACUUACAUUUAGGUUUAUUGCUAGUUAUUAUUGAUUUUUUCAUAAUUUUUUAAAAAUAAAUACUGAGAAUAUUAAAACAAUUAUUCUAAUUUUUAUGUACUGUUUACUAUUUUAAUUUUUUAUAAUAUGUAUUAUUGUUCCUAUUAGAAAUGAUAAAAUUAAAUAUACUUAAAAAAAUAAUAUUAUAAUUUAAUAUUAUAUUUUUUUAGUAAUUAAUUAAUUAUUUAUCUAGAAAUGAUUUUAACUCAUAUUAUCCAAAUAAUAUUUAUUUUAUCAAAAUCAAUUUUAGUAAAAAUUACCAAAUAUAAAUUCUGUUGGCACAAACUCACUUUUACUCAAAAUUAAUUCUACAAAAUCACUUUUAUUUAAACUCCAAUUUGUCCAACCUAAAUCCAAACAUACACUUAAUCCUAAAGAGAAUAAACCCUAAUCCCUUAUUCUCGUUAAAUGCCAUUGUUGUUACAGCAACAAAUUAAUUCUACAGAGGUUAAAAUUGUUGUUGAACUGCAUUAUGGGUAGCCGUCUAGUUGGCCAGAGUUUAGACAAGGAUACAAUAUGGUUGAAAACUAUGCAUAAUAUAAUAGAUAGUCCUACUAAUAACUUAUAAUCCUCCUGCUUCUACCUUCAUCUUAAAAGCCAGAGAUUUUGAUUAAACUUCAAAGCUACUUGGUACUGUACAGUGUAUCAAAAGAAAGUUGAUGUCUUUGGCCUUGAGCUAUUUAAACUCUAUAUUUUUUUCUGUGUGUGUUUUUGAAAGAUUUUUGAGGAUGAAUGUUGAAAUUGAAAUGAUCUGAAAAAUGUAAAUAGCCUUAUAAAAAAUGAUACAAAGAAUGUAUUCAUAAUAAAUAAAUGCAAUUCAUAUUACUACUACAUACCUUCUGAAACUCUCGUUCCAUUCGUGGAGAAGCGAAAAUGGGGUGAAGUAGACAGAAAAUUUUGGGCAAAUUGCAACGCUACCAAACGUCUCCUUUACAUUUCUACUAGUUCUAAAGCCUGCUCUUGCUCUUCCAUCAGUUGUCUCCUAAGAGAUCUAGCAUUCGCACAACUUCUUGGAACUAAAAAAAAUUGAAAAUGGUUAUUUUAGUGACUAAUGAAAGAAUGAGCACAGAACAAGUCAUAUGAACAGGACAAGUAAUAUAGAUUCCAAACAAGAUAAUAUGAUACUCACUUGAGUUCAUUUCAGAAUCCAUGUCUAUGUGGUGAGGUGAGUAACACAUAGAGUGUUGAAUUCUAUCAGCAUAUUUCCUGCAACCAAAUUAAAGUUGAUAUGAAAAGUUUUUUUGAAAAAGAGGUAUCUGUCAACAUAACUAGCAUGAUCAAAAGAUAAAAUUAAAUUACUAAAUUUCAUUCAUACACAAAGGAUGAAAGUAAAUUAAUUAAUAUAUAUUAUUGGAAAAUUAUCUAGUGUUCCGGACAAAAGUAUCGAAACACGGUGUUCAGGGUACGAAAAGGUAGGCUGCUAAAUUUUGUCAUGUAGUAAAGGAUGAAAUGGCAAAAAUAACCCUAUAUCUCUUAAUCAAUUGACAAGAAUAACCAGCUCUAGGCUAUUGGUAAAUUCCUAUUUUGUUGAAGUCGUUUCUGCAAUGAAUGAUGGAGGGCGUGGGCCUGAGCCAUUUAGUUGUUGCCCUGAAUUAUUGUUAGAGGUCCAACAGUUAUAUUAGGCAGAAGAGGAGGCUGGAAAACAGUGGUGUGACUAAGACUCUGAGAAGGACCUAAGGUGGUGGCGUGAGUUGUUGCCUCAACACGACGGAGGUGUGUGUCGGCCCGGAGUAAUUGUUGGAGGUAAAAGGGUUGUAAUUGGCAGGGCAGGAGGCAGGAAAAGUGGUGUUAGUGUUGUGAAAAAGCAUCUGAAAAAGAGUUGGGGUGAAGUUGUCGGUUGCCGCAACAUGACGGAGGUGUGUGUCGUCGGUGGCGAAGGAAAUGGCAGGUGAGUGUCGAAAUAAGCCAGCAUGUUGUUGCUUCUACAAGAGGUGAGAAAAUUUGGUAUUGAUAAUUAUCGUUGUUUGUUGUUGGAGUGUGGGUUGUAUCCCAUGAAUUGGAGUGACUUCGACUCCAUAGCCUAACCUACCAAUGCCAUUUGGAUAAAUAUGUAUAUGUAAUAUGUUUAUGAGUACUGAGUACUUUGUAGUAAGCAUCACAAUAUAAGUGGUCCAGCAUGAAUGUCAUAUUCGACCCUUCUUUAUUAUACAUUUGCUUGUAUAGAGAAGCAAAUAAAAAGAUUAACAUUGUGGUACUCAAGUUGUAUAUGAAAGAUACAAACAAAUAAAAGAGGGUUAAACACAAGUUGAUUAUUGUGGAAUGCCGUAUAGUGACAUUCCAAUUACAUUUAUAUAUGCCCUGCUUCCCUUUCCCUCGUUUCCUCUAUUAUUGUCUCUUUGGAAAGUUGUAACAAAUUUAUUUAUACUCAUGAAAAUAAAUGUUCCAAAACUCUAUAUUGCUAUUGUUCAAUUAAGUGGAUAAGUUUGGGUACUUAGAUCUUGAGUACUUUAGUUUGAAGUUGUAAUGAUUUUUUUCCUUUAUCUUUUUAUGGAUUUUGUAUGAGGAAUUAGAAAUAGUCAUAUGUCACUAAAAUACAGUUGAUAUAUAUUUUAGGAAUAUCAUAAUCACUCAUGUUCAGUUUUGUUUAUAUGAAUUCAGAUAAAUUAUCUUUCGGAACUAUAGUUUAAGAUUCUUCUUUGGAUAUAUGACUUAGAAUUCUAAAAAAUUAGUGAUUUUAGUUCAUUAAUCAAGUUAAUAUCAGUUCACAGCUGAAUGAAAACUUAUAUCUUAUCCCUCUUGUCUACAACUCUUUACCAUAUAAUAUCAGUAUUUAAAAUAAAUUAUAAAUAACUAUGAAAGUUCCUGUUGCAGGCUAAAUUCAUAUGUACUGUUUGGUGUGUAAAAUAAAAAACUGUUGUAAUUUCAAAAUGAUGAGUUGGAAUAUAUUACAAGAAUGUUAGUUACUUGUGUGAUCAACAUUGACGAUGAAAAUAAAUUAAUGUAUAAAUGAAAUAAAUAUGCAUUAUUCUAUGCAAGUGAGUCUCCAAGAUAUUAGUUAAAAGUGUGAACCCACUUAACUAAAAAAUAUUUUCACUCUUUGAAUUUAAUAAUUUGGACCACAAUUUUCUUGUGAUUUUCACUCUUUUGGCUUGAUUUGUUUAGUAUUGUUGAAUGUGAUUCUCAGUGAAACAACUUGGGGGAUGGCCAUGGGGUAGUGAUGUUCGAAAUGGAGUCAUGUAGCGGAACAGUGCCGGAAUUUGAGAUUGGAGGUGUUGAGCCAGUAGGUGGCCUUGAUGGAAGUGGUGAAUGGCAUUGCAACACAUUGGUAUGAAUAAUUUUGUGUUAAUUUGCAUGUACUCAUUAGUAGCCAAUCUUUGUGUUAUAAUUGCCUAUGAAACACCAUAUAAUGGAACCACCAUUUAUGUGUAGAAUUUUCUUUUAUUACCAUUAAAAUACAAUAGAUGAAUACCAUUCGAUGACAUUCAAAGAAAGAUCAUUAAACAUAAAUAUAUAAUAUUGAAAAUAUUGUAUCACAUUUUUUAUUAAUAUAUGUAAAUGCAAUCAUUAGGAUUGGUAACUAGUAAUAAGUUAAUAAGGAGCGUGUGGGAACAAAAAUUUUUUUUUUUUGUGCGACUGAAAAUAAUCCUUUUCUCUUCAUUGUAUAUGAUAGAAAUAAUCGAAUUGGAGUGAUAGAAUUAUUGCAACAAAUUUAAAUUGGUAUUUAUUUGAGUUUAUCGUGUGGUUGAAAUAGAGUAGUAAGGGAUUUCAUGGUGUGCUUGCAUUUUGCAGGAAAGCUCGCUAGAGAUCUUGAAAUGGAAGCGGAAGAGCAAGAGGGAGAACCGCUGGAGGAUUGCGAUGAAGAAGAUAAUGACAUCUCUGAACCAGUCAUGUACAGUGGCGCAGAGAUAUUGGAAAUGGAAUUCAAUAACCCUGAUGAGGCAUCCCAUUUCUAUGAACAAUAUAGCCGGGCGAAGGGUUUUGCCAUGAGGCAGGGAAAGAAACUGAAAAAUAAGAAGGAGAAAUAAACUAAUCCAUAAUUGAAAUAAACUAAUCUUCGUUCAUUAAAUUGAAAUAAACUAAUCCAUAAUACCGCAAAUUUCGACAACUCACUCAUAUUUUUUACAAAUUUAUGAAAACUUCUAGCAAGGACAAAAAAAUAAAUAAAUAAAUUCACGUCUCUUAUGACAUAGUCUAAAAAAUCUAUAAUUAGAUAAAUUUAUACAUACAUUAAUGCAUAUGUAUGUAUAUUUUCUUUUCAAUUUCUAUUUUUAAAUAUUUUUUUUGCAACAACCAGUGCAUAAAUGAUAAAACAAAUUUCUUAUCAUGUAGUUCUAAAUCCAAAUUAAUGUCAAAUUUGUGUUUGCCCCUCCUAACUUUCUUUCAUAGCCAAAAACAACUUACUAUUUUUUUUGUCAAUAAAAUUUUAUUAUUCCAUUCACUGAGAAAAAAUGUAUUAUUUUAACUUCUCCAAUAUUAUUUUUUUAAUUUAGUUAUUAUCAAAUUUUAAAUCGCAACACUAUCAUCUGCAAUAAUCUCAUUACCAUAAAUUUUAAUUUUUAUCAUCAUUGCCAGAUUUUUUAGCAGUCCAAACUUCUCAAACAUGCCUUGACCCAUUUAUGGGACCUGACCUGCAUCACACACACUUGGCCCAAAUAUAAUUCGGCUCGGCUAACCAACAAAAUGCCUAGGCUAAUAGCUAAUGCCUUCACAUCCCAGCCUUUAAUUGUAAGGGAACACAAGUGAGAUUAUCUGUGUCUGUGGACUUCUCAACUACUCUACCCGUUGCAUACCAUUGAGCAGUCCUGCUUUUGGUGUAUACUCAAAAUAACUUUCCACAAUCUUAACCCCUCAAAUUUAUUUAUAAUAUAUCUGUGUGGUUCAAAUUGAUGGAACAUCACAUUCCGCUCCCUAAACUGCCAUACCUGAACAUCUUCCUAUAUUAUUAUCAUAUAUAAAUUUUUCUAAAUUAACCUUAAGAUAAUCAGAUAUUGAUAUAAUUAUACCAAGAAACAAUCAAAUUAUAACAAGAAUCCUUUCUAAUGUCAGGUGCAAUUGUACCCACAUUUCAAGCUUAAAUCCAGAGUUUAAGCCUUCAAUUCCAAGCUGAAAAUAUAAAUUAACCGAAGGAAGUACCUUUCAAUAACCUUUGACUUUUUUUGGUAAGGUUUAACAAGCACUCAAGACCCACAAACAUAAUGGGGAUUCCCUUUGUCUAAAAUGGUUUUAAUAGUUUGUGGAUCAAUAAACGUCACAAAGCUAAACAUCAUUUUCUGCUAGAGGUGAGAACCAAAGACGAAGGAUUGGAUUAGAGAGAUGUUCUAUUUUGAGAAGAAAGAUGGAAUAGACCGUAAUGAAAAAGGGUUGAAAAGGGUGACCAAAGAAAACGACGCCUUUAAAGCUUUUAUUGACAUGUGACACUAAAGGUCAGGUAAGCAAAUGUUAACAUCCUUUGUCAAAUAAUAGACAAAAAGAAUUAACGUGAUUAUUUUUAAAUCUUUUGGGAACAAUUCUGAUUAAUUUUAUUUUUUGUGGACCAAUUUAGAGAUCGAGUAAUCUUUUGGGGAUUAAUUUAAGUAUUUAUUCUUUUCUCUUUGUUACUAGAAUAAUCUGUUUGAAUUGACUUCUCAAUUACUUUUCUAAAAGAAAAAGAAAUGUUGACUAAACUAACAAAAAUUUAUGUUUGAUACACUAAAAAAAUCAUUUUAAAAGAUAAAAAGCAUUUAAUUUUAAUAUACAGAAAAUAUAAAUUAUUUUAUAUCUUAAAUAACUAUUCAUAUUAUUUUUACAAAUAUAACAUCACGUAUUAAAUAUAUGUAUAUAAUAAAAUACUAAAGCACUUUUAUACUUUUUUUUUUCCAUCAAAUUUAAACCAAAAGACAUUAUUUUUAAAUAUGUAAAUUAAUUAAUGUAUGAAGUUAUAUUAAGUACAUGCUAACUUUACAAAAUUUUAUUUUAGGUACUUUUAAAAAUAUUUUUAUCUUUUAAAAUUUGUAAGUACAAAUACAUAAUCUUUCUUAUAUACUAAAUACAAAAUAAAAAAUUUAUGCUUUUAAAUGAAAAACACUUUUUCAAAAAAUUUUACCAAAUCAAGCCUUAGACAUAACACUUGGACCCAUCCAAAUAAAAAAUAAGAAACAAAAAAAGAAUAAAAAGCUUAUCCAAUUUGCAUUUACAGCACCAAACAAUUUCCACGCACUAUCAAUUUUUUUUUUCAUUCAAGCUACAACUGCAACAUUUCAUAAUUUAUGCACAUCAAAAUUUAGAGUUGAUUACAGCAAAAUUACAAAGAAUUGUGUACACAAAUAAAUGGUACAAACUGAUAAUGACUCCACUGAAAAAAAAUUAAAAGUAACUGGGAAGAAAGGAAAAAAAAAAAAAGAAAGGAAAUGGUCAAGACUGAAAAGAAUCACAACCUCAUAGGACUGAAUGAGCAAAAAUACUAUACAGUCAAGUCUCUAGUUUUCAACGAAGUCUUAUAGUUUAAAAAUUGUGUAAUCAAGUCCCUAUCAUGCAUAAAAAUCUUUAAGAGAAAACGAGUCGUCAUUACAAGGAUUUCUUGAAACGGGCUUGCACUUUAUAAGAAUUUUUUAUUAAAAAAUGGUUAUAUUGAAACAAAACUGUACCUUGGCAAGAUCAAAUGUGUAUUUCCUUUCAUGAGAUUAUUCAUAUCCGAUAGAACAAGUGGUUUUCAGAAUGCUAUAAGCAAGAGUUCUGAUAUCUUAGAAUAAGGAUAAAAUGAUUGAAGAGUACACUCACGUCUGACGGCAUUGCUUGAUAAUAUCCGUGAUAGCAGGGUCCAUAUCAUCUGCAAUGACAAGGCAAAUAGGCAACAAUGCUGGAAACCGACAGCACCCACAACUUGCAUCGGAUUCAUUCCACCCCAGGGCUGUUGCAAAGUAGAGAGCUCCCAUAAUAUGACUCCAAAGCUAUAAACAUCGCACCUGGAUAUCCAAUCACCACUUGUUAUAAUCAUAAAAUUAUGAAUGCCUUAAAAGGGUGGCAAAACCAAUGAGAAGAACGACGAGACAAGGAAGCAAAAGAAUAACACUUAUAUGUAAUAAAAAUUCCAACUUAUUUUUUCCUAUGCCAGAUGAUUCAGGUUAGAGAGGAACACAGACUAUGAAAUCCUUCUCCACAAGCAAAAUAAAGAAAAAUUUAAUGACGAAAACCAAUGAUAACUGAGCUUACUUUUUAUUUUAAGGUUCAUUUCUUAACACUUCAGGCACCAUCCACUCGGCCUACAACAUGCCAUAAAAAAUGAAUAUAUUGCAAUGCCAAACAAACGCUUAGCAGCAAAACUAAAUACGUGCAGAAUAUUGGAACUGAUCACGCAUACGAAAGAGAGGAGCUUGAGGUAGAGAGAAAAGCAUGUAGUUACACUAAGCCCCCAUUUGGCAAUUAUCAGAGAACACGAUUAUUACUUUAGAGUUUAAAAAAUUAUAAUUAAAUUCUUAUAUUAGAUAAAAAAAUUUGCAAUUAGAUCUUUAUUAGCUGUUAUUUAAAAAAAUUAAUAAUUCUAAAAUAUUUACUUUUAAAACAAAUAGUAUUUUUUAACAAAAAAAAANNNNNNNNNNNNNNNNNNNNNNNNNNNNNNNNNNNNNNNNNNNNNNNNNNNNNNNNNNNNNNNNNNNNNNNNNNNNNNNNNNNNAUUGUCUAAAAACUAAGUUUGUAGGAUAUAGCAUUGGAUAUUUCUUGUCAUCCUUUGGAUUGAAGAACUGAUUCUUGUAUCAUAGCAGAGAGCAGGUUCUUUUUGAGACUUUGGUGGAUAUGGCGAGUAAGGAAUAAUAACAUCUUUAAUCCUCAUAAAACUUGGCCUCUGAAAAAAGUGAUUUGUCUGGCAUUAACUUCAAAAAAGGAGCUUAGGAAUAUUUUUAAAUUACAGCGUAUGUUCCUUCCCUCUAUUCUAAAUGGUUUUUGGAAUCUCCAUCCAUUUGUACUUUCAAAAUUAAUUGUGAUGCUAGUAUCUUAGUUCGGGUGAUAGUAUUGGUUUUACUUGUGUUAUUAGAGAUUGUAAUGGGAGUUGGCAAACAGGGUGUUUGGGAAUGAUUGAGAGUAAUAGUAUUCUUUAAGGGAAAUUGUUUGCUAUUUGGAGAGGAUAUCUCUUAGCUUGGAAUGUGGGUCAAUGAGAUGUUAUCUGUGAGACGGAUUAUGUGAAAGCGUUUAAUCUUAUUACUAAUCACCAAGAUGGUUUUGGGUUUAUUGAUCCAUUGGCGCUCAAAAUAAGAGAUAUCAUGUAUUAGAAUUAGCAUGUUGAUUUUCGUUUAAUUAUGAGAGAUGCAAAUAUGGUGACAGACACUGUGGCAAAGAUGGCGAUGAAAUUACAACUUUCUCAUGUGGAGCUUCUUUCAUCUUAGAAAGAAUUUAAGAGUAAUCUUAAAUGAGACCGUCCCUCUAUUUAAACAAUUCCUUUGAUUUUUUUUUUAUUUAGUUUAUUUAAGUGACCCAAAAAAUAUAAUAAUAAUAACAAUAAAGGGACAUGUUACCUUUAGAAAAGUAUAAUGUCGACGGAUAAUUUUAAGAUUUAUGAUUUAGAGAAUUUGUUGAGUAAUAUAAUAUUAAAAUAGGCCGAAUUGGAAUGUUUGAAAUGGUUAGCAAUUAGUAUCAUACUUGCCAUAAUUUUGCUAGUACACCUAAUAUACACCUGUUUGUAAAAAUUUGUCUAACUCUACUAUAUAUUUUUUCGGGUAAAGUAGAAGACCAAAAAUAUUUAAUAUUAUGCAAGAAAAGAAUAUACUAAGAAAUUUAUACUUAGACAAUAUUCAUGUUCUAACAAUUAAUUAGAGUUAAUUUUUGUUUAUGCCUCUUGAUAAUUGUUUAUUUAUAUUAAAAAACUUAUCAAACAAUAUUGACAAAUCAACUUAUCAUUGGAAAAAGAUUAAAUGGAAUAAAUAAAAAAUUAUCACCGAAUAAAAUAUUACACCUCAUAGCUAUUAGUUAUUAUCAUUAAAAUUAGGAACGCUAAAUAAUAAUUUUUCACCAAGAAACGAUGACUACUCUUUAAGUCUGUUAAAAUUUCUAUAAAUAUUUUUAAUGUGAAUUCAUUUAACAUGUAUUUUUAAACAUGUUUUUUUUUUUUUUUAGUAAAAUGUAUUUCUAAACAUUAAUAGCUACUACUAUUUGGAGUCUUGGACAUACCAUAGAAAACCUGCAGAAGACCAAAUCUGAAUCCUGAUGAAUAAACUCCCCAAAGAGAUUCUAAUAUACAUUAUUCCAAAAAAAUAAAUUCAAAACAAGCAGAGAAAAAAUAUAGUAACAACAACAAAUAAAAUUAUAAAAACACACACAAAAAGGGCCUCGAGGCUCAUCCGUAGAAAAAAAUUCACUAAUUAUCUCAUAGAGGAAACAAAAUUUUUGUAACAAAGCAGAAAAGCUGUCCAAGACUAGGUAAAUGUCUCUCUUCUAGAGUAUGCCACCUCAGUUCAUCAUGUGAAAGAAAAAAAAAGUUUCAUUAGCAUAGCAAUGGGGCUAAAAAUUUUAGUUAUGGAUUUACUAUUGAUGUUUUAUUUGAAAAUGGAUACAGUGAGUGGAUUUACAAAUUGGUGGAACUAUCAGAUGAAAGAUUCAACACUGGGAGAGGAGUGUUGAAUGCAGCACGUGGGGGCAUGAUAGCCACGUGGCAAAGUUUGGUUGCAUGGAUUUGCAACAUAUGGGGGGCGUGCUGAGUCAGCACGGGGGUGGACGUGUUACACGUGGCGAAUUGUCAUUGGCUGAUGAAUAAAAAAGUGGGGGGGGCGUGCUAAGUCAGCACAGGGGGAGUGUUGAGUGCUACCCUAUAUAUAAGGCAAAUCUCGGUACCAUUUUCAUUGCAAAGAAGAGUGUUUUUUAUAGUAGUUUUUAUUGUGUUGCUAGUGUAAUGGAGGGUGCCACAAACUUGGUAAUGUAUCGCAACGGUGAGAUUAUACGGAAUACUCAUGAAGGAGUGAGGUUUGUGUGUCAGAAUCUAUUUUCGUUUGUGGUUCCCUGCACCAUGACAUUGAUGGAGCUUCAAAACGGUCUCUGUCAAAGCAUGGAGAAUGGAAUGUUGACGAGAGUGAGCAGUAUUUUGUACCGGAAUUCGGUUAUAGUUUUUGGUGGUCUAAUACAGUUUGAUAUUAUGCCGAUUAUUGACGAAACGAGUAUACAGAAUAUGUUCCAAAUUCACCGGCAGACUUAGAUGCGACAGCUACAGAUUGAGUUGUAUGUUGAGUUUGAAAACGUAGAGGCAGAUGAGAUUCAAAAUGAUUUAGAUAUAGAGGAUGAUAGAGCUGCAGUGUACGAAGGAAUGAACAAUGACAGUGAAGAGGACUUCGAAGCCACUUAUGAAGCUGGCGACGAAGACGAGGAUGGUGAUGUGGGAGUCGAGGCAGCAACGGAGAAUAUAGUGGUUCAUCACGCAGUUAGUCAACCGAUGAAUGUCCCCCCUAUGCGUAAUUUGGAUCUUAACGCCAUGAAUGCACCGGAAUUUCCGAAAUAUGCAAACAUAGGUACGUGAUGAGUGAAUAAUAUGUUUUUGUAUUUUUAUCUUUUGGAUGUAUCAAUGAAUGAUGAUAUCUGCUUUCUGUAGGUGUUGCUGACCUUGAGGACGGAGAGUUCAGGAUCGGAAUGAAGUAUAGUUCUAGAAAGUCUGUCGUUGUAGCAAUUAGAAGUUACACUAUCUCUAGAGGAGUUGACUACAAUGUUUAUGCAAAAAUGCAAGAGGUAUGGGCGUGGGUGCGACUGGCUUAUCCGAGCCAGCUUGAUACGGAAAAAAGGUUGUUGGGAGAUACGGAGAUACAAUGGUAAGCACACGUGCACCAUGGGAACGAUUUCACAGGAUUAUUCCAAGUUAGACUCGGAAUAGUUGCUGAGACUAUAAGGCCAUUGGUUGAGACUGACCCGUCCAUCAAGGUCAAAUCUAUAAUUGCAGAAGUCCAGUCAAGGUUCAACUACACCAUCAGUUACCGAAAGGCUUGGUUGGCAAAGCAGAAGUCUAUAGCCAAAGUUUUCGGUGGUUGGGAGGAUUCUUACCAUGCUUUACCAUGGUGGCUCUCGGUCAUGGUUCAGAAGAUUCCAGACUCAAUUGUCCAAAUAGAAACACGACCACUGUACAACGGGAGUGAGGAGGCGGACGGUGUCAGAAUACUUCACCGCAUAUUUUGGAGUUUUAAUCAAUGCAUUAGGGCGUUCAAGCAUUGCAAGCCUCUAGUUCAGGUUCACGGCACACACCUAUACGAAAAAAAUAAAGGUACACUUCUAGUUGCUGUUGCACAAGAUGGAAACCAGAACAUUGUGCCUAUCGCCUUUGCUCUGGUGGAGUGAGAGACAGCUGAUGUGUGACACUUCUUUCUCAGGAAUCUAUGAAGGCAUGUUGUUAGAAAAGACGGUGUGGGUAUGAUCUCAAACCAACGUGAGUUAAUCCGGGCAGCAGUAAAUCGUUCCGGUGGUGAUUGGCAACCUCCGAGAGCAUGGUGGAUAUUUUGUAUAAGGCACAUCGGUAGCAAUUUCUUAAGGGCAUUCAAAGUAUCUCACCUGCAAAAACUUGUUGUCAACAUAGGGUAUUUAAGGAUAGUGGAGGAGUACAACAUCAACUAUAAGAGGUUGGAAGAGCGAGGCAAGGCAUAUGCUCGGUGGUGCGAUGCCAUUGGACUUAGACAUUGGUAUUAGCAUUUGAUGAGGGUCAUCGAUGGGCCAUAUGACGACGAACCUUGUGGAGUGCAUUAAUUCAGUGUUAAAGGGUGCCCGAAACCUCGUUGUGUUGGCCCUCGUCUGAGCAACGUAUUAUCGGUUAAAUGAACUAUUUACGUGGAAGAGCCGAACGCAAGCGUUCCAGAUUUACUUACUCUGUAUUUGCACAACAGCGGAUCAAAGCAAAUAUGCAACGUGCUGGAAAUAUAGUUGUGCAACGGUUUGAUAGACAAAACGAGGUGUUUGAGGUGCGUGAAAUGCCUAAUGAAAAGGUGUUGGUAGUUGAUCUUGCGCGACAGACGUGUGACUGUGGACACUUUCAGGUGGAACGACUACCAUGUCGACAUGUUAUUGCUUGUUGUGCCAACCAGCGACUCGACUGGCAGCUGUAUGUUCAUGAUGUGUACAUGACGACAGAAGUUCGUAAGGUCUAUAUAUUUGAGUUCGUACCAUUAAGCGAUGCAGAAACAUGGCCUGCUUAUCAGGGACCCGCAUUGGUCGCUAAUCCUGCCUUGAGGCGCACGUUGAAAGGUCGUCCCAAGUCGACCCGAUACCUGAAUGAAAUGGAUUCACGUGACAUGCAUAGUCCUCGGAUAUGCCGUCUAUGUGAUGCUUAGGGUCAUAAUCGGAGUUGAUGUCCCCAACGUGCUGGACCGAGUGGUGCUGGUGACGAUGGUCCUCCCUAGGUCUUUGUUGAUUUUUGUGUUUCUCAGUUAAUAUUUUUGAUAUACGCAAGCGUGUUUGUAUUUUUAACUUUGGAUUGUGUCCGUUGAUGUUGUUGAUGUUCGUCAUGUUUGUAUUUUAAUUUGGGUUUAUCCAUUGAUGUUUUCGAUGUUCUUAAUGUUUAGUUAAUAUUAUCAUUUACUGCCUUUGUGAGGUACACAUACAAAAGUUUAACCAAGAUUUACAUUCACCUAAUUCUGACACCAUAAUUAAAAUUAAAUAUAGGUCAACAUUACAAAAGAUUAACUACAAAUUACAUUAACUUAAUUCUUAAAAUUAACCAAAACAACAUAAACCCAAGCUCACUUCUUUCGAACCAACCAGUUCAGUCCCUUGCCCAUCAUGCCCUAACCAAAUCGCGACGGAAUAAACCUUAGGUGGAUUUUGUUCCGUCCAUAAGUCAUAUGGGUGACCCCAAACUGAGUCAUCCACAGCCGAAGUAGCUGACCCACCUGCCUCUGCCAGAGCAGAUGCACCGAGGUUGUCCUCGUCAACAACCUCGUAUCCCCGAUGCGGCUGGAUGAAACCACUGUCACACGAUGUCCCACCUGACGUGUGCUCGGAAGCAUGACCCCGCAUACCAUAGGCCAUGUCUACUGAUGUCCCAUGUCCAUCAGCUGAUCCUGAUGGUAUAGGCAUAGUGGUAAGAUCUGGACAACCACCAAAACCACCGUAGGCCCAAUGCUGUAUUUGCUGAUCUCCAUGACCAUCACCGAGAAUCUGCAAUGGGAUCAACGGAAAGUCAAACCAUUCAUGUCCGGCCAGAAUGGUAAGUAUGGGCAGAAUAUGCUGGCCAGACUGACCUUGGUGGCUGUGCUGAGAAUGCUGGGAGUGCUGGCUGUGCUGAGAGUGCUAAUUGUGUCCACUAUGCCAACUGUGCCCACUGUGCUGACUGUGCCCACUGUGCUGACUGUGCCCACUAUGCUGACUGCGACGUCUGUGAGACUGCCUCGUCGUAGUCACCAGACUGAACGUGGUGGCUAGGCUCACUAUGGUGAUUGUGGUCUGGUGGUUGUGGUAUAUAAUAAGGAAAUGACUGAAACACUGCGUACUGAGGUGGAUCCUGAGGUGCUGGUGGCUGUGGUACUAGUGGCUGAUCUGGAUGCUGAGAAACGUACUCUGACAAUCUCAGCAGAUGUCCGUACGAUCCCACAUACCAAUCUCGAUACUCCGUCGACGGUGUAAAAGUCCCAAGUCGGAAGGGGGUGCUAAUCUCGCAAUCGAUUGUUACGACAGUUGCCCCAUUCCUUUAUCCAUCCCCAUGUAAAACUGUCCAGUCAUAAAGCUGCGCUCCGCAAAGAGUGAUGCAAUGCUCUCUCAAUAGAAUUUCUCUUGCUACCGGCGGGGGAGGUUGUGCAUACCCAAACUGACGCAUGAUUCGGUUCGCAGAAUGACAUUCGGCACACUCGAACGACAAUAAUGGAGCAACGAUGUCACACACCUCAAGGUGACCAUGUAACUCGUCGGGUAUGAUCAGCCCUUCAUACAGCCGCCAUACAAACUGCCACAUAUUAUUAGAAAAUUAGCACCCUAAUAUUAAUUUUUCUAUAUGGGAAUCAUACAAACCCUAAAUAUUUACCUCGUCCAUGUAGUCUAUUUCCUACCUAAAAAUCGCUACGAUCUUCGAUGACCACGCCUUGUUCAGAUAGGAAUGACUCCACCUGAAAUAUGAUUCAUUGAAAAAAAAAAAAGGUUACUGAUACGAGCCCUAUGGGAUAAACUGAAAACUGUCAUAUGCCAAUUGGUCCAAUUACAAGAGCAACAACUAAGAGAAUAAAAGAAGAUUUUGCAAACAUGGCUAAAUCAUGUGUUCAGGAGAUGCAUCAAGAAUUGGGCAAGACAAUGAUUAACGAUUAUCAAAAGCCACACGUCUUACUAUUUUACAAGAUGCAUUGAAGACUCUCAUUAGUCAAGAUGAAUUAAAAGAGACAUCACUUUCUUAGAAUUUAUUCUAUGUUUAUUUUAUUUUUGUUAUUUGUUUGUUUUAGGCCCAAUUAUGAUUUGACCCAUAUUUUAUUCUAGUGAACUUAUGAGUUAGGGAUUUAAAUUUAAGAGGUAUAAAAACCCUCUAAAACCUGGUAGCCUUUUUUUUUCUUAAUUUUAUGAAUGAAAUUUUCUUUGAGUUUCUUUGAGAAACUUGGGUGUGAACAGGUGAGGUAGAGUGAUUCCCUUAACUGUUGCAUCAGGAAAUCAAAUUGAGGUAGAUGAGUCCCUUUCUUUGAUCUUCCAUCUUAUCCUGGGUUACGUUCCGUAUCAGUUACCGUAGGUCAAAUAUGCAUUGUCAACAUAAUGCAGGACUGAAAUAGGAACUGUUACCUCAUGGCAACUGGUAUCACAACCGGUGGAAGGGAUUGUCUGGGUAUGGGCGCAAUACACGGCAGUCGCUCCCAUGCCCAAACAAACAACAAAUUAAGAUGGUCAUCCAUCUCCUUAGCAUCAUACUGUGAUGCACGACAUAAUCCCCUGUAAAGAUGCGCGAGACAUGUUGACCCCCAACUAUAAGUAUGGAUCCACUCGAAAUCGCGAAGCAACGGUAGAUACUUCGCGUGGACAUAUGCGAUCGACUUAUCCGUGAAUAAGGUUGAACCCAAAAAACAAAAAAUCUGGCAUCUGACGUAUCUCUUAAUAGACUCCUCGGUGUCCAAUUGCUCUGCGUCUCUGAUAUCCCGAACACAACCCAACUUUAUAUAAGAUUUCGAAGAACUACUGACAGCCAGUUCGUGGCGGAAUAUAGCGAUGCUCUGACUCUAUAGGAAGUCGCUACUACUAUCUGUCCGGUCGCUCACAGGCUCUCAAUCAAUGGGUAGGCCAAAUAUAUGAGCGACAUCUUCUAAUGUCACAGUAACCUCACCCACCGGCAAUACAAAGGUAUGAGUUUCUAGUCUCCACAUUUCCACCAAAGCAGCUAAUAAGGGGUAAAAUUGUUUUAUGAACCCAAUCCUAGAGACGUGGUAGAAUCCGAUUGAGCGUAAGUAGUUUUCGACCAUCGGAUUACACGUCUGCGGCGGAUCCAGUUUACGAACCAUCAAAUUCCUAUUUGGCUAGUUCAACAAAAUUUAUUCAUUAAAUAUUAGUUUAAAUAAAUAAAAAUAAAUAUUUAUAAUAAUAAUUUACAUAAAUAUAAUAUUGUUAUUUCUAAUCAUAAAAAAAUUACUUACAUUUAAAUACAUAAAAUAAUAAAAUUAUCAACUUAAAUAAAUUGGAUGAUCCAAAUAAUUGAUGAUAUGUUCUUCGAGUAUCGUAUAAUUACGUACCAUUUUUUAAUCACUACAAAAUUAAUAAUUUUUUUCUUUAUACACACCUAAAUAAAAUCCUAACUCUCACUAUAUAACACACUUCACAAACUUUAGAUGCUGCACAAACUUCAAAUGCUCCACCUAUCUUCUUUCUUAGUAUCACUCACAAAUUUUAGAUAGGGAAAGUAUGAGAAGCCAAUGGAAUAUUUAUACAAUGUGUAUAAUGGAAGUUUAGAAAGCAUUAGAGAUAUAAUCAUUAGUGUUACCUUUUUCCAUCAGCUGAAGCUUUUGGGAUGAGUGGUAUCAUGCAUGGUAUUAGAGCGCUAGAUCCGAAAGGUCAAGAGUUUUUACCUUGGUGAACCCCAAAAUCAAUUUAAAUUUUUGAGAAGAUGUUUAUUAUCGCUAGUACUCAGAUGAUUAUUCUAGAUAGUAUGGGAGAUGUUCAUUUUGUAACUCAAUAGCCCAUUGUAUACAUUGUACAAAUAGUCCAUUGUCUCCCUAACAGGAUCCAGAUAGAUACUCCACCAAGAAGCAAGAAGCUCAAUUUAUAGAGCUUGAAAAUGAGACUAGCUUGUUAUCGGAGUGGGGGCUGUCCCCUGCAUGCAGACCACCUGCAAUACUCCCCUGUGUUGCUGCAUCCUUGGAACUAAGCAAAAGCUUUGUAACUCAAUAGCCCAUUGUAUACAUUGUACAAAUAGUCCAUUGUCUCCCUAGCACGAUCCAGAUAGAUACUCCACCAAGAAGCAAGAAGCUCAAUUUAUAGAGCUUGAAAAUGAGACUAGCUUGUUAUCGGAGUGGGGGCUGUCCCCUACAUGCAGACCACCUGCAAUACUCCCCUGUGUUGCUGCAUCCUUGGAACUAAGCAAAAGCCUGCAACGCUGCCAAGAUUUAGAGGGAACACACUCCCUGCGUGUUGUUGCCACCCGUGCAUGCCCGCCACCUCACUACGUCCUCUGCGUGGUGCUCGGGAACUGCCACACUUCCAAUUGGCUCUGUCACCACGCCCCCUACGUGUUAAACACCUCACUUACAACGCGAUAAAACACCUCCUUCUCUGAUAUUGAGCAAAUACACCAUUGGAUAUUCCAUAUAAAAAAUAAUUUCUGUAACAAUGGCCUUUUAUUAGACAAGUUUUCUUUAUUUCUUUUAUUCACUUAAAAAUUACCAAUAAAAAUCAUAAAAUAAAAAAUUUUACCAAUUCAAGCCUUAGACAUAAUAACACUUGGACCAUCCAAAUUAAAAAAUUAAAAAAAAAAGAAUAAAAAGCUUAUCCAAUUUGCAUUUACAGCACCAAACAAUUUCCACGGACUAUCAAUUUUUCUUCCAUUCAAGCUACAACUGCAACAUUUAAUAAUUUAUGCACAUCAAAAUUUAGAAUUGAUUACAGCAAAAUUACAAAGAAUUGUGUAUACAAACAAAUGGUACAAACUGAUAAAUGAUAAUGACUCCACUGCAAAAAAAAUUAAAAGUAAAUCGGAAGAAAGAAAUUAAAAAGAAAAAAAGAAAAGGAAAGAGACAAGACUGAAAAGAAUCACAUGACUGAAUGAACAAAGGUUGUUUGGGUGAGCUUUUGAGAAAAAAUCUUUUUUCGAGUUAUCUUUUUUUAAAAGAUCCUAUAGAGAAGUAAAAGUAAUUUUAUGUUUGGAUAUCUCAUGUAAAAAGGUCUUUUUAUCUAUCAAUUAUGUUUGGGUAUAACAAUAUAAAAGUACUUUUUUGUUCAUUUAUUACACGAAAAACAUCUUUUUUUUUUUAAGGAAAAAAGAUCUUUUAAAAAAAGAUGUAAAUUACAGCUUCUCAAAAAAGAUCUUUUUUUGAUUUUACUAGUGCUUUUACUUUUACUACUAAAAAUUUGCCAAACACAUUAAAAAAUAAAAAAAGAUCUUUUUUCAUUGAAAAAAGAUCUUUUUUUAACAAAAUAAUGGCGCCCAAACAUGCACAAAAAUACAGUACAACUCGUCUUCCCAUCAUUUUCUUUUCAGCAAAAAUGGAAAAAGAUAUGGUUAGCUGAGUCUGCACCAACUCUUGAUGACUGAGCCUUCCCAUGCCUACCUGGUUUCGGCACUUCAGAUUGAGAACCAAUGAUCAGUUUGUGCAACGGCUUCAGCGCCACCAUUAUUUCUGUAGUUCUCAACUUUGGAUCUCUACAAUACAAAAGAGUAUCAUAUAGUCACACCAACCAUGAUUGUAGGUUAAGUAUUAUAAAGGUUCCUAAAGCUUAAACAUUCUGUAUAUGCGAAAUAUUUUCGACAAAUCCCUAUAGUCUAGAAGUUUUCAAUUAAGUCUAUAUACUGUACAAAUAUUUUUCAACAAAGUCUUCUAGUUUAAAAAUUGUAUAAUCAAGUCCCUAUCAUGCAUAAACGACGAGUCGUCGUUACAGGGGUUUCUUGAAACUGGCUUGCGCUUUAUAAGGAUUUUUUAUUAGAAAAAAUGGUUAUAUUGAAACAAAACUGUACCUUGGCAAGAUCAAGUGUGUAUUUCCUUUCAUGUGAUUAUUCAUAUCCAAUAGAACAAGUGGUUUUCAGAAUGCUAUAAGCAAGAGUUCUGAUAUCUUAGAAUAAGGAUAAAAUGAUUGAAGAGUACACUCACGUCUGCCAGCAUUGCUUGAUAAUAUCCGUGAUAGCAGGGUCCAUAUCAUCUGCAAUGACAAGGCAAGUAGGCAACAAUGCUGGAAACCAACAGCACCCACAACUUGCAUCGGAUUCAUUCCACUCCAGGGCUGUUGCAAAGUAGAGAGCUCCCAUAAUAUGACUCCAAAGUAUAAACAUCGCACCUGGAUAUCCAAUCACCACUUAUUAUAAUCAUAAAAUUAUGAAUGUCUUAAAAGGGUGGCAAAACCAAUGAGAAGAACGACGGGACAAGAAAGCCAAAGAACAACACUUAUAUGUAAUAAAAAUUCCAACUUAUUUUUCCCUAUGCCAGAUGAUUCAGGUUAGAGAGGAACACAUACUAUGAAAUCCUCCUCCACAAGCAAAAUAAAGAAAAAUUGACAAAAACCAAUGAUAACUGAGCUUACUUUUCAUUUUAAGGUUCAUUUCUUAACACUUCAGGCACCAUCCACUCGGCCUGCAACAUGCCAUAAAAAAUGAAUAUAUUGCAAUGCCAAACAAACGCUUAGCAGCAAAACUAAAUACGUGCAGAAUAUUGGAACUGAUCACGCAUACGAAAGAGAGGAGCUUGAGGUAGAGAUGAAAAGCAUGUAGUUACACUAAGCCACCAUUUGGCAAUUAUCAGAGCACACAGACCUAUUUGAAACUCUUACCAAACAAUAACUUUAGGCUCAAGAAAAUUAAGAAAGAUUUGCUCAUUUGUUACCAAAGACCAUUCAUCGUAGUAGAGUGAGUUGGUAAAGUCUAGAGAAGAGUUACAAGAGUUAGUUAUGAAAGAACUGUUGGCUGUUAGAACAGUGCCAGCUACAUAGGAGAGCUGUUAGUUACAGCUAUCAUAACUAACUUAAGAAUGAACGGACUGUUGUGCCUUUUGUACUAGCUUGCACAGUAAGCUACCCUUCUCUAUACAUAAGCACAGAUUAGUGAUAAGCUCACUAGUAAUGCAGAUCAUAAAUUUCUUGUCUUUCUCUUCAAAUCCUCUUUUCUUUCUCACUGUGUUUUCUUCCUUCUCUCAUUCUCUCAAACCCUAUUCAAUCGACAUUUUCUUGGCACAUAGAACUAGUAAUUGUAUUAUAAAUUGAACAUAACAUAAGCCGAGGCUAAAGAUAGGUAUUCAUCAUCACAAAAGGAUUAAUAUAACAUGCCAAACAUAAUGAAUUUUUAAAUGGCAAGAAGCUCCGGUUUUCCAAACUUUUUGUUAAAAGAUAAUAGCAAAUGCCUCUAUUUGUGUAUGUUUGUAUAGCUUUAGAAGAAUAUAAAGCACAACGAACAUAAAAAAUAUGCAGCAGAAUGUAGAACAAGAACAUGAAAGAACGAAUAAUUCAGAAGGCAGAGGGUAUGACAUAGUAUUUGAGCUUAGAAAUGAGGAUUAUGACAGCUUACUGUUCCUCCAAUUGAUCUGGAAGAAAGGAAUGUACUAUGUUUCAUUCUUGAUAAGCCAAAAUCACAUAACUAUACGAAAGAUAAAAGAAAGGGUGAAAAAAACAAUUAAACCAUAUCUACAGGUAGCAUUCAGCAUGCUAUCAAGAAAAUUCAAACAUGACAAUUAGUUGACACCUUCACAACCCAAUUUUUAUCAACAAGAAGAUUUUGUGGCUUCAAAUCAUGGUGUACAAUCACUGGAGUGCAGUUGUGCAAAUAGUUUAUUCCUCGGGCCUGUAGAUUCAAGAGAUAUAUGUCACAUCAACUGAGUUUCACUGAUUAUGGCAAUAAUUUGAUUAAUGAAACAACAUCGCAAUAAAAGAAAACAGAAUCUUCCAGUAUAGAGGGCCAUCUCAACUGCCUUCGCUCAUCUAAUUGAUUGUUUGGCAGAUGAAUUAGUCUGUACAAACUUCCUCUGCAUAGCAAAUAUAAAGUUCAGACUUCAGAGUCAUUAAAAGUAAUCCUUCCAGAACAACAUUAAUCAAAAUAAUAAAUAAAUGCAAAGAAAUUCACCAAAUAAAAUCAAAUUCAAUUUAAAGAGUUCUGUAUUAUUUCACUUUUAACACCUCCGUCACAACAACACACAAUGAAACUCUAAGCCAGUAAGAGUUUUUUUAAAAUGCUAACAAUCAGAGAGUCAGAGACAAUGGAACAAUGUCUACACAGGAUCUUAGACAAGAAAUAAUGAGGUAAUUUAUCUAAGAAUUAAGAGAAAAACAUCCUCGGGAAAAGUACUUCAUAAUGUACAUAUUUUCAGCAGGAGCGAUUUCCAAGCAUUACAACUGAGUAGCAAUAAUUAAAUAAAUGGCCAAAAAUUUUUGAGACAACUGAACCAUAUUAACCUUAACUCGAUGUUGCUCAGGAUGAAGAAAAAAGGGGACAUGCAUUUUAGAAGGUGGGUUUAAUUUUAAGAUGGAGGUGAAAACUAUAUAGCCUGAGAAGAAAUCCCUAACUUGUGGCCUACUCUCACUCCCACAGUCCCGCUCUCCUUUUUAAUUUUUCUUUUCUUAUUAUUACUCCACGAUAUAAAAGAAUGUGAGAAGAAGAUUUGUGUGAUUGGCGAGUGAAGGGAAGAUGAACGGAAGAGGUAGACGGAGAUCUGGUGUACUUGGGUGCAACACCAGCGGAGCACUUCUAAUAGCGUGAGUUUAUUUUUUGCUGCUCCCAUUCAAGUAAAUUUUUUUAAGCAUUUUUCUAUGCUCGAGGUUAUUGCCGAAGUCAUUAUCUUGGAUCUUAACUGUUUGGAAUUAGUUUGCUUUUAUUAGUUUUGCUAUUCAUGGUGAAUAAUUCUUAAUUGCUUAAAUUAAGGAAGUUGGUUUGUUUUUUAUAAUGGUUAUGCUGCACUAUCUCAUUAUUGUUCAUCUUGCAGUUUUGUGAUUUUGCUUUAUGAAUGGUAAUAUGUUUUAGAGACAUGCACUUAUGCUUAGGUGUGGUAGAUAUCCAUGGAUCUACUAAGAAUGGACAUAUCAAUUUGAAUAUAUAUCUACUUGAAAGAUCAUCUUCAUCUACUAAGAAUGGACAUACCAAUUUAAAUCUUUAGUAUUGAUGAUAAAAAAUACUAUAUACUUAACAAUACUAGAUGAUUUUGUUUGUACGUAGUUAGUAGUAGUUGGUUACUUGGUUUUGUUUUUCAAUUCUCGAUAUAUAGGAAAAGGACAUAGUACAAAAAUGAAGGAAGUUUUGUGAAUUUUAAUUCGAACAAGUGUGUAAAAAAAAUAAGUUGUUUCUUGAAUUGAUAGUGAAGGUUUAUUUAAAUUGUUUUGCAUUGAUUCAAUUUUAUGCAAAUUUCCCUUUGUAAACUGUAAUCCAAACACACACUAAGCAGAUUCUAUUUUGGCAGGUAAGCUUCCUUUACCACUUCAAAAAAGUGUGACUUGCUAUAUGUUAAUACCUUUAGUUCUCCUAAUGCAGAUUGGUUAGUUUCUUCUUAUUCAUAUGUUUAUCUCAUAUAAAUAUGUUGACUUUUGGUUAGUUCAAAACAAUGCAAAUGAUGUAUGUUUUAUGUGAUCUUUCGUUCCUUCUUUAAACUAGACACCUUUCAACUAUAAUCUUCUGUUUUUUUAACGGUUAUUUCUAAAAUUUUUUAUUAUUAAACAAUUAGUUGAUAAUAUUAUUGUAAAUUUAAUUAAAGGAUUAUGUAUACUGAUGUUUUAAUGAUUUACCUUUGUGAAUUUUAAUUAUUUUCUUUAAAUUAAGAAAUUUUCUUUGAAAUGUGUGCUAGACUUUUUGAUAAGAAAUACACGUGUUUUUUAAUAGUUCUACACUCACAAAUCUCCAAAGAAGGUGAGAUUAGGUUUACAGCAAAAAAUACAAGUGUAUUUUAAGUAAUAUUAUUUAGAUAAUAAUAUACAUUCAAGUAUUAUUUAUACUAAUACUAUUUUUUUCUUUUAUUGAUUCCUUUUCAUGACACCUGAAUGGAUGUAAUCAUUGCAUGAAGAUGCAGGUUUUUCUGGUUACUUGAGUUGCUUUUAAGGCCGUGGCUUCUUCUUGGAGUCCAAAGCAUGAGAAGAUGCAGAAGAACUUGAGUACAAAGUUAGCUGUGGCAAUAAGAAGUGUUCAAUGGAGUUAUGACAUUUUAUGUUCACCUUCAACAACCCAAGAUGGGUAAUCAAUUUAAAAACAAAAACUUUUUAGAAUACAAAAAACAAUGCCACUUUUCUCUCAUGAUAUGAAGUUUCUAUUUUGGUAAUUUUGAUUCUUUUGAGUCUUGUGUAUAUGAUGAUCAUUGUGUUCCGUUAGUUUCAUGAAUAGGUUGUCUUGUCAGAACUUUUUGAGACAUACAUAAGGCUUUCGUUACGCAGAAAAAAAAACAUGUUAUUCAUACUUCAUUUAGUUUAUGACUUCAUCAGCCUUUAAGAAUUAGCAUGUAAGUACUUCUGUCUUGGAUCCAACUUUCUGCCCUGUUUUAUGUAAUUAAACUUUCAGUGAGUUACACCAUUGAUGAUAGCAAGGCCCCUAUAUUUGAUUUGUUAUUAUAAUCUAUUUAAUCUUUCUUUAUGAUGCUAUGAUUUUCGAAUUUUUCCCUCCCAUUUGAUCCUAUAUCUCCAUGUUCCAUUAUCUUUUCUUUAUAAUUUGAAGUCUGAGAUCAUUGUCUCUUGACAAUACUGAUAAAACAUCCAUGGGGUCACUGAUAUUUGGUGCAGUCAUAUAAUAUCAUUUUUUUUUUCAAUUUGAUGAGUAUAACUACAUGAGUGUUGUAUAGUUAAAUGGAUGAAACUUUGGUGGUCUUAUAUAAAAACUUUAUAUCAAUUAUUCUCUUUUAUUCUCACAUUUACUAGUGCAUUUAUUUUUGUAUUACUUGGAUAUCUAUACUCUUUUGGAUUCAUCUUUGUGUUUUUUACUCUAUUGACAAAAAUGAUUUCAAGUCUUUAGGAAUGGUGAUUUUUUGGCAAUUUGUUUGGUAUAAAGAAUGGUUGCGUAUGCCUAUUUUCAAUGUUUGUUAAUAGCUUUUAUUAUAUUUUAAACUUAAAGCUAAACUUCAUAAUUUCUGGCAAAUAUUUUGGGGUCAAUAUAAAUUAAGCUGUCAAAAAAUUAUUAGCAAAAUAUAAGAAAUGGGCUAUAGUAACGGAGGAAUGUGAUUGAUCUCUUAGCAAACAAUAUAUCAUUGAGUUAUUUGAAUUCUUUCUAGAACUUGUAUGUUAUUUUAUGUUUGGUACUUUUUAGCCUGAGGUUUAGAAUACUAUCUCCUAUAUAAAUGAGUAUUCUACUAAAAUGCUAAUUGGUUUCAAGAAAUACCAGGAACAUGUUAAAGAUUUUAUUACCUGCAUCUCAAAGUAUCUAAGACAGAUUGUUAUUUUAGAUAACAAUCCAUUCGUCUUUUUAUUGCAACCAGUGAAUGGUAUUCCAUGUAUUGCCUUUUUUGUAGGACAACCACAUGACAUACAGGUGCAAAGAUCUUUGCUAUUUAACAUUGAAAUUUAAAGUUUUCAAAGCCAAAAUAUAAAAAACUUCAAAUCUCCCAUAUUAAAUUGUGAGUAGUUUUGAAGCACAAAUUUUGGCAAGAAGCAAACGAAAAUGGUUCAGUAUCUGUUGCAUUUGGAUAAGUCAUAAUAUUUAGUUGUUAUAGUUUUUGUUUUUUUUUAUUUAUUUAUUUAUUGUUUCUGGUAGUUGUAGUAGUAGUAGAUUAAUAAUAUGGAAAAUUUAGAUGUCCAUAAAAGUGACAUAGGAUUGGUUUUAUAUCUGUAUAAAAAAGGGUAAAAGUUUUCAUUUUUCAAGAUAAAAUUGAUAUUGAUUUUAACAUAGUCUAAAUAACGAAUUAAUUAAUAAGUAUUUUUUAGAAUAUUUGUUAAGAGCCCGUUUGGAAACAGAAGUUUUUUUGACUUUUGAAUUAUGAAAAGUCACAAUAUGCGUGUUUGGCACUAUUUGAAAAAAAGCUUUUAACUUUUUGAAAAGUUAAUUCAUAACUUUUCGAAGAAGUAGAAAUAUACGACUUUUUCUUUUCGAUAAGUCAUUCUAUCAUUUUUCUAAAAAAAAUUGCUUUAAAAAAAAAUCUACUUUGCUCUGUAAAAAUGUUUCCUGUUUUUUAUGAAAAUACUAUCUCUCCACUACCAUUUUUACGCAAAGUUUCAUCUGCUAGAAGUAUUCGCCCUCCACCACCUUUUUUAGGUAAUGAUUCAUCUGUUGAAACUAUUGACCUUCCAACACUAUUUUAAAAUAAUGUUCCAUCUGAAUUACCUACUUCAUAUAUUUCUUUCAGUUAUUUUUUUAAUUAUUUUACCACUCUAUUUUAUUAUUAAAUUUGUAUUUAAUACUGUGUGUGAUAUGAAAUCGUAGUUUUAGUUUUAUUUUUUUCACAUGUUAUUUUAUUUUUAUAUAGCUUGCUAUUAUUUUUAUAAUUAGUUAUAACAAGUUUUUGAGUUAUUUAUUCAAACGCUACAACUUUAAAAUAAGUACUUUUAUAAUUAAAAAUUGAAAUACCAAAUAACUUAUUUAUAAACUUUUAUUAAUAAAAGUCCUUAUAUGUUAGGAACUUAUUUAAGUUGUUUACCCAAACUGAACCUAAGUAGAUAAUAAUAAUAACUUUUGAGUCACCAAUAAACAAGUGCUUCUUUAACAAAUUUAACAAGCGCAUUUGUUAAUCAAAUUCUUGAAAACAUAUUUAUCCUUUGCUCAAAUAGAGUCCACAAGUCCAUGCUUACAAAGAACAUAUUAGUGUUAAUAACAGUUCCUUAAGACUUAGAUUUAUUAUCUUUGAGUGAGCUAUGGAUAUUCACAUUUUGAUUCCCCAUCAAAAAUUCAAUUUUUUUUUCCUUUUUUGAGUUGUGCCAUUAAAUUGAAUUAAACUGGAAAAUGAUAUUAAGUGUAACACUUAUUAUUGUUUUAUUUAUUUAUAUUUGGUAAUUAAAAUAAAGUCUAAAAGUCCAGCCGAAAAUUACAUAUCAAAGAUAAAUCGAACUCUGGAGACCUCUCUACAAUUAUCAUCUAACAUAUAUUUGAUUUCUUUAGGAUAAUUAUCUAUGAAAUAAAAACCUAACUCUCUAGUGAUACUUCUUUUGGCUAACCAGUCUGUACACACAUUUUUCUCCCUGUAAGUGUGCUUAAAAAUUAAAAUUCAGUCUCUUUUCAUCAUUAGACUAACACUUCUAGGUGUACACUUAUGUACAAGUAUGUAUAGACUUUUAAGAUGAGAGUUUGGACCAUUUAAAAAAAAGUUUAACGGACAAAAGGCUAACGAGUUUAGUUUUUAUUUUUCUUUUGUCUAAAUAGAUAAUUUAUUUAAAAAAAAUUAUAUUAUGGACUAAAAAUCUAAAAUANNNNNNNNNNNNNNNNNNNNNNNGUUUGUCCAUUUAUUUCGCAGCCAAGCACGUUAAAGAACUCUAAAAGUGCCAAUCCCAAUGGACCCAACCCAUUUUAACGGUUCUAAUUAGAAUUUCGUAAUUAGAAUUUCGUAAUGUCAUCGUCAAGUAAUGUAAACGAAUUCAGUAUUAGUGUUUUAAAAAAGAAAAAAUGAAGUGGAAUAUAGUUUUAAUUAACAAAAGAAAAUGUAAUUUUAAAUCUUAAGUGUAAUUUAGUUUACUUUUAUGAACAAAAAAUAUUAUUCUAUAAUACAUCUAUUUUUUUAUUUUGUGCUUAAUAUAUAUUUAGACUAACAUUAAAAUUCUUUGUAUAAUAGAAUAUUUUAUUAAUAUGAAAAGAACUCAAAUUUUAAAAUUAUACCUAUGUACGAUAUUUUGAUAUAAUAAGAAGUUAAAAAUAUUAUUCAGAAUAAAUAAUUUUUUGUGGUAAAAAUAAAUUCUCUAGCGCGUGCAUUUGCACGGGUCAAAUGCUAGUAUAUAUAUAUAUAUUUUUGGUACCUACAAAGUUACGGAAAAAUAAGUUGCACAACAGAAUAACAGAACAAACAAGAAAACAAAAUUUUCAAUCUUUUUCGUUUUGCUUAGUUUGUAGCAUGAUAAAUAUAUGAUCUCAGAGAAUAACAGUAAAGAACACUCGAUUGCUAUAAAGAGAUCUUAAACACUAAAUCAGUAAGCUAUAACUAGGAAUAUCAUCUAAAUAAUCAAUAAAGUAGUGGAAUUAAAAAGGAUCAUAGCAAUUGCAAAAAUCGAAAGUGCAAAAUUAUAUUGUGUCAUGGCAUUGCCAAAGUCCUCUGACCCAACAGACACAGAAUUUACAAAACUAUGAUACAUAUUCAGCAACAAUGAGAUGUAAUUUCAAUUUGAGUUGAUGUAUCUUACCUUCUUUUAUCAAUUCAAUAAAACUACAUUAGCGGGUUGACCUCUAUGAUGCAUCUCGAUAAGAAGCUCCAAAGCACGGGAGAUUCUCUUUGAUUUGCUCAAGCCAUCAAUAAGAGUGCUGUAAGUUACCGUGUUUGGAACCAAGUUCUUGCGAUGCAUUUCUUCAAAGAGAUUCAAGGCUUCAUCGACCAUUUUACUUUUGCAGAAGCCAUUAAUCAUGAUACUGUAACUUUGAACAUUGGGUAACACACUAAUUUGGGCCAUUGUGUUGAAUAUAUAUUUUGCCCUAUUUACCUGAUUAACCAAACAAUAUCCAUCCAUUAAGCUGUUAUAAGUAACCACAUCUGGUUUCACACCAUGUUUUGCCAUUACAGCCAAUACACUCUUAGCAUCUUUGAUCUUUCCUUCCUUGCAUAGCCCAUCAAUCAAAGUAUUAUAGGUAUAAACAUUAGGAGUAAUGUUUCUAAGCACCAUAUCACUUAACAAAUCAAUGGCUUCCUUAUAUUGACCCUCAAGACACAAUCCAAAAAUGAGAGAACUGUAUGUGAUAACAUUGGGAGAAAUUCGCUUAGCAAGCAUUUCAGAGAAUAAAUGAAAAGCCUGACUUACAAGUGUAUCCUUGCAGAGGGUAUCAAUAAUUGCGCUGUACAUGAAGACAUUAGGAGCAAUGCCAUACCGUGGGAUCUUUCUCAACAUUUGAAUAGCAGCUGAUGUGUGUCCGGUUUUACAGAGGCCAUUGAUCAAGGUCCCAUAAGUGACUUGAUUAAAGUGAAAUCCAUGAGCCAGCACUCUAUCAUGAAAGCGCACUGCUUUUUCAACACUACCACAGAGAAAGAGGCCUUUAACGAGUGUAUUCAAUGUUACCGUAUCAGGUUGAUAAUCCAUUCUGAAAAUCUUGGCCAAUACAGAGAAAGCAAGCGUCAUACGACCCAUGCCGCAACAACAAUUAAUUACGAUGCUCAAAAUAAAUAAGUCGGGAGCGAUUCCCCUGGCUUGCAAUUGCUGAAAAAGGGAAAUGGCGGUGGAGAAAUGGUUGGUCUUGGCAAGAGAUCCCAAAAUCUUGGUGAAUUGGAUGAUGGAUGGAGGGCGACGCAUAGAGAGCAUGCGAGUGAAGGAAUCAACAGCUUCAUCAACUUCACGAAGGCAUGGGGGCUCAGAAUGAGAGUGAAGGGAUGAAGAGGAAGGGAAGGAAACAAAAUUAGGGAUUUGGAGAAGAGAAUACCUAGAAAUGAAAGUGAUCCUUGAGGUUGAGGAUGACAACAUUUUAGUGUUUCGCACUUUCGCUGUUGUCUAAGUUUGAGGGAGUUUGCUAACUCUGCGGAAAUAGUCCUCUGUUUCCAACACCCCCCAUACUAAUGAAAGGUCUCCAGACUCCAGUCCCGUUUUACUUGGGUUCUUUUGAUUUUUCUUUUAUCAAUUGUAGGAAGGAAAAGUCUAGAUGCCAGCAACUUUGUUAAAUUUUGGUCAAUAUAUAAUUAACAGAAAAAAGUGAGUCAUUAGAUAAAAUCUCAUACUAAUUUCACACCAUUAAAAUUAUCAUUAAUGACUAUUUAAUAGCUACAAAUUAAAAAAAUUGCUGCCCCUAACAUUCUUCUUUUAUGAAUUGGACGUAUAUACCAAAUAAAUUACAAGGCUUGGGGGAGUAAUGGUUCCAUUAUGCUCGAGAAAAAAAGUGAUCCAUCAAACAAGACAUCGACAACAAUAACAAUAAAAUUUAAUUAUUUUGUUAGUCUUUAAUCAAUUCUUUAUAAUUUAAUCAAAUUUUUAAUUAAAUUUUUAGAAUAUAAAAAUUUAUAAUUAAAUUUUUAUUAAUUAUUAUUUAAAGGUCAAAUUUUUUUCUACUUUAAAAUAAGGUUAAAUUAUACCGUUAGUCCCUAUAUUUUCACUGAAAUUACAAAUUGGUCCCUACAUUUUAAAAGUUUGUAAUUGAGUCCCUAAAUAAAAUAUAAUUUUGUAAUUAAGUCCUCAAUAACAUUUACCGUAAAAAAAAUACACAUUUAUGUAUCUAUUUUUCCUCCUCCUCUCUUCAGCAUUUUUGUUCUUCUUUAACGUUAAUACGACUUUAACAACAACAAUGCCGAAAUCAUUGCUAAUGACCAAAUUCAUUAACACAGCAAAAACCAAAAUUAACAGUUAUUAUACAAACUACCACAAUAAUGUAUACUAUUAUCAUGAAUGAACUCAAUUCAACUCAUCCCAAUUAUAUUUAAAUUAUCAAUAAUUAAAAUCUUUCCCUUAUCACAAGCAAAAUCCUUCUCUCUAACAACUCAAUCUUACUAAUCAAAUCCCUCAUAGUAUGCCUAUGGAUCCCACCCACAGGCACAUACCGAUCCAAGAACUCACGAUCCAUCAACGUCUUUCCCUCCACCGCUCCAACACCAUCACUGCCAUCAACCUCAAACGCACCGUUUUGGAACGCAGGAAGCUCCUCACCUCUUCUCUUCCCAUAACAUCCGUCAAUGCCUUCCCACCUUUCGCCAUCCGGAUUUUGUCAGGGACCAUCCUAACCUUCUCGCCCUCGCAAACCAAGUUCUAUAGCGUCUCGCUUUAUUAGCACCAGAACCACUCGAGUCCGUGGAGGACCUAGACACGGUGUGUGAAGCCGUUUCCGAAGCUAAUGGUGGUAGUGUCAGAAACAUGAUGUCAUUUUAGCAGAAUCAAAGAUUCUCAUUGGCGUGGGGACCAAUUUGCAAUUUCAUUAAAAGUAUAGGAACCAACUGUGUAAUUUAAUCUUAUUUAAAAAAAAUUAAUAAUUUUAAAAUAUUUACUUUUAAAACAAAUAGUAUUUUUUAAUUAAAAAAAAGAGAUGAUCGAAAUGUUACCUUUAGAAAAGUAUAAUAUCGACAGAUAAUUUUAGAGUUUAUGGUUUAGAAAAUUUGUUGAAUAGUAUAAAGUUAAAAGAGGCUGAAUUAGUAUGUUUGAAGUGGUUAGCAUCAUACUUACCAUAAUUUUGCUGAUACACUUAAUAUACACCUGUUUAUAAAAUUUUGUCCAACUCUACUAUAUAUUUUUUCGAGUGAAGUGGAAGACCAAAAAUAUUUAAUAUUAUGCUAGGAAAGAAUAUAUUAGGAAAUUUAUACUUAGACAAUAUUCAUGCUCUAACAAUUAAUCAGAGUUAAUUUUUGUUUCUACCUCUUGAUAAUUGUUUAUUUAUAUUAAAAAAAUUAUCAAACAAUAUUGACAAAUUAACUUAUCAUUGGAAAAAGAUUGAAUGAAAUAAAUAAAAAAUUGUCACCUAAUAAAAUAUUGCACCCCAUAGCGCUAUUAGUUAUUAUCAUUAAAAUUAGGGAUGCUAAAUAAUAAUUUUUCACCAAGAAACAAUGACUGCUCUUUAGGUCUGUUAAUUUCAAUAAAUUUUUUUAAUGUGAAUUCAUUCAACAACAUGUAUUUUUAAAUAUGUUUUUUUUUUUUUGGUAAAAUGUAUUUCGAAACAUUAAGGACCUUGGGAAGCUUCAAAAAUAUUUUUUUUUUGAGUUUUUGACUUAUGAAAAGUAGUAGUAUUAAUGUCUAAUGUAAUUUUCAAAACCAAAUUGCAGCUUUCUAAGAAGUUAUUUAAGAGCUUAUAGAAAAGUUUAAAAAAAUAACUUCUCUUGUAAUACUACUACUUUUUAUCAUAUUUUUAUAAAAUAAACACUUUUAAAAUUAAAAACCCAAAUAUAAAAUAACUUAUUUAUAAGCUACUUUUAAUAUAGUCAUUUAUUAUUUAAUCUAUUUUUUUUAAAAAAAUUUAAUUAAGUUGUAAUAGCUACUAUUAUUUGGAGUCUUGGACAUACAAUGAGAAACCUGCAGAAGACCAAAUCUGAGUCCCCCCAAAGAGAUUCUAAUAUAGAUCAUUCUAAAAAAAUUCUCACAAGCGGAGAAAAAAUAUAAUAACAACAAUCUAUAAAAUUAAAAAAAACACAUAAAAAGGGUCUCAAAAAAGUCCAUCCGUAGAAAAACUUCACUAAUUAUUUAUCCUAUAGAGGAAACAAAACUUUUGUAACGAAACAGAAAAAUUGUCCAAGACUAGGUAAAUAUAUCUACUCUAGAAUAUGCUACCUCAGAUCAUCAUGCGAAGAAAAAAAAAAGUUUCAUUAGCAUAACAAUAGCCUUUUAUUAUAUCACAUUUUCUUUACUUCUUUUAUUUCACUUAAAAAAUAUCGAUAAAAAUUAUAUUUUAUAGACAACAACUUACAUGUAAAUAUUUUUAUAUAAAAAUAAUAUUUAAAAUUAUUAAAUAAUUUAAUAAAUUUAACUAAAUUAUUAUCUAACAAAUUUUAACUAUUAAUUUUAUUUUAAGAUAAUUUAAUGUAAGUCUAUUUUAUAACAUUAAUUAAAAAAAACAAAUUAAAAAGAUAUAUUUUCUCUUUGUUACUACAAUUAAUCUGUUUGAAUUGAUUUCUCAAUUAUUUUUCUAAAAGAAAAAGAAAUGUUAACUAAACUAACAAAAAUUUAUGUUUGAUCCGCUAAAAAAGUCAUUUUAAAAGAUAAAAAGCAUUUAAUUUUAAUAUACAGAAAAUAUAAAUUAUUUUAUAUUUUUAUUUAAUUAUAUAAUUUUUUAAAUAACUAUUCAUAUUUUUACAAAUAUAACAUCACGUAUUAAAUAUAUGUAUAUAAUAAAAUACUAAAGCACUUUUAUACUUUUUUUCCAUCAAAUAUGUCCGACACGCGGACACGACAACUCAGCGAAGUGUCCGUGCUUCAUAACUUAGACAUAACACUUGGACCCAUCCAAAUAAAAAAUGGAAAACAAAAAAAAGAAUAAAAAGCUUAUCCAAUUUGCAUUUACAGUACUAAACAAUUUCCACGCACCAUCAAUUUUUUUUCCAUUCAAACUACAACGGCAACAUUUCAUAAUUUAUGCACAUCAAAAUUUAGAAUUGAUUACAGCAAAAUUACAAAGAAUUGUGUACACAAACAAAUGGUAGAAAUUGAUAAUGACUCCACUGAAAAAAAUUAAAAGUAAAUGGGAAGAAAGAAAUUAAAAAAAAAAGGAAAGGAAAGGGAAGACUGAAAAGAAUCACAGCCUCAUAGGACUGAAUGAGCAAAAAUACUAUACAACUCCUCAAGUCCCUAGUUUUCAACCAAGUCUUCUAGUUUAAAAAUUGUGUAAUCAAGUUCCUAUCAUGCAUAAAAAUCUUUAAGAGAAAACGAGUCGUCAUUACAGGGGUUUCUUGAAACUGGCUUGCACUUUAUAAGGAUUUUUUAAUAAAAAAAUGGUUAUAUUGAAACAAAACUGUACCUUGGCAAGAUCAAAUGUGUAUUUCCUUGCAUGUGAUUAUUCAUAUCCGAUAGAACAAGUGGUUUUCAGAAUGCUAUAAGCAAGAGUUCUGAUAUCUUAGAAUAAGGAUAAAAUGAUUGAAGAGUACACUCACCUCUGCCAGCAUUGCUUGAUAAUAUCCGUGAUAGCAGGCUCCAUAUCAUCUGUAAUGACAAGACAACAAUGCUGGAAACCGACAGCACCCACAACUUGCAUCCGAUUCAUUCCACCCCAGGGCUGCUGCAAAGUAGAGAGCUCCCAUAAUGUGACUCCAAAGCUAUAAACAUCGCACCUGGAUAUCCAAUCACCACUUGUUAUAAUCAUAAAAUUAUGAAUGCCUUAAAAGGGUGGCAAAACCAAUGAGAAGAACGACGAGACAAGGAAGCCAAAGAACAACAGUUAUAUGUAAUAAAAAUUCCAACUUAUCUUUUCCUGUGCCAGAUGAUUCAGGUCAGAGAGGAACACAGACUAUGAAAUCCUCCUCCACAAGCAAAAUAAAAAAAAAUUUAAUGACGAAAACCAAUGAUUACUAAGCUUACUUUUCAUUUGAAGGUUCAUUUCUUAACACUUCAGGCACCAUCCACUCAGCCUGCAACAUGUCAUAAAAAAUGAAUAUAUUGCAAUGCCAAACAAACGCUUAGCAGCAAAACUAAAUACGUACAGAAUAUCAGAACUGAUCACGCAUACAAAAGAGAGGAGCUUGAGGUAGAGAGAAAAGCAUGUAGUUACACUAAGGUCCCAUUUGGCAAUUAUCAGAGGACACAGACCUAUUUGAAACUCUUACCAAACAAUAACUUUAGGCCUCAACAAAAUUAAGAAAGAUUUGCUCAUUUGUUACCAAAGACCAUUCAUCGUAGUAGAGUGAGUUGGUAAAGUCUAGAGAAGAGUUACAAGAGUUAGUUAUGAAAGAACUGUUGGCUGUUAGAACAGUGCCAGCUACAUAGGAGAGCUGUUAGUUACAGCUAUCAUAACUAACUUUAAGAAUGAACGGACUGUUGUGCCUUUUGUACUAGCUUGCACAGCAAGCUACCCUUCUCUAUACAUAAGCACAGAUUAGUGAUAAGCUCACUAGUAAUGCAGAUCAUAAAUUUCUUGUCUUUCUCUUCAAAUCCUCUUUUCUUUCUCACUGUGUUUUCUUCCUUCUCUCAUUCUCUCAAACCCUAUUCAAUCGACAUUUUCUUGGCACAUAGAACUAGUAAUUGUAUUAUAAAUUAAACAUAACAUAAGCCGAGGCUAAAGAUAGGUAUUCAUCAUCACAAAAGGAUUAAUAUAACAUGCCAAACAUAAUGAAUUUUUAAACGGCAACAAACUCCUGGUUUUCCAAAUUUUUUGUUAAAAGAUAAUAGCAAAUGCCUCCAUUUGUGUAUGUUUGUAUAUCUUCAGAAGAAUAUAAAGCACAAUAAACAUAUAAAAUAUGCAGCAAAAUGUAGAACAAGAACAUGAAAGAACGAAUAAUUCAGAAGGCAGAGGAUAUGACACAGUAUUUGAGCUUAGAAAUGAGGAUUAUGACAGCUUACUGUUCCUGCAGUUGAUCUGGAAGAAAGGAAUGUACUGUGCUUCAUUCUUGAUAAGCCAAAACCACAUAACUAUACGAAAGAAAAAAGAAAGGGUGAAAAAAAACAAUUAAACCAUAUCUACAGGUAGCAUUCAGCAUGCUAUCAAGAAAAUUCAAUCAUGACAAUUAGUUGACACCUUCACAACCCAAUUUUUAUCAACAAGAAGAUUUAGUGACUUAAAAUCACGGUGUACAAUUACUGGAGUGCAGUUGUGCAAAUGGUUUAUUCCUCAGGCCUGUAGAUUCAAGAGAUAUAUGUCACGUCAACUGAGUUUCACUGAUUAUGGCAAUAAUUUGCUUAAUGAAACUACAUCGCAAUAAAAGAAAACAGAAUCUUACAGUAUCGAGGACCAUCUCAACUGCCUUCGCUCAUCUAAUUGAUUGUUUGGCAGAUGAAUUAGUCUGUACAAACCUCCUCUGCAUAGCAAAUAUAAAGUUCAGACUUCAGAGUCAUUAAAAGUAAUCCUUCCAGAACAACAUUAAUCAAAAUAAUAAAUAAAUGCAAAGAAAUUCACCAAAUAAAAUCAAAUUCAAUUUAAAGAGUUCUGUAUUGUUUCACUUUUAACACCUCCGACACAACAACACACAAUGAAACUCCAAGCCAGUAAGAGUUUUUUUAAAAUGCUAAUAAUCAGAGAGUCAGAGACAAUGGAAUAAUGUCUACACAGNGUAGCAAUAAUUAAGUAAAAGCCAAAAAUUUUGAGACAACUGAACCAUAUUAACCUUAACUCGAUGUUGCUCAGGAUGAAGAAAAAAGGGGGCAUGCAUUUUAGAAGGUGGGUUUAAUUUUACGAUGGAAGUGAAAAACCAUAUAGCUUCCUCAUGAAACUCUCUUGGGGACUGAUUCACGACAGAGACAAGCUUUGGGUGAAAGUCAUGAGAGCCAAAUAUGACUGCAGUGAAGAUAUCUUGCUAAAGGUUCAGCAUAGAUCAGGUAGCUCAAAUGCCUGGGUCGGAAUUAAUAAGGUCUGGGAGAAAUUCAAAACCAAUCUCAUCUGGAGGCUUGGAGAUGGGAAUAAAGCCCUUUUUUUGAGGAAACAAUGGAUCCCUGGAUUCACUAAUCUGAAAGAGGUGGCCUUAACUAAUCUAGAAGAGGAUAAACUCAUUGAAAAGGUUGCAGACUAUGUCACCGAAAAUGGAGACUGGGAUUGGGAAGCCCUGAAUCGUGUUUUACCCGAAGAGGUCACAGAUAUUCUACAUACAAUCAAAGCUCCUAAUCCGCAAAUCGGGGAAGAUUCUAUCAGUUGGAUGUCCUGCCCAUAUGGUGUUUUUUCUAUUAAAUCAGCCUAUGAAACUUUUUGUAUUGAAGAUGGAGAGGAGCAUACUCUAUACAAACAUCGAAAAAUGUACAAUCACUAUAGUUGAGCUUUGGGGUUUCUUUAUAGGAAUGAAAUUAGCAGUAGACUUGCAUAUCCCUUACCUAGAAAUUGAAUCUGACCCGAGCUGUGCUAUUAAUUUCGUCCAGAGUACGGCGGUUGAGACUCACGUUGGAACUUCCCUGGUGAGGUCGAUCAAGGAGCUGCUGAUAAAACCGCAAAAAGUGGUGAUUCGGCAUAUCUUUAAAGAAGCGAGUCAAUGUGUGAUGCUCUAACCAAAUAUGGGCAAGGAAUGGAGAAAGGGGUCAUGCUGUUCAAAGAAGUCCCAGCUAUAAUGGUUCUCUUGAUGAAAACUGAUGAGCAUGGAGUGGAGUUUUGCAGAACCACUCUUGUUUAGUGUUUUUCUUUUUCCUGGGCUUUAGCCCCGUUUUAUAUCAAAGAAUAAAAAAGUAUUAGUACCCUUCUAAAACAAUGAUAUAUAGCUUCCCCCUCCCCUCUCCUCCCCUCUUUUAAUAUCACAAGUUGCACAACUUAAUGCAAUAUUUGUCUUGUUUCACAUGAAAAUAGGAAUAUUGAUUGUUUUUAUAAUUUUUUUCCUUUUAUUUUCGUAGUUACAUUUUUAUUAUUAUAUCUUUUUUUUUGGUUUAAAAAUUUAACAGCCGAGAAAUUGCAUUUUCCAUUGAAAGAUCCAUAAUCAAAUUAAGAGAACAAAACCAUUAUAGCUAUAAAUCUACUAAGUAAACAAAUUAAAACAAAUAGAUGAACAUUUUAUAGUUUGUGGAAUUGUUCCCUAUUAUAUUAUCCUCGCUUUCACCCAAUCAACGUAUACCUUCUAUAACGUUCAUCGAGUUGUGUACUUGUGUUGAGCUUUCGCAUAAUGUAGUUGAAACCUUGAAUUAAUAACAUAAUGUCUAUAAUUUGUAUUCUUCAAAUUUUGUUCACUUAAUGGAUGGCUUGGUUUUAACCUUCAACUUGCUGUUUUAUUUUCAUUGCAGUAAAAAGCCCACCAAUAUCAGCCUAUCAAGCAAAUCAUCAACCAAUACUAUUGUGUUUGAAGCAUUGAAAUUUCCAUGUCUGAAAAAAAAGCAUUGAAAUUUUUAUGGAUAAUUUAUACAAGAUAAAAAUAUUAUUUGGACCUUAAAGUUUCGGUUACAUUUUAAUUUAGUUCGUAACGCUUAAAAAUUCUUUUUUACAAACAUUUUAUUUCAUUCUAUUUUAGUCUUUUGGUCGAAAUUAAAAUUUUUCCAAAAAUAUUAUUUUCUCUCUAUUAUUGCCUUCUUAUUUCUUUUAUUGUUCUGUUACUUUUAUUUUUAAAUCAUUAGAACCAAAUAAAUAUGUUUGGAAAUAAAACAUCAAACAUUAGAAACAGAAUUAGAACUUAACUUAAAUGUUAGAAUUAUAAGAGUACUUACAGAUACAAAUAUAAAGUGAUAAAUAUAUCUAUAUUUUUUUAUUAAUGCAUAGUAGUGAAUAAAAUUAUCCAAUAAUAAAUUAAUUUAUUAUUAAUUUCAAAUCAAUUAGUUUGUCAAUUGUACAUUUAUCAGAGACUCAUUCAUUACAUAUGUAAUAACAAAAUUCAAACUACAUUUGCUGGUUUCAGAUAUAAAGUUAGACCCUAAAAUGUUUGGUCCCCCUGCUGAAUCAUCAAGUGCAACAAGACUUAUUCGUUUUGGUGUUCCAAGCUUUUUUGCUUUGUUGGCUGCUGCCCUAUUUUAGAUUAAUAGUCCAACAAAAUUUAUAUAUAUGAAUCUUUGUUUAUUUGAUGCUGAAAUUUUUUUUAUUAUUGUUUUUGGGAUGGGGGCUUGCUUGAUGAGAUUAUAUUAUGAGAUUUCAUUUCAUCAAUUGCAACCAAAACGCAUGUGCUUAGAGUUAUCAUAGAGCAAUUCAAUGAUUCUUUAAUUCUUUGAUCAUUUUGCCAUAUUACAGUAUCUUCAUCAAUGUAUUAACAUUUUUUUUAUGCAAAGAAAGCAGAAUAGAUUCUGCAGAAUUGAAGAAGAUAGUAUUCCUGAAUAUGAAUUCUAUAACAAUCUGAAUAGUCGAAUCACUAGUUCAUUAUAUGUUGUAUAUAGGGAUGGCCAAAAACCUUGAACCCAUGGAUAUCUAUUGAGAUUAUCCGGAGUUUUAACGGAACUCGCAAAAUCCCCACGGGGAUGAGGACCCCUCCCCACCAAAGAUGCUGGAGCUUUCGUACUAUUAUUGGAGCCCUGAAAGUGUUCGGUAUUGUUGAAUGAUGGUGAUAAAAAAAUUAUUUGGAGAGAAAAAUUAUGAUUGAAUGAUGACGAUCGAAAAUUAGGAAGUGGAAGGAUAUAUGCAGGGAAAAUUAGUAUUUGGAGGCAAAAUUAGCGAACACUCAGAAUUCUGUAUUGUUUCACUUUAACACCCCCAUAACAAAACUCCAAGCCAGUAACUUUUUUUAAAAUGCUAAUAAACAGAGAGUUAGAGACAAUGGAAUAAUGUCUACACAAGAAAUAAUGAAGUAAUUUAUCUAAGAAUUAACAGAAAAACAUUCUCCGAAAAAGUAUUUCAUAAUGUACAUAUUUUCAGCAGCAAUUUCCAAGCAAUACAACUGAGUAGCAUUAAUUAAGAAAAUGGCCAAAAAUCUUGAGAUAACUAAACCAAGUUACCUUGACUCGAUGUUGCUUAGGUAGAUGAAAAGAGGGGACAUGCAUUUUAGAAGGUGGGUUUAUUUUUAAGAUGGAAGUGUAAACUAUAUAGCCUAAGAAUAAAUCCUUAGUACCUAUUUAAAUUUCCUUUUCUAUAUAUAUAUGGUACCGACAAAGAUACGGAAAAAUAAGUUGCACAACAGAAUAGUAGAGAACAAACAACAAACAACAAAACAAAAUUUUCAAUCUUUUUAGUUUUGCUUAAUUUUAACAUGAUAAAUACAUGAUCUCAUAGAAUAACAGUAAAUAACACUCUGUUGCUAUAAAGAGAUCUUAAACACAAAUCCGUAAGCUAUAACUAGGAAUAUCAUCUAAAGAAUCAAUAAUGUAGUGGAAUGAAAAAGGAUGAUAGCAAUUGCAAAAAUCGGAAGUGCAAAAUUAAUUAAUGUUAUGGUAUUGCCAAAGUCCUCUGACCCAACAGACACAGAAUUUACAAAACUAUGAUACAUAUUCAGCAACAGUGAGAUGUAAUUUCAAUUUGAGUUGAUGUAUUUUACCUUCUUUUAUCAAUUUAAUAAGCCUCUAGCAACCAUUUUCCGAAGAAGUUUCUCCGCCAUGUCAUUCUCAUCUUUUUCAAACAAAGCACGGAUAACAGUUUCAAAAGUCACAGCAUCUGGUAAGCAACCAUUGCCUUCCAUUUCCGACAGCAGGGCCAAUGCUUCUUCAAACAAGCCCUCUCUGCAGAGCCCAUUGAUCAUAAUAGUGUAUGUCCUCAUAUUUAGAGGAUAGCCUUUCACAGAAAGAUCUUGAAAAAUCUCUUUUGCAACUACAAGUCUUCCACCUUUGCAUAGGCCAUCAAUAAGUACAUUGUACGUGGAUAUAUCUGGAUCAAUGCCACUCUCUUUCAUUUGCUUGAAUAACACAAGUGCCUUGUCAACUUGUUUGAUAUUGAACAUCCCAUCCAACAAGGAAUUGUAAGUCACUACAUUAGCGGGUGGACCUCUCUCGUGCAUCUUGACAAGAAGCUCCAAAGCACAAGAGAUUCUCUUUGAUUUGCUCAAGCCAUCAAUAAGAGUGUUGUAAGUUACCGUGUUUGGAACCAAGUACUUACGACGCAUUUCUUCAAAGAGACUCAAGGCUUCAUCGACCAUUUUACUUUUGCACAAGCCAUUAAUCAUGAUAUUGUAACUUUGAACAUUAAGUAACACUCUACUUUGGGCCAUUGUGUUGAAUACAUAUUUUGCCUUAUUUACCUGAUUAACCAAACAAUAUCCGUCCAUUAAGCUGUUAUAAGUAACCACAUUUGGUUUCACACCAUGUUUUGUCAUCACAGCCAACACAUUUUUUGCAUCUUUGAUCUUUCCUUCCUUGCAUAGCCCAUCCAUCAAAAUACUAUAGGUAUGAACAUCAGGAGUAAUAUUUCUAAGCACCAUAUCACUUAACAAAUCAAUGGCUUCCUUAUAUUGACCCUCAAGACACAAUCCAAAAAUGAGAGAACUGUAUGUGAUAACAUCGGGAGAAAUUCCCUUAGCAAGCAUUUCAGAGAAUAACUGAAAAGCCUGACUUACAAGUGUAUCCUUGCAGAGGCUAUCAAUAAUUGCGCUGUACAUGAAGACAUCAGGAGCAAUGCCAUAACGUGGGAUGUUUCUCAACACUUGAAUAGCAGCUGAUGUGUGUCCGGUCUUACAGAGCCCAUUGAUCAAGGUCCCAUAAGUGACUUGGUCGAAGUGAAAUCCAUGAGCCAGCAGUCUGUCAUGAAAGCGCACUGCUUUUUCAACACUACCACAGAGAUAGAGACCUUUCAGGAUUGUUGUCAAUGUUACCGUAUUAGGUUGAUAAUCCAUUCUGAAAAUCUUGGCCAAUACAGAGAAAGCAAGCGUCAUACAACCCAUGCCGCAACAACAAUUAAUUACGAUGGUCAAAGUAAAUAAGUCGGGAGCGAUUCCCCUGGCUUGCAAUUGCUGAAAAAGGGAAAUGGCGGUGGAGAAAUGGUUGGUCUUGGCAAGAGAUCCCAAAAUCUUGGUGAAUUGGAUGAUGGACGGAGGGCGACGCAUAGAGAGCAUGCGAGUGAAGGAAUCAACAGCUUCAUCAACUUGGCGAGUAGAAUGAGAGUGAAGGGAUGAAGAGGAAGGGAAGGAAACAAAAUUAGGGAUUUGGAGAAGAGAAUACCUAAAAAUGAAAGUGAUCUUUGAGGUUGAGGAUGACAACAUUUUAGUGAUUCCCACUUUCGCUGUUGUCUAAGUUUGAGGGAGUUUGCUAACCCUGCGGAAAUAGUCCUACGGCUCCUACCCCCGUCCCCCUCCCUGUCACCGAUUUAAUCCUAAUGACAUAAUAAUUGGAGGUCUCCAGAUUCCACGCCCGUUUUAUUUUUAUCAACUUUAUGAAUUGGAACUGGCCAAAUAAAUUAUAAGGCUUGGGGGGAGUAAUGGUUUCAUUUCAUCAAUCAUCCUGCUCGAGAAAAAAGGUGACCCAUCAAAUAAUAAUAAUAAUAAUAAUAAUAAUAAUAAAAUUUAAUUAUUUUGUUAGCCUUUAUAAUUAAAUCAAAUUUUUAAUUAAAUUUUUAGAAUUUAAAAAAUUAUAAUUAAAUUUGUAUAUUAAAUAAAAAUUUAUAAUUAAAUUUUUANNNNNNNNNNNNNNNNNNNNNNNNNNNNNNNNNNNNNNNNNNNNNNNNNNNNNNNNNNNNNNNNNNNNNNNNNNNNNNNNNNNNNNNNNNNNNNNNNNNNNNNNNNNNNNNUUUAAUUAUAAAUUUUUAAAUUAUAAAAAUCUAAGUAAAAAUUUGAUGAAAUUAUAAAUACUAAUACAAUAAUUAAAUAUAAUAAUAAUUACAAUAAAGGGACAUGUUAUCCUUAGAAAAGUAUAGUAUCGAUAAAUAAUUUUAGGGUUUAUAGUUUAGAGAAUUUGUUGAGUAAUAUAAUAUUAAAAUAGGUCGAAUUAGUGUGUUUGAAGUGGAUAGCAUCACACUUGCCAUAAUUUUACUGGUACAUUUAAUAUAUACUUAUUUGUAAAAUUUUGUCCAAUUUUAUAUAUUUUUUCGGGUAAAGUGGAAGACCAAAAAUAUUUAAUAUUAUGCUAAGAAAAAAUAUACUAAAAAAUUUAUACUUAGAUAAUAUUUUUACUCUAAUAAUUAAUUAGAAUUAAUUUUUAUUUAUGCCUCUUGAUAAUUGUUUAUUUAUAUUAAAAAAGCUAUCAAACAAUAUUGACAAAUCAAUUUAUAAUUAAAUUUUUAUAUUAGAUAAAAAUUUAUAAUUAGAUAUUCAUUAGUUGUUGUCAAGUACAACAAGACUCAUUCGUUUUGGUGUUCCAAGCUUUUUUAUUUUGUUGGCUGCUACUCUAUUUUAAAUUAAUAGUCCAACAAAAUUCAUGUAUAUGAAUCUUUGUUUAUUUGAUGCUGAAAUUAUUAUUAUUAUUAUUAUUAUUAUUAUUAUUAUUAUUAUUAUUAUUAUUAUUAUUGGGAUGGGGGCUUGCUUGCUUCGAUGAGAAUAUAUUAUGAGAUUUCACAUCAUCAAUUGCAACCAAAACACAUAUACUUAGAGCUGAUAGAAACAAGAGAGAAAUAUGAGAAAAGUGUUUUUGUAUAUUGUUCAGGUUGAUUAAAAGUAUAAUGUACAAGGCGUAUAUAUAGGUGCUAUAAGAAUCAAAGUAAUAAAAGUAUAGAAUUCUACAAUUAAUAUACAUAUAUGCCAUAUAAAUAUAAACGAUACUAACUGAUCUAAAAUGAUUCUAAUGAUUCUCUAAUAUUCCCCCUCAAACUCAAGCAGGAGCUAAGGAUACCAUCUUGAGUUUGGAUAACAAAGUCCGGAAACGAGUCGGGUGAUGAGCUUUCGUGAAGAUAUCAGCAGUCUGAUCUAGUGUACCAACAGCAAUGAGACGAACAGCAUCAAUAAGGAUACGUUGCCGAACAAAAUGACAAUCAAUCUCAAUGUGUUUGGUGCGUUCAUGAAAGACAUCAUUAUGAACAAUCUGAAUAGCACUGCGAUUGUCACAAAAAACAUCAGUAGGGGACGACUGAGGAGCACCCAAAUCUUCGAGAAGCCAACGAAUGGAGAUAACCUCAGCAAUGGUGUCAGCGACGGCACGGUACUCAGCUUCUGUACUUGAUCGAGCAGUGAACGUUUGCUUCUUAGCACGCCAAGAAUGAGAGCGUCGCCAAGAAACAAACAGUAACCAGUAGUAGAACGACGAUCAGUGGGAUCACCAGCCCAAUCAGCAUCGGAGUACGCCUGAAGGCACAAAGAGAAAUGGGCAGAAAAAUAAAGGCCAUGAAAUAGAGUGCCUUUGAUGUAGCGAAGAAUGCGAAGAACUGCCGCAUAGUGAGUAGUCCGAGGAGAUUACAAGAACUGGCUAAGUACAUGAACUGGAUAGGCGAUGUCUGGUCGGGUGACAGUUAAGUAGACGAGUCCUCCAACUAGCUGUCGAUAGAGAGUAGGAUUUUCCAAAACAGUGCCAUCCAUAGGAGUAAAUCGAACAUUAGGCUCAAGAGGAGUAAACUCAGUACGACUAUCCGUAAUUCCGGCUCGAGCAAGGAGAUCUGAAGCAUAUUUAGCCUGAGAGAGAUAGAUGCCAUCAUCGGUGGAUAUGACUUCUAAACCAAGAAAAUAGUUGAGAGAACCAAGAUCUUUCAUCUCAAAAGUACGCUGAAGGGAUGCCUUGAGAUCAGAGAUACCAUCAACAUCAUCUCCAGUAAUGAUCAUGUCAUCAACAUACAGAAGCAGAAGAACGACUCCACGUUCACUUUUACGAAUAAAGAGAGCAUGCUCAUGAGGACUGCAAGUGAAACCAAGACUACAUAUGGUAGUACUAAACUUGUCAAACCAUUCACGAGGAGCUUGCUUAAGCCCAUAGAGUGCCUUGCGAAGGAGACAAACUUUGCCAGAGGGACAAGGAUAACCCGGAGGGGGUUUCAUAUAGACCUGCUAUUUCAAAUCUCCAUUAAGAAAUGCAUUCUUCACAUCCAUCUGACUGAGAGACCUUUUUUGACCGCAGCAAUGGCAAGAAGAGCUCGAACAGAUGUGAGACGAGCAAUAGGAGCAAAAGUCUCUUCAUAGUCAAUAUCAUACUCUUGCGUACAAUCCUGAGCAACCAAUCGUGCCUUAUAACGGUCAAUAGAACCAUCAGAGCGAGUCUUGAUCUUGUAUACCCAUCUGCUAUCUACAACUUCCUGAGCAGAAGGAGGAUCAACCAAAUCCCAAGUGUGUGCCUUUUCAAGUGCCUGUAUUUCUUCCUGCAUUGCUUGUUGCCAAUGUGGAUUUGUGGAGGCUUCUCUGAAUGACUUAGGUUCAUGUUGAUGAAGGAUAGUAGAAAAACAAUGAUAAUCAAGAAGAUGAGGAGGUGGAUUUCUUACCCUAGAAGAACGAGCGGGAGGAGGAGGCAUGACAGUAGGAGCAGGAUCAUCGUCUGGUCUGGAAUCAUUAGGAGAUGGAGAAGGCGGAAGAACAGGAGGCUGUGGAGGGUCACUCGAGAUAAAAUCUGUAGAAUCAUCACUAGGAAAAAGAUCAACAUUGGGGUUAGUAAACAAAGGUGACUGAGUAGUAGGAAUUGACUCAAAGGAUGAGAACCGAGAAAACAUGUGAUGCUUUCAGAAGACAACAUGACGAGAUAUACGGACACGUUUAGAGAGAGGAUCCCAACAACGAUAACCCUUGUGUUUAGUGCCAUAACCAAGGAAACAACACAUACGAGCCCGAGGUUCAUGUUUACUAUGUUCAUGAGGCUGAAGAAGAACAAAACAUACACAACCAAAAACUCGAAGAGAACUAUAAUCUGGGGAGGUAUGAUAAAGAUGCUCAAAGGGAGUAACAUUACCAAGAACAGAAGAAGGGAGUCUGUUGAUAACAUGGACAGCAGUAAGAAUAACUUCACCCCAAGUACGCUCAGGACACGAAGAAGAAAGGAGCAUUGCAUGGACGGAGUCAAGAAUGUGACGGUGUUUGCGUUCAGCUCUACCAUUUUGUUGAGACGUACCAGGACAAGAAAACUCAGACAAAGUACCCUGUUCUGCAAGAAAGGUUAAGAGUUUGGAAUCAUGGUAUUCCAUAGCAUUAUCACGUCUGAAAACCUUAAUAACCUUGGAAAACUGAGUUUUAAUCAUAGUAGCAAAGUUGAUAUAGAUCUGAGGUAACUCAUGGCGAUUAGUCAUCAAAUAAACCCAAGUAAAACGGGAAUAAUCAUCAAUGAAAAUGACAAAGUAUCGAGCUCCGCCCAUAGAGGCAGUGGAAGCGGGCCCCCAAACAUCAAAGUGAAUGAGAUCAAAAGGAGAGCAAGCAAGAGAUGAAUUAUUGUGAAAAGAUAAAGCAGAUUGUUUGGCAGUUUGGCAAGAAAUGCAAUCAAAAGAUUCAUUUGGAACCUGACCUAAAACACCCUGAGACACGAGGAUGCAGUUUUCUUAAGGAGGUGUGGGCAAGACGUUGAUGCCAUAAGUGAAGGGUAGAGGGAGAAGAAGCAGCACAGAGAUUUUGUACAGGAAGAAUAUGAAGAUUCUCGAGUUCAAACAACCUUCCGACCUUACGUCCAGUCUCGAUGAUUUGUCCCGUCCGAGGAUCCUGUACACGACAACCAGAAAGAGAAAAAGUGACUUCAAAACCCAAAUCAACAAGUUGACCAACAGAAAUAAGAUUAAAGUUUAAUUUGGGAAUAUAAUAAGUAUCAGGAAGAUUAAGAGUCGACUGGGAUAUAGAACCCUUGUGUAUUGCGUGCAAGAGGGAACCAUUUGCAGUAUUGACAGAAGGUCCAUUUGUAGUGGUAGACAGAGACGAGAAGAGAUUACGCAAUGGAGACAUGUGAUUAAAGCAUCCCGAGUCAAAAUACCAUUUAGAAUUACCUGGAGGGGUUGAAAGAGCAGCAGGGGUAUUACCAGAAAAGGAGAGAAGACGUUGAAGAAGAGACGCAAUAUCAGAUAGAGAGACAGGAGACGAGUUGAGAGGAGCAGUGGUGGUAGAUUUAAGAGUAGUAUCAACAGUAAAAGCAGGCGUAGGACGUGGUGGGUGAGUAGGACAGGUAGUAAUCAAAUGUCCCGAGAGCUUGCAAUAAUGGCAAAACAGUUGUGCACAAUGGUAGCUAAUAUGACCUUUUUGGUGGCAUGUGCGACAUUCAACAGAGGAACAGCCGGAGAACGAGUGCCCAAAACAGUUACAGUUACGACAGAAGGUGCCUUUUCUAUCUGUGGCAGCAAAAACAUCUAACUUUUCCAUAAUAGUAGUCACAGAGAUCAAGGAGAGGAGAGAAAACUGCAAUGUUGGAGCAGAAAAUGAGGAAACGGAUGGCAAAAUCGAAAAGAGCUCACCAAAAAACCUUAGGGAGGGUCCCGCUGUCUGACACGACAGCGGCCACGUCAGAUGCCACGUCAGCUGCUUCGUCCGCAGAGAAAGACACGUGGUAACACGCGAUAGGAGGAAGGAGAUGCGUCAGCGCUGACGCGGGCAUGGAGCUGGCAGCGGGUCGGUCUGGGUCGGGUCGGACGCGGUUUGGGCGGAACCGCGUGGAUGCUGGCGAUGACACGUGGCGCUGUCUGGGACCGUUGAUCCUGGGCGUGGAUCCAACGGUUCUGGAUGGCGUCUGGGGAGAGAAAACCUGAAGCGGUGACCGGACUUCUGGCGGCGCGUGAGGGCGCGUCCGGCGGAGGUAGGAGGCGAGGUCGGCGGCGUUGGAAAGCUUGCAACGAGUAGAAGACGAAGGUGGCGGCGGUGACGAACCAAGGCGCCAGGAAGAAGUCGAAAACGAAGGACAAAGUACUGCCGGUGAAACAAGAUAAAGGAGGUAGAAACCAAUUAUUUCUGAAAAAAAAAAUAACCUAAGCUCUUGAUACCAUGUUAGAAACAAGAGAGAAAUCUGAGAAAAGUGUUUCUGUGUAUUGUUCAGGUUGAUCAAAAGUACAAUGUACAAGGGGUAUAUAUAGGUGCCAGAAGAAUCAAAGUAAUAAAAGUAUAGAAUCCUACAAUUAAUAUACAGAUAUGCCAUAUAGAUAUAAACGAUACUAACUGAUCUAAAAUGAUUCUAAUGAUUCUCUAAUGAUUCUCUAACAAGAGCUAUCAUAGAGCAAUUCAAUGAUUUUAUAAUUCUUUGAUCAUUUUGCCAUAUUAUAGUAUCUUCAAUAUAUUAACAUUUUUUGAGACAAAGAAAGCAGAAUAGAUUCUGCAGAAUUGGAAGAAGAUAGUAUUCUUAAAUAUGAAUUUAAUAACCAUUUAACUAGUUAAAUCGUUAUACGGUUGUAUAUUCGGCCAAAAAACUUGCAUCCAUAAAUAUUUGCUGGGAUUAUCCGUGACUGAAGGCUAACGGGUAUCCGCGCGCAAAAUUUUCACGGAGAUGAGGAUUCACCCCGCCAAUAAAUAGAAACGGGAGACAGAAAUUAAAAUACCUGCUCUACGUAAAUGUGAAUUUUUUAUAAAAAAAAUUUACUUAAAUACCUUUAUAUACAUCACAAAUACGAUAAAAAUAAUAAUAUAGAAUUUGUACUAUAAUGACAAAAAUUACAUAACAUGUAUAGGUUAUGAUGGCUGAGUAAGUCAGGUUGACAAAAAAUAAUGUAAUUGACUUUUGAAAUAAAAAUUUACCAAACAAAUAAUUUUAAGAGUGAAUUAUCAAUCUAGUCAUGUCCGUUUCUCAGAAUGACAACGCGACCUCUUAAGAAAAAAAUAAUCCACUUCGGUCCCUGUUAUUUAUUUCUUAACACGACGCAAUUCCUAUGACUUUUUCUCCGUCAACUCUGAACGAAAAAUGCUGACGUGUCAGGUUUAAAAAUGAACAAGCACCUAAUUGUCUUAAUGUGGAUUGAUUAAAAUUUUACUAUAUUAAAAUUCAAUUAAAUUUACAUAUAUUUUACUCAAAAUCAAGUAUUAUGAUCUAGAUAAUUUUCACAAUAAAGUGAAAACUAAUAAACACAUUAUUUGAUAUAUAGUAAAAUUUUUCUAUGUAAUAACAAAUUUAAUUUUUUAUCUUUUUAAACUAAAUUAAUAAUUCUAUUUGAUAUCUUUGCAUUAAAUUAAUAACAUAAUAUCAUAGGGUCAUUAUUAAUGUAUUCACCGUAUUUUAAUGUUUAUUAUUUAUAUAUUUAAAAAUUAUAUUUGAGAAUUAUUUAUUUAGUUUCAUAAUAAAUAAUAUUUUUAAAUUUGAAUAAUUUAUUAAUUAGUUUGUAUUUAUUAUAUCAUAUAUUCAAUAAUUUAUAAAAAAAGAAUAUUAAUAUAAUGAAUAAAAAAAUAAAUUAAAAAAAUAUCAUUUAAAAAAUAAAGACAAAUAAAUCCCUAACCAAUUUAAAUUUAGAAACAAUUAAAUCCCUGGCCAUUUUUGAAUCUGACACGUCAGUAUUUUUCAUUCAGAGUUGACGGAGAAACAGAGACCGCGUUGUCUCACAAAAUAAAGAAUAGAGACCGAAGUGGAUCGUAUUUUUUUUAAGGGGUCGCAUUAUCAUCUGAGAAAUGGAUAGGAAUCAGAUUGAUAGUUCACUCAAAUUCUAAAGUAAAGCAUGAGUAUUAAAUUUGAAAAGAACAAAAAAGGGUCCGAAGAUGCUGGAGGUGUAGUACUAUUAUUGGAGUCCUGAAAGUGUUCACCAUUGUUGAACGAUGGUGAUAAAAAAAAUUAUUUGGCGAGAAAUUAUGAUUGAAUGAUGAUCGAAAAUUAGGAAUUUGAAGGAUAUGUGCACGAAAAAUUAGUAUUUAGAGGCAAAAUUACGGCCCGUUUGGUUAUUGUCCAUGUCCAUCAAAGACAUAGACACGAUGACACACGUCCAGUGUUUGUUGUAUGAGACACAAAAAAGUGAGAGACACAGUUACACACAAGAGUACAUGAAAUACGUGUAUUUUGUGUCUCUUCCAAAUGGUGAGACACGAAAUUGAAGCCAUGGACAUGGAUCUAAAAUCUUUUUUUUGGACAAUUUUAUCCUCAUUGAUUUUUUGAAAUUCCAAAUUUCUCCUUCUCUUUUUACAAACCCUAAUCAAUUCUGAGCUCUUGUCUUCUGUUUUCUGAAGCUUCGUGUGUUCUUCAUUGUGGGUAUGUGUUGGUUAAUUUUGUGAAACUUUUUAUUAUUCUAAGACAAUUUCCUUCUCCUUUUCACAAACUUUAACUAAUUCUAAUCUCUUCUCUUCUGUUUCUGGCUUUCUAUAGCUUUGUGUCUUCUUCACUUGUGUGUGCUGCCAUUUUUCUGAAGUUUUUUUAUUGUUCUAUCACAAUCUUUCUCCUUUAUCUGUGCUAGAAAACUCAACUCAAGGUUUGACAUAAUAAUAAUAUUUUUGUUUGUUUGUAUGUUGUAUUUGUAUGCUGCUAUAUUAGAUAUUCUUUUUUUCUUUUUGAGCACAUAUGUGUUAGGUACUCUUCUGCUCUCCCUGUUCUGGGUAUGCAAAUUUAUAGUUUUAAAUAUCUGAAAUAAUUAUAUUUUUAAUGGGGUUUGGUUGGAGUAUUAUGUUGGGUUAUCUUGUUUUUUCUGUUUUGGUCAAUAAAAUAGAUUAUAAGUGAUGGUAACUAAAUUAAGAGUUCUCCAUUUAUGUAUCAAAAACUAUUAGCUUGAUAAUAUGAGUAUGUGAUUAUGUAAUGAGUGUUUUCUCUAUUUAAAGUUUAAUUGAAAUGAUAAAGAAAAACUUAUUUUUUAGUGUUGUCAUACUGGAUAUUAGAAUUUAUUUUAUUUUUAUGCAUUUACUUUUUAUUGUUUGUUAGAAAGUGAUGAUGGAUCGUUCUGAACAAAUUAAGUUAUGUGUUGGAUAUUACUGGAUCAUGAGAAUGCAAUUUGAUACGUUGAUGUUGUUUUUUUUAGUUACUUUAUAUAUGUAUAUUAGGAAUAGAAGGUGGGAUCAUUCUUCAAUUGGGUGAAGAGUGAACACAUUGCCAUUAAGGCGAGAUACAUUAGAUAACAUCAUUGGGGCAGGCGGAGAUAGAAAUUGCAUAUGGGAGUUAAGAAUGAGUUUGAAUGCAUUUGCAAAUUUGUGUGAAUUGCUACAAGUUCAAGGUGGGUUAGACGAAGAUGGUCAUGUUGGCAUAGGCGAGCAAGUAGCAACUUUCUUGAUCAUAUUAGCUCAUCAUACCAAAAAUCGCAGCGUACAAGUUAGGUUUUAUAGGUCUGGUGAAACUAUUAGUAGGUAUUUUCAUAAGGUAUUAGGUUCGGUUUUGCGUGUCCAAAGUGUGUUAUUUGCAAAGGCAGACCCUGUACCAGAGGAUUGUAUAGAUCCCAGAUGGAAAUAGUUUAAGGUAAGGUGUUGCAUAAAGUUUAAAUUUUUAUUGGUCAAGUUUACUUGUAUGUAAUAACUAUUUUAUUUUGUCCAUUUGAUAGGAUUGUCUAGGAGCAUUAGAUAGCACUUACAUAAAUGUCACAGUCCCAAAGGGUGAUAAAUCUAGGUAUCGGACAAGGAAAUCUAGAAUAUCCACCAAUGUCUUAGGAGUUUACAAUCGGAACAUGAAUUUCGUCUAUGUCCUUAGCGGUUGGGAAGGAUCGGCAUCUGAUUCAAGGGUACUUAGAGAUGCAAUUACUCGACGUAAUGGCCUAAAAAUACCUGUUUUGAUAUGUUUAAAUUAAUCUUUUGAUAAGUGCAUUAACUAUCUAUUAAAGAAUUACAAUAUUCCCCUUAUAAUUUUUCCAUCCUUCAAUUUUAGGGUCUUAUUAUUUAGUGGAUGCUGGCUAUACCAAUGGUAGAGGAUUUUUAUCUCCUUAUAAAAAUGUCAGGUAUCAUGUGAAUGAGUGGGCUCAAGGUCAACGUGCACCACAAAAUCGUCUAGAGUUAUUUAAUAAGAAGCACUCUUCGGCUAGGAAUGUGAUUCAACGGUGCUUUGGGUUGCUUAAGAAGAGAUGGGCAAUUCUACGAAACCCCUCAUUCUAACAUAACAAAAAAAAUACAAGGGAAAAAAUUUAUAUCAUCCCAAGAGCCAUCAACAACUACUAGCACUUUUUUCUCACAACUUUGUAGCUUUAUUAUUUGGUUCUUCCAACUUUGCUCCUUAUUGUUUGCUUCUUCCAGGCCACUAAGUAGAGGUCAAUUCUAAUUACUCAACUAAAGUUUGAUUCUUUUCCUAUAUGUAAAUUGAACAAUGUAUUUAAAAUAUGAGAACUCAACUGGAGUACUAGAAUUCAAUUAGAGUUUUAGAAUUCAAUUCUUUGAUACAAUAACAUAAGAAAUUCAACUGGAAUUUAAAAAGUACGACAUUGAUGAUGUAUAAAAGGCACUCAUUAACAUAUAUAGGAUAGUAAUUAUAAAGCAUGCUUAUAGCCAGCUCACAUGCUAGAAAAAGAUUGAUUACAAUAUUUCAUCAAACCUAAAAUGGAAGCUACAGAGAAAAGAACAAUUAGUAAGUUGAGUAAGAGAUUGGUGAGCAUCAACAUCAAGUGCUGCCACAGUAGCUACAACUAACAUUAACAUAGUCUAUAAAGAUUUUGUAUGCCAAAAUAAAUUUCAUUUUACUACUACAUUCACUAAUGGAAAAAAUAAAAUAAUAAAUUAAAUAAAAUACUAAAAAAAGAGAGGGGAUCAUAACGUCCAUAUGAUUUUCAACUAAAAAGAUACAAAAUUUGAAGUGUCAAAGCAAUACCUAUUUGAAAAAACACUGGGAUGAAGGGCUUAGAGGCUUCAAAUGUUAUCCAAUUUACAUAUAUGUUUAGCAAUCUAACAUAAUUAACACUCAUUCAAUGUCACCAAUUCUUGAUUUUUUCAGCAUAACCAAAAAAAUUAAGCAGCAACUUUUCUUCACUGAUUCUCAAUUAAACCUUGGAAGAGCAAGAAAUUGAUGGGAAGAAGAACAUUAUACCUCACCUCCAUGAAAAUUGAACGUAUACAGUGAAGAAGAGGAAUUUGUGACAAACAAAACAAGGGACAGAGCCACAAGAAAACAAACACUGGAUACGGAGAUGGAGGAGAGGGUUUAGGGUAGAUGCGGCCAGCGUGCAAGGUGAAGACAUUCACGAAGGAGGAGAGCGACUAAAGAGAGGAAGUGUUUUGGGGGUAGGGAUAACUGACGAUAAAUGGUGAAGAAUAGGGGUUUUUAUCUCACUCUUUUUUUUUUUACUUUUAAUAUUAAUUAUUUUUAAAUUUAAUUUAUGAGGACAAAAUAGUCAUUUUUAGUUAUGUAAUGUUCUUGUGUUUUGUAACCAAACAUAAUAUUAGACACUACACACUAGUGUCAUGUCUAUUAUUUCCAAACACUAUACACAAACACAAAUAUUUUAUGUUUAUGUCUCAAGUGUCUAUGUCUUAAUGUCUAUGUCCCAAUGCAUACACAAACCAAACGGAGCCUUAGCGAACACUCAAAAUGCAAAUUUUCCUUCAGAUAUCGCACCAAAUUUUAGUUUAAGAAUAAGUGAAAAUGAUAGCGAUAUGAUUAAAGAUCCUUUGAGAAAAUGGAAGCAAACAUAGAAAAUAAAGCCAAGUAAACUCAAUAAGAAUGAGAUAGAUAGGUAUUUGGAAGAUGAUGUAACCAAAGAUUUUAAUAGAUUUGAUGUAUUGAGGUGGUAGAAAAGAAAAACACUUUAAGUAUCGUGUUCUCAUGACUAGAAAUAUAUUAGUCAUUCAUGUUUUUUACUGUAAUAUCUGUUUCUACUUUCUACUAUAUUGCAUUAACUAGACUAUAUCUAAAGUCACAUGACAUUAUUAUUAAUUUAAUUCAAAUUCAAUAAUAUAUAAGACAAUAAUAAACAAUAUAAUUCAAAUUCAAUAAUAUAAAAAAUUAUUACAUGUACAAUAUAAUAACUUCUUAUAAAUUGAUUAGGUGAAACUUAACCUAUGAUAUCUUGCAGGAACUAAUACUAGAAAAUUAACAAUAAAUAAUAAAUUAUCAUAUAAUAUUGACACAAAAAAUUAUCAUAUAAUAUUAGUAAAUUUUAUAGUUACAUUUCAUAAUAAAUACUACAUAUAAAAUAUACUAGCGGUCACAAUUUAUAGCGCCAACAAUUACCAGCACCAAAAAUUUUAAUAUAGUUAACCAUUUUUUCUUCUGCUACGAGGUAGAAUCGCAACUUUUUAAUGACAUAACAAAAGUUAAAUUACCUAUGCCUACAAAUGGUAAAACCUGAACAGAACUGCAUUGUAGAUUGCAUAACGAAAACUGAAAAAAAAUAAAUAAAUAAAAAAUACUAUUCAACUUGAGCUCCCAUUUUGUAUGUCAGUGAAAAUGAACAAAGAAUUGGUUAACUAUAUUAAAAUUUUCCCUUUCUGUAGAGUCUCAAACAACUCUUGAUGACAGAGCCAUCUUGUUCUUGAUGAACUUGCAAUAUCCAAAACACAUUGUAUAUCAUAUACUCUCACCAUAAAGCAAGAUUAUUCCCUUUGCAGUAUCAAAUGUUUAUUUGGAGUACUGUUUGCUUAAGUCUAAAACUGUUUUAUGCAGCACGCACCACACAAAGUUAGAAUGGAAGUAUAUAAAUAAAGAACCAAAUUAUAAUGCAAAGAUUGGCUUUGCAAAGUUUAUAGCAACAGCAAUAUUUCAUCCAUUUGAGAUGAAGUGAUUUUUGUUUGAGUUUCAUGAGAAAAGUGAUUUUUGAAGUUUAAAAUCUAGUUAGUAUGGGUUCAACUAGAAACCAAAUUAGUUGAGAAGAACUCUAGUGUCUCACAAUUGAUUCCAAAGGGGCCAAAUACAAAUCAAAGUAUAAAGGAAAAUUCACACUAGAGAGCUUCAACAUAGUUUGGAUUAAUGUGUAGCCAGUUAAAUUUAUACAUAUAACAUGGUAGAUUGGUAUUUAUCCAUAUGUAAAUGGAGGACUCUUCGAUCAAAAAUCAACAAGCAUUAUCUACUCAGAUGUUAAUUCCUACUAACUCACAACUAAUUUGGGUUAAUCAACUCCUAAACGAAAACAAGCAAUGGAACCAACAGCUCAUUGCAGAACAAUUCAGUACAGAUAUUGCACAGAAUAUUUUACAAACUGAAAUUGGGGAACGGGAUGAUUCAGUUACCUGGCCAAGGGAGAAAAAGGGUUGCUACACCGUGGCUUCAGGAUAUUUACUGGCGCACUAGUUCUGCCACCCUCCACUCGAUCUGAUGCCACUCCACUGCCAGCAGAAGAAGCUCUGGACUUCUAUUUGGGACCUGAAAGUGCAACCGAAAAUAAGAAUCUUCCUCUGGAAAGUAAUGCACAAGGGAUUGCCGGUGAACCAACAACUCCAUGGAAGAAUCAGAACAAUACCCCCAACCUGUCGAAGAUGUACCACGAUGGAAGAAACAGUCCAACACUGCAUAAUUAGCUGUGGUCAGUCAUGGUCCACUUGGCUCAGAUCCGGAAUUGGAGUCCCUGGAAGUCAAACGGACCAAGAAGUAUGGCAACGGUGGAUAGAGUUAACUGAGAAGUUGAAAAGAAGCAGAAAUGGUGUGAAGAAAUUGAGAGAAGCUGCAAACCUGAUGUGGGAGAUAUGGAAGGCUCGCAACAGAUUCAUGUUUGACGGUGAAGAGUUCGAUGAGGCUUGUGUCCUUGAACGAGCCAGAAGGAGUGAAUCAGAGUUCCAAGCGUGCUUGCUCGACUGAGGAAUGCGAAGAAGAUUAGAAAUGUCUGAAGAAGAAGUACAUCCCAUCCAACAACGAAUUGUAAGUGACUACAUUAGCGGGUUGACCUCUAUGAUGCAUCUCGAUAAGAAGCUCCAAAGCACGGGAGAUUCUCUUUGAUUUGCUCAAGCCAUCAAUAAGAGUGCUGUAAGUUACCGUGUCUGGAACCAAGUUCUUGUGAUGCAUUUCUUCAAAGAGAUUCAAGGCUUCAUCGACCAUUUUACUUUUGCAGAAGCCAUUAAUCAUGAUACUGUAACUUUGAACAUUGGGUAACACUCUAAUUUGGGCCAUUGUGUUGAAUAUAUAUUUUGCCCUAUUUACCUGAUUAACCAAACAAUAUCCAUCCAUUAAGCUGGUAUAAGUAACUACAUCUGGUUUCACACCAUGUUUUGCCAUUACAGCCAAUACACUCUUAGCAUCUUUGAUCUUUCCUUCCUUGCAUAGCCCAUCGUUCAAAAUACUAUAGGUACGAACAUUUGGAGUAAUGUUUCUAAGCAUCAUAUCACUUAACAAAUCAAUGGCUUCCUUAUAUUGACCCUCAAGACACAAUCCAAAAAUGAGAGAACUGUAUGUGAUAACAUUAGGAGAAAUUCCCUUAGCAAGCAUUUCAGAGUAUAAAUGAAAAGCCUGACUUACAAGUGUAUCCUUGCAGAGGCUAUCAAUAAUUGCGCUGUACAUGAAACUGAUUAAACACUUGAAUAGCAGCUGACGUGUGUCCGGUCUUACAGAGCCCAUUGAUCAAGGUCCCAUAAGUGACUUGAUUAAACUGAAAUCCAUGAGCCAGCACUCUGUCAUGAAAGCUCACUGCUUUUUCAACACUACCACAGAGAAAGAGACCUUUAACGAGUGUAUUCAAUGUUACCGUAUCAGGUUGAUAAUCCAUUCUGAAAAUCUUGGCCAAUACAGAGAAAGCAAGUGUCAUACGACCCAUGCCACAACAACAAUUAAUUACGAUGCUCAAAGUAAAUAAGUCGGGAGCGAUUCCCCUGGCUUGCAAUUGCUGAAAAAGGGAAAUGGCGGUGGAGAAAUGGUUGGUCUUGGCAAGAGAUCCCAAAAUCUUGGUGAAUUGGAUGAUGGAUGGAGGGCGACGCAUAGAGAGCAUGCGAGUGAAGGAAUGAACAGCUUCAUCAACUUCACGAAGGGAUGGGGGCUCAGAAUGAGAGUGAAGGGAUGAAGAGGAAGGGAAGGAAACAAAAUUAGGGAUUUGGAGAAGAGAAUACCUAGAAAUGAAAGUGAUCCUUGAGGUUGAGGAUGACAACAUUUUAGUGAUUCGCACUUUCGCUGUUGUCUAAGUUUGAGGGAGUUUGCUAACCCUGCGGAAAUAGUCCUCUGUUUCCAACACCCCCCAUACUAAUGAAAGGUCUCCAGACUCCAAUCCCGUUUUACUUGGGUUCUAUUGACUUUUUUUUAGCGAAAUUCUCCGUAUACAAGUAUUUUUUUAUACAAGUCUUUACAAGUUAUUAUAUUAACGCGCUUGAACGUUAUUGUGUACGUUCUUCUUCCUCUUCCUCUUCUUAUUUUCUUUCGUUUCUUGUUUUCUCUUUCUCCUUCUUCAACCGUUACUGCACAAUUUCACUGCACCGUCUUCUUCUUCUUCUUCUUGCUGCACAUUCUUCUUCCUCUUCCUCCUCUUCUUCUUCUUCUUUUCUUUCGUUUUUUGCCUUCUCUUUCUCCUUCUUCAUUUACGUGCUUUUCUCUUUGUUUUCUUUUUUCGUUAUUCUUGAUUUCCAUUAUUUUUUGAUAUCAAGCUCUGAAAUCGUUUUUGAAGAAGAAAAAGCAGCAGAAGAUGAGGAGGAGAAAGAGAAAGAGUUUUGAAUUAUGCAUAAGGUGUCCUUUGGGUGUAUUUCUGUAAUCGUUUGGGUGUAUUUUCUGUAAUCGUUUGGGUGUAUUUCUGAAGUUCCAUUAUUUUCAAAACGAUUUCAAAACUUGAUUUUAGAAACCAUGAAAAUAAAAAAAAAAGCAAGAAUACCAGUAAUAAACGCAAGACGCAAGUAAAACAACUAAUGAAAAGGCAAAGAGAAUAACAAAGAAAUAUCGUUUGGGUGAAUUCCUGUAACCGUUUGGGUGUAUUUCUGUAAUCGUUUGGGUGUAUUUCUGAAGUUCCAUUAUUUUCAAAACGAUUUCAAAACUUGAUUUUAGAAACCAUGAAAAUCGAAAAAAAAGAAGCAAGAAUACCAGUAAUAAACGCAAGUAAAACAACUAAUGAAAAGGCAAAGAGAAUAACGAAGAAAUAUCAUUUGGGUGUAUUUCUAUAAUCGUUUGGGUGUAUUUCUAUAAUCGUUUGGAUGUAUUUCUGAAGUUCCAUUAUCUUCAAAACGAUUUCAAAGCUUGAUUUCAGAAACCAUGAAAAAAAAAAAAAGGAAGCAAGAAUACCAGUAAUAAACGCAAGUAAAACAAUUAAUGAAAAGGCAAAGAUAAUAACGAAGAAAUACAUGGAGGAAGAGGAAGUCGUUCGUAAUCCACGGUGAGUGAAGAAGAAGAAGAAGAAGAAGAAGAAGAAGAAGAAGAAGAAGAAGAAGAGGAAGAGGAAGAGGAAGAGGAAGAGGAAGAGGAAGAGGAAGAAGAGGAAGAGGAAGAGGAAGAGGAAGAGGAAGAGGAAGAGGAGUCGUUCAUAAUUCACGGUGAGUGUAGUGCUUUGGAAACUGAAUAACACAUUAAAAGACCCUAAUGUAUAGCAACUUAUAAAACUUGUAAGUCAAAAAGACUUGUAUGUGUAGCAAGUCUCGAUUAUCAAUUUUAUGAAUUGGACGUAUAUACCAAAUAAAUUACAAGGCUUGGGGCAGUAACGGUUUCAUUAUGCUCGAGAAAAAAAGGUGAUCUAUCAAACAACCACGACAACAACAAUAACAAUAAAAUUUAAUUAUUUUAUUAACCUUUAUAAUUUGAUCAAAUUUUUAAUUAAAUUUUUUAAUUUAAGAAAUUAUAAUUAAAUUUUUAUAAUUAAAUCUUUAUUAAUUGUUAUUUAAAGAUUAAAUUACACCACUAAUCUUUAUAUUUUUACUAAAAUUACAAAUUGGUUCCUAUAUUUUAAAAGUUUAUAAUUAGAUCCAUAUACAAAUUAUAAUUUUGUAAUUAGGUCCUUAAUAACAUUUAUCGUAAAAAAACCGCACAUUUACCAUAAUGUCUUCUUCUUUCUCUUUUCUCUUUUUUUCCUUAUUUUCUCUUUAGCGUUGUUGUUCUUCUUCUUUAACAAUAAUACGACUUUAACAACAACAAUGCCAAAAUCAUUGUUGAUGAUCAAAUUCAUUAACACAGUAAAAACCAAAAUUAACAGUAAUUAUACAAACUACCACGAUAAUAUGCACUAUUAUCAUGAAGAGGAAGUAUAGGGAGUCAAUGGAAUAUUUGUACAAUGUGUACAAUGGAGGUUUAGGGAUGUCCAAUUCAGUAUUAGAGAUAUAACUAUUAGUGUUACUUUUUCCAUCAGCUUAAGCUUUUAAGACGAGUGGUAUCAUGACAUGAUAUCAGAGUUCUAGAUCUGACAUGAGAUGUUUAUUAGCCUUAGUACUUGAAUGGUUAUUCUGGAUAAUGUAGGUGAUGCUCAUUUUUUAACUCAAUAGUCCAUUGUACACAUUGUACAAAUAUUCCAUUAGCUCCCUAGCAAGACUCUAUCAUGAAUGAACAAAAUUCAACUCAUCCCAAUUAUAUUUAAAUUGUCAAUAAUUAAAAUCUUUCCCUCAUCAUAAACAAAAUCUUUCUCUCUAACAACUCAAUCUUACUAAUCAAAUCCCUCGUAGUAUGCCUCGGGAUCCCACCCAUAGGCACAUACCGAUCCAACUACUCACGAUCUAUCAACGUCUUUCCCUCCACCGCUCCAACACCAUCACCGCCAUCAACCUCAAACGUACCGUUUUGGAACGCAGGAAGCUCCUCAUCCUCUUUCCUUCCCAUAACGUCUGUCAGCGCCUCCCCGCCCUUCGCCAUCCGCAUCUUGUCAGGGACCAUCCUGACUAGGGGUGGAAAAAGGUCAGGCGGCCUGCCAAGGGCCUGCAGCCUGGCCUGUGUUUGGCCUGACCUGGCCUGACCUGUUAUAAAAUAGGCACAGGCUCAGGCUGUUAUAAAAGCCUUAUUAUGUUAAUAGACCCAGGCUCACUAAUUAGCCUGGCCUGGCCUGUCAGGCCUGUCUAGCCUAUUUUUUUAUUAUUAACAAAAUAAUGAGAUAUUUUAAAUUUACUAUAUUUAAUUAUAAAUAAUUUUGUAUAUUUUAAAUAUUUUAAAAAUUCUUAUAAAUAUUAAAUAUGACAUUUUAUAUAUAAAUAUGUUUAUUAAAAAAUAUUUUUUUAAAUAAUAUUUUUAUUUUUGCAAAAAAAAAUUAGCAGGCCUUUUAACAGGCUUCAGGCCAGGCCAGGCUUAGUACUUUAAAAAAAAGCUUAUAGCAGACUGUAGGCCAGGCUCAGGCCAAUCAACUACAUGACAGGCCAGGCCUGUUAAAAGCAAAGCCUGGCCUGUUUCCACCCCUAAUCCUAACCCUCUCGCCCUCGCAAACCAAGCUCCGUAGUGACUCGCUUUAUUAGCACCAGAACCACUCGGGUCCUUGGAGGACCUGGACACGGCGUGUGAAGUAGUUUUUGAAAUUAAUGGUGGUAGUGCCAGAAACACGACGUCAUUUUGGCAGAAUCAAAGACUCUCAUUGGCGUAGGGACCAAUUUACAAUUUCAUUAAAAAUAUAGGGAUCAACUAUGUAAUUUAAUUUUAUUUAAAAAUAUUUUAAUAAUUUUAAAAUAUUUACUUUUAAAACAAAUAGUAUUUUUUAAUAAAAAAANNNNNNNNNNNNNNNNNNAAAUUUUUAAAAUAUAAAAAACUAAUUAAAAAUUUAAUAAAAUUAUAAAUAUUAAUAAAAUAAUUAAAUAUAAUAAUAAUAACAACAAAGAGAUAUGUUACCUUUAGAGAAGUAUAAUAUCAACAGAUAAUUUUAAGGUUUAUGGUUUAGAAAAUUUGUUAAAUAGUAUAAUGUUAAAAGAGGUUGAAUUAGUAUGUUUGAAGUGGUUAGCAUUACACUUACCAUAAUUUUAAUGAUACACUUAAUAUACACCUGUUAAUAAAAUUUUGUCUAACUCUACUAUAUAUUUUUUCGAGUGAAGUGGAAGACCAAAAAUAUUUAAUAUUAUGCUAAGAAAGAAUAUAUUAGGAAAUUUAUACUUAGACAAUAUUCAUGCUCUAACAAUUAAUCUAUACUUAGACAAUAUUUAUGCUCUAACAAUUAAUCAGAGUUAAUUUUUGUUUCUGCCUCUUGAUAAUUGUUUAUUUAUAUUAAAAAAAUUAUCAAAUAAUAUUGACAAAUCAACUUAUCAUUAGAAAAGAUUGAAUGGAAUAAAUAAAAAAUUGUCACCUAAUAAAAUAUUGCACCCCAUAGCAAUUAGUUAUUAUCAUUAAAAUUAGGGACGUUAAAUAAUAAUUUUUUACCAAGAAACAAUGACUGCUCUUUAGGUAUGUUAAUUUCAAUAAAUUUUUUUAAUGUGAAUUCAUUCAAGGUUUAAUUAUUCUGUUAGUUUUUAUAGUGUCAAAUUUUUCAUUAGAUCUCUAUACUUUCUUUUUUUAAUUGGAUCCUGUACUAAUUUUUUUUUCAAUUAGGUCUUUUUUUGUAGUAAUUGACUUAAUUGUAUAGGGAGCCAACUAAAAAAAAUGGUGCAGAAACUCAAAUAAAAGGGAAAAAAAGUGUAGGAACUCAAUUGAAAAAAAAUUUGGUGCAGGGACCCAAUUAAAAGGAAAAAAAAGUAUAGAGACCUAAUUAAAAAUUUCGCAAAACUAUAGGGACCAACAGAGUAAUUAAGUGUGUGUUUGGAUUACAGUUUGCAAACGGGAGUUUGCAUAAAAUUGAUUUUGUAAAAUUGAUUUUGACAAAAAGUAAGUUUGAGUUAACGUGAUUUAUGUUUGGUAAUGUUUAUAUCAAAAUUAAUUGUAGUAAAAUAAAUGUUGUUUGGAUUAUACUACUCAAAAUCACUUUUAGAUAAAAAAUUACUAAAAGAGACAUCAAUUUAAAUAAUUUAUAUAUAUAUAUAUAUAUAUAUAUAUGCAAAAUCAGAACACUAACAAAAAUAAUAUAAAAAAAUAUUUAUCAUAUAAAUAAAAUAAAUACAAUAAAAAAUAAAAAUAUGAAAUUUUAUAAUGUCAAACAAAAAAAAAUUCUAUAAUUUUUUUAGUAUUGUUAGUACUUGUUAUGUAGGAUAACCGACAAUAGCGGGCUGGACUCGUUGGGUUGACCCAAUUGUCUGAGGGAGGAAACCUUCGAUUGAGUUAGCGCCUUGAGAGCCUCUGUCCAACUUGUAUGUAUUAAUGAAUAGGGGGUGGUACCUGCAAAGACACUCCGAUGCUUAAGUCAGCAAGGGUCUAAGCAAGUUUUAGAGUAUUGGGACUUAAAGAUACCUGAAGGGUGUCAAGGUAUAUAUAGUGGUGAACCCAUAACCACCGUUGGAGUAGUUCCACUUUUUAAGGAGGAUAGCCGUCCCUUUAUCUUAGGGAAGUUGAGAUAUGACUCCUGGAAGUGGGUUGAGAGAUUUUAGGGGCAGUUAUUUAUUUGGAUGAGUGUUAUCUACCAGCUAAUCUUCGUUCCCGACUUCUUUUAGUCAAGUCGUCGUUAAGACCGACUUCUUAAGAGAAGGUCGGUGUCGAGUGAGAACCAAUCUUUGGAUUGGGCCUUUUAUUUUGGACCUGGGCCUUAGGGUUGGGCCAAGGUACAAACAAUGCCCCUACAUGAGUGCAAUCUCUUUUAAGAGUUGGGCUCGAGUAUUUUAACUCGGGAUCGUAGCCGACUUAGUGAGGAACCGACGUGAUUUUUCGAAUCCGAUGUGAUUCAAAAUUUUCCAACAGUCGCGUCUAAUCAAACGUCGUGUCCGUUCAGGGGUUUUUAGCAUUUAUACGCGGGGAGCAGUUACAUUGGUAACAACGCCUCUCUUAAAUGAUUACGUCGUUUUAUUGUUAUGCCCCUAACAUGUUUAUAAAUACUUUCCCUCUCUUUUCUUGUAUCGUUUCUGAAAAUUUUCUUACUUGCACCCUCUGUUCGAAAGAAGAGACUCCUUCCUUCUUCAGGUGCUUUGACUGUCUGUCGCCCCAACCUUUUUUGCAAGCGAAAGGUUAGUUCCUUUUUCCUUCUUCUCUUUUACAAAUUCUUUUACUUGUAUAUUUUUCGUUUAGAGGAGCGUUGACUGUAGGCCUAGUGACUCUGUUUGUCUGAGAAGCUUGUAUUAGGUCCUUUAGAGACCCUUUUUUUAUUCUUUUUUCUUUUCUCUUUGUAGGAUUCGUCACCCUUUUAGAAAAAGAUGUCUUCCUUAGAGUCUUUUUCCCAGUGGGUGGAUGUCACGGUCCUUGGGGAGGAAUCCUUCGUAGACACUGAUUACAUCACUGACCUUCGUACUCAUCAUAGAAUUUGUGUUCUUGAUGAGGAUGAGCCAAAAUAUGAACUGAUUGCUCCGGGUCCGGAAGACCAAGUUUGUUUUGGGAGGGCUUCUGAUGCGGACCCUCAUUUCUUUUUUAUGUAUGAGAGCCUUUUUACCCGCCUGGAAGUUUUUCUGCCAUUUUUCAACUUUGAAAUAGCAGUUUUGUCUCACUGUCGCAUUGCUCCCACCCAACUUCACCCCAAUUCUUGGGGUUUUAUGAAAAUUUAUCAACUUAUCAGCCGUGAAUUAAAUUUUUCGACAUCUUUGAAGAUUUUUUUUUCCUUUUUCAUAUGACCAAGCCCUUUAGUGGGCAAAACAAUAAGCAGCAAUGGGUGUCUUUCUGAGCCAUCCAAGGCCGGAGAGUCUUUACCUUUUUUAUGAAUCUUUCCAUGACUUCAAAAAUUUCUUUUUUAAAGUUCAAGCCGUAGAGGGUCACCACCCCUUUUUUCUGGACCAAGAUUCUUCUCCCCGUUUUUCCUUGUACUGGUUGGAAGCCUCUCCUGUGGAGAAAUAUAGUCUGGAUGAUCUGAACAAGGUAGAUGAGGCUAUUGUGGGGUUCUUCCGAGAAGUUUGGGGAAGAGCCCCUUAUCUCGAUACAAAAAAGUUCCUCCAGGGGUCUCCGACCUUUGUACAGACUCGUUUAGGUAGAUAUGGUUGUCUUUUGAUUUGCUCUGACUUGUUUUAAUCAUUUGACUCUGGAAUUCUGAUUUCCCUAUAAAUUGAUUUUUUGCCUUCUUUUUCAGAAAUGGUGAAGAAAGCUUCCGCCUCUUCUUAUAAAAAAGUUCAAGAUGCCAAGAAAAGAUCUCAGGCGCGGUGGAUGCGGCAAGGGCUGCUGGUACCCUUCCUCCUCCUCCUCACACUUUGGGGACUUCCUCCUGUCCUAUCAUGGUAUCCUCUUCCUCUACUUCCUCUCUUCCUUCUCCUUCCCCUCCGCCCCGAUCUUCCCCUGAACCUGAGAAGAAGAAGCGAAAGACUUCUGGCUCUUCUUCUGGGGUUACAUUCGAUGGUCCCCAAUUUGUCCGGAACCAUAUUUUUCUCCAUUCAUCCAUUAAUAUGGAUGAUGCUAUGGUUCAGAAUCAUCUAAAUGUUAUAGUUCAGGGGAGCAUCCAGGCGGCUGGGGUGUGUACAAAACUCCUAGAUAUUUUUGAACAUACUCUCCUUAGCUCUUUGGGUUCUGUCUGUAAGGUUGAGGAGCUUGAGGAGAGAAUUUCUUUAUACCAAGAAGAGGAGAAGAAGUUAAAGGAGGAGGUUACCAAGUUAAAGAAGGAGAAGGAUCGGGUUCGAGAGAGGGAGAAGAAGUUAAUGGGCCAGUGUGCCAUGGCAGAGGGUCUCAGGGAGAAGACAGAGCAGAAUUACAUUAGGCUGUUUGGGGAGAACCUGGAUUUGAAGAAGGAGCUUUCUGGGUGCCAGGACGCUUUCCAGGAAUUGGAGGAUUCGAUUGCUGAGGGUGCAGAGGAGGCAUGGAGGAUCUUUAAGGAGCAAGUCGGAGUUAUUGCUCCUGAGAUCCUGACAAGAUUGUAGUGAGCGGUGCUAUUGUCUCCCCUCCCCGACCUGCGACUGACUCCAAUUUGAAGACGAGGGGACAAAGAAUAAUGGAGUCUCCUCCUCGGGGGGACGUGCUGAGUUCCUCAAGAGUUCCUUUUGAAAACCCUGAUCAGCCUGCUCCGCCCCCUCUUGAUGUUGCUCCGUCUUCUCUCCCUGGUCCUGGUGGUGAUGGCCCUUCUCCUGGUGGUGGUGAUCUUCCUUUUGCUUAACUGAUUGUGGCUAUAUGGGGCCCGGCCUGUGGGCCCCCUGUUUUUUAAACGAUUUUUAUAUUUUGUUUCUUUGUGGUGGUAGUUGUUACUUGACAUUUCUUGGUCUUUUGUGGUCGUAAACAAAAUAUUUAAAAAUGCUCUUUUUUGGAUAAGGGUUUAGGAUAUCUUUUGCCGUGUGCAUGCUUUCUGUUUAGGCUAUUUUUGCGAAAAAUCAUUUUUUGAUCUUUUUGAAAAUCUUUUAUCCUGGCUGGCUGUCUUUCGUACUAAGUUAUUUUGAAUUUGUAGAAACUUGGGACAGCUUUUGCCUUCGGCUUUUGGGGAUGGAUUUUCUUAUUUCUUCUUGGUAUUCCUCACACUCAAUUUUUCUUUUAUUGAGUUUUUAUAACUUAGGUUAUUUUUGCGAUGCAUUUCAUUUCGUCUCGAGUUUUUCCGACCUGCGAGUCGGUUAUUUUCCGAGUUUUUUCAUGAUCUACUUUUAUAACCUCUUUACGCCGACUUGUACCUCGUCGUUUCAUCCUGACGACCAUCUAGGUCGGUUCAUGGAAUUUUCACGCUUUGUCAAGCUUAAGUCGGCGCGUUUCGUAGAAAGAGUGAAAAUAAUCGUAAAAAGAAAUUUAUAAAGAGAUAUGGAAAAAGAUCUUUAUUUAUUUGCGAAGGUACUUUUUUGCUACUAAGGGUUUUGACAGUUUGUUCCCCCUUAGCCCCCACUUUUAUGCCUCAUUAAAAAUCCCACUUCAGGAAAACCCUCUAUUUGGGAAAAAACCAUGGAGUUGGGAAAAGAGUACAUCAGGGAAUGGAGUUUGCUUUUAACUGUAGUACCUUUUCAUAUUACAAGCAUGCCACGAUCUAGGUAACUCGGCGCCGUUUAAGUCGGUCACCUUAUAGUAGUCUUUUCCUAAGACCUCGCUAAUUAUGUAUGGUCCUUUCCAAUUGGCAGCAAGCUUUCCAUCCCCAGACUUGUUGACUCCAAUAUCGUUUCUAAUCAAAACCAAGUCGUCUGAGGUGAAACUUCUUUGAAUGACCUUUUUAUUAUAUCUAUUUGCCAUCCUUUGUUUCAACGCUGCUUCUCUUAUCUGGGCUUGUUCUCGGACUUCAGGGAGUAGUUCCAAUUCUUCUUUGUGCCCCUGUAUAUUUCCAUCCUCAUCGUAGAAGCUCACCCUUGGACUUUACUCACUGAUUUCAACUGGUAUCAUGGCUUCUAUGCCGUAAGUAAGUCGGAAGGGUGUUUUCCGUGUGGCAGACUGAGGUGUAGUCCGAUAAACCCAAAGUACUUGUGGGAGUUCUUCAGCCCAGGCUCCCUUUGCCUCUUGUAACCUCUUCUUCAACCCUGCCAGUAUGACUUUGUUAGCUGCCUCGGCUUGUCCAUUUGCUUGUGGAUGUUCUACCGAGGUAAAUUGGUGCUUGAUCUUCAUACCGACUACUAGGUUUCUGAAGGUUGAGUCGGUGAACUGAGUUCUAUUAUCAGUGGUGAUGGAAUGAGGUACUCCAUACCUUGUGAUAAUGUUUUUGUAGAGAAACUUCCGACUUCUCUGGGCGGUGAUGGUGGCCAAUGGUUCGAUAAAAAGAUUCAUCCAUCCGAGGGUUAAUCCGGAGACUUCAAGGACGUCUUGCUUGGCCUCUGUUUUUGCUACGGAGGGUUCUUGGAGAGCUUCUUAGAUCAGGCUUCUAUUAUUCCCCCCUGGCUUGGUACUUGCUAGCUUGGAGAGGGCGUUUGCUCUACUGUUGAGAUCCCGAGUUAUGUGCUUGACCUCGGUUUCUGCAAAGCGCCUAAGAUACUCCAAGGUUUUGUCCAAGUAUCUCUUCAUAUUGGGGUCUCUAGCCUGAUACUCUCCAUUUAUUUGGGAGGUCACCACUUGAGAGUCGCUAAAUAUCACUACUUUUGUCGCACUGACUUCUUGUGCUAGCUUUAAUCCUGCAAUCAAGGCUUCAUAUUCUGCCUGAUUGUUAGAAGCUGAGAAUUCAAAUUUUAGGGAAACUUCUAUCUGUGUUCCCCCUUUGUUGACCAGUAUUAUGCCUGCACCACUUCCUAUUUUGUUUGAGGAUCCAUCUACGUAUAACUUCCAUGUAGUGGAUUCUUUCUCUUGGUCUCCUGCAUAUUCUGCUACGAAGUCAGUGAGGCAUUGGGCUUUUAUUGCCGUCCGAGUUUCGUAUUUCAGGUCGAACUCGAAUAGCACUAUCGCCCAUUGAACCAUUCUACCCGCAAUAUCUAUCUUCUGGAGGAUUUGCUUCAUGGGUUGGUUCGUUCGAACUCUUAUUGUGUGGGCUUGAAAAUAAGGCAGUAACCUUCGAGAGGCUACUAUUAACGCAUACACAAACUUCUCGAGUUUUUGAUACCUUACUUCAGGGCCUUGUAGGACUUUACUAGUGAAGUAGAUAAGAUGCUGCCCGACUUCGUCUUCCCAUAUUAGGGCUGAUGCUAUAGCUUUAUCUGCUACGGACAAGUACAGGACGAGUUCUUCCCCAAUUUUAGGUAGGGUCAGAAUAGGAGGUUGGCUUAAAAACCUUUUGAACUCCUGGAAUGCUUCUUCGCAUUCAGGAGUCCAUUCGAACUGGCAUCCUUUUCUUAGUAGGGAGAAGAGUGGGAUCUUAAUGUUGAUCCCACCAAGAACCUGGAAAGGGCGGCGAGUCGGCCGUUCAGCUGCUGGACCUCUUUUAAGCAAGUCGGGCUUUUCAUUUCUAGGACUGCUUUGCACUUGUCGGGAUUAGCUUCGAUUCCUCUUUCAUUAAGCAUGAAUCCUAGAAAUUUUCCAGCCUCUACUGCGAAGGUGCAUUUUGCGGGAUUCAAUCUCAUCCCAUGCAACCUUAUGGUGUUGAAGACUUGCAGGAGGUCUGUCAAGAGGUUGGUCUCAUCCUUGGUUUUUACUUGCAUAUCGUCUACGUAGACUUCCAUCAAUCCCCCAAGGUGAGGUACAAACACCUUGUUCAUCAGCCUUUGAUAUGUGGCUCCAGCAUUUUUUAGUCCAAAGGGCAUUACCACAUAGCAAUAGUUUGCCCUAGGCGUGAUGAAUGAUAUUUUUUCUUGAUCCGGCCUGUACAUCAGGAUUUGGUUGUAUCCCGAGUAUGCAUCCAUGAACGACAAGUAUUUAUAUCCUGAGCUGGAUUCUACUAGGGUAUCAAUGCUUGGAAGUGGAUAUGGGUCUUUGGGACAUGCCUUAUUCAGGUCGGUAUAAUCGACGCACAUCCUCCACUUGCUGUUUUGUUUUUUGACCAGCACCACAUUUGCCAGCCACGCCGGAUAUUUGACUUCUUUGAUGAACUCGGCUUCUAAGAGUGCUUGCACUUGUUCUUCCACUACUUGAGCUCGCUCGGGUCCGAGCUUCCGCCUUCUUUGUUGAACAGGUCGCGAUCCGGGGUAAACUGAUAGUUUGUGUGACAUGAGUUCGGGAUCUAUCCCUGGCAUGUCGGAGGCUUUCCAGGCGAAGAGGUCGGAAUUUUCUUGUAGGAGCUUUAUAAGCUUCUCUUUCAGCUCUUCUUUCAGGUCGGCUCCUAUGUUGGUGUUUUUCCCUUCCUCUUUUCCAAUCUGUACCUCCUUAGUUUUUCCCCCAGGUUAUGGUCGCCACUCUUCCUUGGCUCUGACCCCUACGAGCUCAAUUGUGUGCACCUCAUUUCCCUUUUCUCUCAGGUUCAGGCUUUCGUUGUAGCAUUUCCUUGCCAAUUUCUGGUCUCCCCUAAUGGUUGCUACUCCCUCUGGUGUUGGGAAUUUUAUGCAAAGGUGAGCGGUGGAUACCACUGCUCCGAGCCGAUUUAGGAUAGUUUUGCCGAUUAAGGCAUUAUAGGCUGACCCCACAUCGACGACUAUGAAGUCGAUGCUCAGAGUUUUGGAUUUUCCCCCCUUUUUGAAAGUCGUGUGAAGGGGCACAUAUCUCAGUGGUUUUAUUGGCGUAUCUCCUAGGCCAUAUAGGGUGUCAGGGUAAGCUCUUAAUUUCUUUUCAUCUAACCCCAGCUUAUCGAAUGCUGGCUUGAAAAGGAUGUCAGCUGAGCUCCCCUGAUCUACCAGGGUUCUGUGAAGAUGGGCGUUGGCAAGGACCAUGUUAUCACCACUGGAUCAUCAUAUCCAGGGAUGAUUCCUUGCUCAUCUUCUUUGGUGAAUGAAAUAGUGGGGAGAUCGGGAGCCUAGUCCCCGACCUGGUAGACUUCCUUCAAAUGCCUCUUGCGAGCUGACUUUGUGAGGCCGCCUCCACUAAAUCUCCCUAAGAUCAUAAGUAUAUGUCUUUCUAGGGUUUGUGGUGGUGGAUCUCUUCGGUCCUCGUCGUCUCGCUUCCUUUUUCCAUGAUGGUCUGACUUUUCCAUGAGAUAUCUGUCAAGCCGACCCUCUCUGGCCAACUUUUCUACCACAUUUUUAAGGUCGUAACAAUCAUUCGUUGAGUGACCAUAUAUUUUAUGGUACUCACAGUAGUCACCGUGACUUCUCCCCUUCUUAUUUUUGAUGGGUCUGGGGGGCAGUAGCCUUUCAGUAUGGCAGAUUUCCCUGUAUACAUCUACCAGAAAAACUCGCAGAGGAGUAUAGGAGUGAUAUCUCCUAGGCCUUUCGGGGCCGACAUCCUCUUUUUUCUUGGGUUCUCUUUCUUUCUCUUUUGAGGAGUGAGAAUGCCCAGGCCGCCAACUCGGUUCUCGUAGCUUGGCGUUUUUCUCCAUGUUGAUGUACUUCUCAACUCUCUCCUGUACAUCACUUAAGGAGGUCGGGUGCCUUUUCGAUAUGGACUGGGAGAAGGGGCCUUCUCGAAGUCCAUUUACUAGGCCCAUAAUUACUGCCUCCGUGGGCAAGUCUUGAAUCUUUAGGCACGCCUUAUUGAACCUUUCCAUGUAGUCUCUUAGAGGUUCUCCGACCUCCUGUUUUACUCCCAGGAGGCUUGGCGCGUGCUUUACUUUAUCCUUUUGGAUGGAGGAUCGCAUUAAGAACUUUCGCGAGAGGUCGUCGAAGCUAGUAAUCGACCUUGGGAGAAGAUUGUCGAACCACUUCAUCGCUGCUUUCGUUAAGGUGGUCGAAAAAGCCUUGCAGCGAGUAGCAUCAGAAGCGUCGGUGAGAUACAUCCGACUUUUAAAGUUGCUUAAAUGAUGCUUUGGAUCCGUGGUUCUAUCGUAGAGGUCCAUAUCAGGACUUUUAAAGUUCCUUGGAACCUUUGCCCUUAUUAUAUCCUCGCUGAACGGAUCUUGUCCCCCCAAGGGAGAGUCUUCUCGGUCGCUGCGGGAACUUCGACUUUUAAGAGCAGACUCCAGCCUUAAGAGCUUUUCCUCUAGCUCUUUUCGUCGAUCAAUCUCGUUUCUCAGGUUUCUCUCCGCCUCUCGUUGUCGUUCCAGUUCUUAUUCCAACUGCUCCAAGCGCCCUUGGUGCCCGUGGAACAAUCCCAUGAAAUCGGCAGCAUGGGGUUGUCCCUCCUUUCCCGAUUCGCGACCAUCAGAAGAGUUUGCCUUUGGGUCUUUCAAUCCAGAAGUGCCUUCUCUGUUCUGAUCGGCCCCACCUUGGUGGGUGGUCAAGUUCGCAUCAUUGUUUCCAACGUCUAGAUUUUCUUGCUCAGAAUCGGACGCUGUGUGGCCAUCUUCAGGUGAAUUAUCCGCCAUCACUGGUUGAUCUCUCGGGUCCCCGGCAACGGUGCCAAUAUUACGUAGGGUAACCGGAGAAUAGCGGGCUGGACUCGUUGGGUUUACCCAAUCGUCUGAGGGAGAAAACCUUCGAUUGAGUUAGCGCCUUGAGAGCCUCCAUCCGACUUGUAUGUAUGAAUGAAUGGGGGGUGGUACCUGCAAAGACACUCUGAUGCUUAAGUCAGCAAGGGUCUAAGCAAGUUUUAGAGUAUUGGGACUUAAAGAUACCUGAGGGGUGUCAAGGUAUUUAUAGUGGUGAACCCAUAACCACCGUUGGAGUAGUUCCACCUUUUAAGGAGGAUAACCGUCCCUUUAUCUUAGGAAAGUUGAGAUAUGACUCCUGGAAGUGGGUUGAGAGAUUUUAGGGACAGUUAUUUAUUUGGAUGAGUAUUAUCGACCAGCUAAUCUUCGUUCCCGACUUCUUUUAGCCAAGUCGUCGUUAAGACCGACUUCUUAAGAGAAGGUCGGUGUCGAGUGAGAACCAAUCUUUGGAUUGGGCCUUUUAUUUUGGACCUGGACCUUAGGAUUGGGCCUUUUAUUUUGGACCUGGACCUUAGGAUUGGGCCUUUUAUUUUGGACCUGGACCUUAGGAUUGGGCCUUUUAUUUUGGACCUGGACCUUAGGAUUGGGCCUUUUUUUAAUGAAAAAAAAAAUUGAAACGAAAAACUAUGAAGAAGUAGGAAGAACUAUAAAGAAUUAUUGUGAAGGUAAUAGUUACUGGUAUCUUUUUUAUAGAAGAAAAUGAAGGGUAGGGUUGGUAAAAAAAAUAAAUUUUUCAUCUAAUUUUCCAAGGGUAAUAAGCAACCAUGAACGUGAAACGCAGAAGCUACAAAUUUUAGCUUCUCCUAAACGUGCGUUCAGAAAGAUAAAAAUUACCAAACAUAAAAGUGAAACUUUCAAAAAGUUCAAACGUGCUUCUCUCCUCCCCAACGCGUUUGCCAAACACACCCUAAAUCUUCAUUCAACAACAUGUAUUUCUAAACAUGUUUUUUUUUUUUGGUAAAAUGUAUUUCUAAACAUUAAGGACCUUGGGAAGCUUCAAAAAUAAUUUUUUUGAGUUUUUAACUUAUGAAAAGUAGUAGUAUUAAUGUCUAGUACAAUUUUUAAAACCAAAUUGUAACUUUCUAAGAAACUAUUUAAAAGCUUAUAGAAAAGUUUAAAAAAAUGACUUCUCUCAUAAUACUAUUACUUUUUAUCACAUUUCUAUAAAAAUAAGCACUUUUAUAAUUAAAAAUGAGUUAAUACUCAAAAUCGUCCCUGAAAGAUACCUCGAUCUCCAUAUUAGUCCCCGAAAGAUAAAGUUAAUCAAAAGAGUCCCCGAAAGUUACACGAGUUAAUCACGUUUGUCCUUCCAUUAACUCUGUUGGUGACCUGGCUAACUGUUGCUGAUGUGUGUGGUUAGCUUCCAACGUGGAAGAGGCCCACAUGUGAUGACCUGUUGCUGACAAGGUAAGUUUGAGAAAACAGUUCAAAUUAGUCCCUAAGUGUUUGAAACCUAAUCCUAAAUUCCACGAUAAAUAGGUCGCAUUCAUCAAUCAGAUGGCCAUAUACCUGGGUUCGUGUUCAAAUUGGUGGUUUGGGACGACGAUGGAGGCCGGAAAUGGAGGCCGUGGUGGCGGUGUGUCGUUGUUCUCGAACGGCAGUAAUGGUUCCAGCGCCUCAAUGCGAAGCAGGAGGAAACCCCAUGAGGAAUCAUGUUUCUGUGGGUUGAAGGCUGCGAUAAGAAAGUCUGGGACAGCGGAGAACCCAGAUAGACUAUUCUGUGCAUGUCCAAGGUACCGGGUGAGUGUUGUGUAAGAUUUUAAGGGUUUUUGAUGUUGUUUUGUGUGUUGGGAUUUUAUUUAAUUUUUGAUUUUCUGAUUUCUGAAUUUUCAGAAGGGCAGUCACUGCAACUACUUUAAGUGGGUUGAGGAUGAUGAGUAUGAAGGGAUGGGCCAAGGUGGAACGAAGAAAGAUUAUGGGGCUGAGCUGCAGGUUGAUAGUGACUGUGAUGAAUGGAGGUUGAAGGUGGCAUGGAGACUGGGCAGCUUGGAAGCUGAAGUAAAAGCAUUGAAAAUGUUAAUAGUUUUCCUAUUUGUGGUAGUUGUGCUUAAUGUGAUUGUUUGUAGUUUGUUGUGUCGUUCCAAGUAAAGCAAAUUCCAAACACUUGAUGGUGUAAUGAGAUGAAUCCAUUGAAUGAGAAUAGAUGUUUCAUUUGGUUGUUUUAUAUGAAGACAACACAAUCCAAUUGAAAGGUUCCAAACCAAUUCGAUUGACUAUUAAAGUAACAUGUACUAAGGAAUGGACAUAAUCAGUAGUGAAAGUAGUGUUAAACAUUGAGUAGUCAAAGUACUAUUAAAUAUUCAGUUGCCAUAGAAGGCUAGAUGUCACAUUUUCUUAAGGACCAAAAGGUUUAAUAUAGGAAACAGACCACAUCAAAGUCAUAAGCCUUUACAUGAGGAUACAUAACCUAAAAAGUAUCCUAGACCAAAAUAAAAGGGCAUAGUACAACUUGCAUUGACAUAGAUAACCAAAAUGUAGAUAAUGUAACUCCAAUUGCCCUGUGCAAAAUAACAGAAAGUAUCCUCACACAAAAAACGAAUUCAACCACAAUACAAUUCAACACUAAUCAAAGUCAUUUAUCAGUCUUUUUUGGGGGCUUGAAGGCGGGAGUAGGAACGAAGGUCAUAAAGUCGGCCAGUUUUUUAGCAGUGGCUGAACUAGUCCCCUUGAUUGUCUCAGCAGAGAUAGCGACUGGUGCGGCUACAGUAGCUUUAGGAGACGACUGAAUUCUGGCUUUCCCUUUAAUGACCUUUAACUUCGAUGGCCUAGCAGCGAGUUGUUCCUACACAAAUUAAUGGUACAUCUAGAUUUAGAUUUAGCUUAUUAAAGAAAUGAGAUUUAUGAACUAACAAAUGUUUAAAAUGAAUCACAUAUGGCAGAUUACCUGUUGUGUUUCUUGGGUUGGUGGUAUACUAUCACACUGGCUAACAUCAAUUACUGUCGGAGUCUGUGUUGGUGAUCGAGCUGGAUUAGGUUCAGCUGGGACAGUGGUUGCUUCAGGGGCAGCCCCUUCUGCAGUAGGAGCAACCAGAGCUAGUUGCAGCUGCAGCUGCCUAGCAUGCUCCUCAGCUUCGAUAGCUUUCUUCUUUGCACAGCUUCGCUUGUUGUGUCCUAUCUCACUGCAAUACAUGCAUCUGAUAGGGUUGUAUUUCCUCUUCAUCUUUGUUUUUGAUCCAGUGGGUUGUUCCUCUUUGUCUCUUCUCCUUUUCUUGGUUGGUCUUCCAGGCUUUGCCUUAAAUGGUGGUGGGACGGGUGCUGGGUGUGGAGUUUUUUCCCACAGAUCCUGACCUUUCACUGGAUUCACAUUGAAGCAAUAAGUCUUCCUGUACGCUUCCAUCUUCAACCAGUCGUGACAAUAGUCUUCAGCACAUUUUUCAUUCUUAUCCUGUAUAGCUGAGAUUGCAUGCAUACACGGCAUCCCUUACAUAGAGAAACCAAUCAUUAUUUUAAACUCGUGCAUAAAAUUAAAUUAUAGUAACUAAAUGUUGAAUUUUUUACCUGUUAGUUUCCAAAAACGACAGCUGCACGUAUGCUUUCCCAAGUCAACCACCAUAUUGGUUGGCCAGCCAUGAACUUCAUACAGUUCUUCUUUUUCAUCACCAGACCAUUGAGGAGCCCAGUGGCUAGACAACGCUGUCAUGGCUUCAAGUCUGCUCUGCUGAACAGGGGGGAGAAUCCCUUGAUAAUUCUCUAGCUUCUUCCGAUUGUCAACAAUACUCUUCAUGGUGAUUCUUCUUACUUCCUCAGCUAAUGUCAGAAUCGGCUUGCCCCUAUCAUGCUUGAUUUUUGCGUUGAAAGACUCGCAAGCAUUGUUGCAUAUGUUAUCCACCUUUGGCAGUUCACUGAAGUGGGCCUUUGUCCAUGCAUCUUUUGGCCACUUCUCGAGAUAUUCCCAUGCUUUUUGAUUAAUGAGCUUCACUCUGUUCAUGUUUCUGUUGAAUUCAACUGUUGUCCUAGACCGAGCACAUUCCCAAACCAUAUCCUUCAGUUCAGUACUAGACCACUGUUUUGAGAAAUUGCGCCAUAAAUGCCAGACGCAGAAUCGAUGGUGUACCCUGGGAAAUACUUCCUGAACAGCUGGUAUUAACCCCUGCAAGUUGAAACAGACACGACAAGAUAACAUGUCAAAUUCGUCCCUACGAUAACUUCAUUAAAUCAAAUACAUCCCUCAAUGUUACUUUAUUUAAUCAAAAUAGUCCCAGUAUUGUCUUAUCAGAAUCAAUAAAGUGCUCACCUUCUGCAUGUCUGAAAUGAAGCACCAUUUGUUCUCCCUGUAGUCUCCCAGGUCAUUGUGCAGUAACUCAAGGAACCACUUCCAGUUGUCCUUGUUUUCAACACUGACUAUGGCAUAAGCAAUCACAAGUAUGUGAUUGUUAGCAUCCUGCCCACAAGCUGUUAAAAUCUGACCCCCAUGUAGUGUUUUCAGAAACGCUCCAUCAAGACCAAUUAAGGGUCUGCAACCAGCCUUAAAACCCCUCUUGCAGGCAUCAAGGCAAACAUAAAAGCGAUCAAACAGGGGAGGACUCUCAGGCAUGGGGAUAACAGACACUUGAACUGUGGAGCCGGGGUUACUAGUCAGCAACUCAUUGGCAUAGUCCCACACCAACCCAUAUUGAGCAAUCUCAUCACCCUCGACUAUUUUCCUAGCGACUUUCAAAGCUCUUGUAAUGCAUGUGCUAUUGAGAUAGACGUUGCACUUUCUAACAAACCAGUCAUAAACCUCUCGAUGCUUCAUGGUUGGGUGUUUUCUAAGCUUAGGAACUAGUUUACUCAGAGUCCAGGUUUAGGUUGCAGCUCUGUUUUUCCUCCUUCUUGGACAAGUGUGAUUAUCUACUAGUGUCUUAAUUUGCCAAGAACCAUCUUGCUUAUUACAUGCACAGUAAACUACCCAGGGACAAUCUUUAGACUUGCAGACAACCCUAACUCUAACUUUGUCAUUUUUUGAAAACAAAAUAUUUCUACCCCACUGGAUUGUAUAAUCCCUAGUUGCUUGCAUGAAUUCAGCCUUUGACUUAAAUACCAUACUGACCUCGAAUUUCAACUCUCCAAACUUUAUUUUUUCAUUGAACUGAGGGUACACAGCUGGUGCUUCUUCAUCAGACUCCAACACCUUAUCAGAAUCCUCUGAAUGCCAGGAGUCACCAUCUGAGGCAGCAUCACUAUCAUCUAAAUCUGGUAACAAAGAAGUUUAACACAUUAGAAACCCUAACAUUUGCCUAAUAAUUUACGAAACAACUAACCCUAAUGGAAUUAACAUACCAGACUCAGAACUUUCUUCAUCUUCAGACCCCUCAUAGUUGGAAUCAUCAGUGUCUAUCUCUUUAUCAGCUAGUCUUUUCUUAGGGGGCUUCUGCUUUUCUCUGACUUCAGACCUGCUGUCUCUUUUUCCACUUCUUUUUCCCUUCCCAGAGUCACUGUCACUCUCACUGCUAUAGAGGUUGUCUCCUACAACCUUUGGAGGCCUAUACAGUUCAUCUUCAGUACUCUCAUAAGAGUCAUGAGAGUCAGUGUCAUCUUCCUGGAGUUGAGCUUCCUUCACUUGUCUUCCAGAUCUUGUGACUCUGCAGCCACUGCUAGUUUGUUUGUCCUUUGCCCCUUGUGAGUUGUUGCCUGCCUCUGAUGACGAAUUUGAUUGAGGUGGGACUGAUUUGGCCUGAUAACUGGUCUUCUUGGCCUGAGGAACAGGCUUCAUGGGCUGAGCAGUUGUCUUCUUGGGCUGAGAUGUUGUCUUCUUGGGCUGUGGGCUACUUUAUUGGGCUGAGACAUGGGCUUCACCUUUGGUUGAUUGCGCUCAGAUAUGGGCUUCAUUGUAGGAUUGGGCUGUGACUUGGGCUGUGAGGUUGUUCUGUUGGGGUGACAGGUUUGCUUCUGGGACUGAGGAUCAAUUCUUGUGGGUUUCUUCACAGGUUGGGAGCUGCACUUCCCCUGUUUCAACCCUGCUGCUUCCACAUUCACUACUUCAUCCUCAAUCUGGUCUACUAUACAAGGCUGAGAGAUACAAUGCUCCAGGUAGAUAUUGAUCAGAUUGUGGUUUCUCCUGCAAUCCUUGCACAUCGCAACCAAGUCUGCGUCUGUGACUAAGCUUCUCAACCCUGAUGAAAGAGGAACUCCAGGAUCUUUCCACCAACAAUUUCCAGCUUCAAUGUAACCCAACUCCCUAUAAUAACCCCUUACAAAGAAGACGUCAAGCGUGUCUCCUUCAACCCCCAUCAGCACCUCUGUAUUAUUGGGUUCGUAUACCAUAUCUCCUUCAGCAUUCUUCUUAAACAGUCCCCCAUGGUGAAACACAAAGGUCAUCGGAGGACCUUCCAUCUACAAGCAGAAAUAAGAAAAGCCCACACAGAUUGUAACUGCCUAUUCUCAAUCAUAACAUAAGAAACCCUAACCCCAAAACAAACAUGCAACAACGAAAACUAACUCCCAUUAACAUCAAACACCCAUAACACAAUAUCAUCACAACGGCAUUCAAAGCAAUGCAUUCUGACCUUAAACAACACUCACACAAACCCCUACCCCUAAUCAGACAGAGAUAUACAGAACGCCACCCCUACGACAUCAGGCUACAAACUGACUUCAAAAAAAUGGAAAAAACUUUAAUGCUUACCUCUAACCGUCACGCUUGCUUCUUCCACAAACAAUGUUGCUAACAGCUGAUGNNNNNNNNNNNNNNNNNNNNNNNNNNNNNNNNNNNNNNNNNNNNNNNNNNNNNNNNNNNNNNNNNNNNNNNNNNNNNNNNNNNNNNNNNNNNNNNNNNNNNNNNNNNNNNNNNNNNNNNNNNNNNNNNNNNNNNNNNNNNNNNNNNNNNNNNNNNNNNNNNNNNNNNNNNNNNNNNNNNNNNNNNNNNNNNNNNNNNNNNNNNNNNNNNNNNNNNNNNNNNNNNNNNNNNNNNNNNNNNNNNNNNNNNNNNNNNNNNNNNNNNNNNNNNNNNNNNNNNNNNNNNNNNNNNNNNNNNNNNNNNNNNNNNNNNNNNNNNNNNNNNNNNNNNNNNNNNNNNNUCAGUACCAACAGCUACUCGGCUUUCAUCGUCAACCAACAAGGACAAACGUGGAUGGCGAUGUUCGAAUGCAACGUGAAGGGGUUAGGGCAUGGCUUGACAGAGACGAAACAAUUUGGAGUCAAACGUGGAGAUACUCGUUAUGGAAGAGGGUAAAUCCACUCUGCAACGUUUUGAAUCCACUAUCUCCACGAAACGACGCCGAUUCAUGUCUAUCUGGACAUUCCCUCAAAACGGCGUCGUAUUCCUUCUCUGCCAGCAUGGCAGUUAACGUGCCACGUGAGCAGACGUUAGCCAUGUCAUCAAGCAAAUUGACGGAAGGACGAACCUGAUUAACUCGUGUAACUUUCGGGGACUCUUUUGAUUAACUUUAUCUUUCGGGGACUAAUAUGGAGAUCGAGGUAUCUCGGGGACGAUUUUGAGUAUUAGCUCAAUUAAAAAUUCAAACACAAAAUAACUUAUUUAUAAGCUACUUUUAAUAUAGUCAUUUAUUAUUUAAGCUAUUUUUUCAAAAAAAAAUUAAUUAAGUUGUUUACCCGAACUGAAGCUAAUAGCUACUACUAUUUGGAGUCUUGGACAUACAAUGAAAAACCUGAAAAAGACUAAAUCUGAGUCCUGAUAAAUAUCUUCCCCCCCUCUCAAAACCCCUCCCCCUUCAAAAGAGAUUCUAAUAUACAUCAUUCCAAAAAAAUCUCACAAAAAUAUAGUAACAACAAUCAAUAAAAUUUAAAAAUACACAAAAAGGGUCUCGAGGCCCAUCCGUAGAAAAACUUCACUAAUUAUUUAUCCUACAGAGGAAAUAAAACUUCUGUAACGAAGUAGAAAAGCUGUCCAAGAUUAGGUAAAUAUAUCUAUUCUAGAGUAUGCUAUCUCAGUUCAUCAUGUGAAGAAAAAAAAUAAAGUUUCAUUAGCAUAGCAAUAGCCUUUUAUUAUAUCACAUUUUCUUUACUUCUUUUAUUUCACUUAAAAAAACUGAUAAAAAUUAUAUUUUAUAGAUAANNNNNNNNNNNNNNNNNNNNNNNNNNNNNNNNNNNNNNNNNNNNNNNNNNNNNNNNNNNNNNNNNNNNNNNNNNNNNNNNNNNNNNNNNNNNNNNNNNNNNNNNNNNNNNNNNNNNNNNNNNNNNNNNNNNNNNNNNNNNNNNNNNNNNNNNNNNNNNNNNNNNNNNNNNNNNNNNNNNNNNNNNNNNNNNNNNNNNNNNNNNNNNNNNNNNNNNNNNNNNNNNNNNNNNNNNNNNNNNNNNNNACUUAAUUUUAUAUAAAAAUAAUUUAAUGUAAGUCUAUUUUAUAACAUUAAUUAAAAAAAACAAAUUGAAAAUAGUAUAUUUUUUCUUUGAAUAAAUAUUCAAAUUGGUCCCUGAAAAAUUACCCAAUUUUCAAAUUGGUUCCCGAGAUAAAAUUAAUCAGAAUUGUCUCCAAAAGAUUUAAAAAUGGUUACGUUAGUCCAUUCAUCUCUCCUCCGUUCAUUCCAUCAGUAACAAUGUUAAAUUUUGCUUAUGUAGCCGUUAGUGUGUCAUGACAGGUUGGUGCAGAAUGAUGUUUAAACAUUUUUGUCAAAUUAUUCCUAAAGAGAAUAAACCCUAAUCCCUUAUUCUCAUUAAAUGCCAUUGUUGUUGUAGCAACAAAUUGAUUCUGCAGAGGCCAAAAUUGUUGUUGUACUACAUCAUAGGCAGCGUUUAGUUGGCCAAAGUCUAGACAAAGAUACAAUAUAGUUGAAAACUAUGCAUAAUAUAAUAUAUAGUCCUGCUAAUAACGUAUAAUCCUCCUGUUACCUUCAUCUUAAAAGCCAAAGAUUUUGACUAAACUUCAAAGCUACUUGAUACUGUAUAGUGUAUCAAAAGAAAGUUGAUGCCUUUGGCCUUGGCCUAUUUAAAGUCUAUAUUUCUUUCUGUAUUUUUGAAAGAUUCUUGAGGUUAAAAGUUGAAAUUGAAAUGAUCUGAAAAAUGUAAAGUAGCCUUAUAAAAAAUGAUACAAAGAAUAUACUCAUAAUAAAUAAAUGCACUUCAUAUUACUACUACAUACCUUUUGAAACUCUCAUUCCAUUCGUGGAGAAGCGAAAAUGGGGUGAAGUAGACACAGAAUUUUGGACAAACUGCAACACUGCCAAACGUCUCUUUUGUAUUUAUACUAGUUCUAGAGCCUGCUCCUACUCUUCCAUAAGUUGUCUUCUAAGAGAUUUAGCAUUCCCACAACUUCUUGGAACUACAAAAAAAAUUGAAAAUGGUUAUUUUAGUGACUAAUGAGAGAAUAAUCAUAGAACAAGUCAUAUGAACAGGACAAGUAAUGUAGAUUCCAAACAAGAUAAUAUGAUACUCACUUGAGUUCAUUUCAGAAUCCAUGUCUAUGUGGUGAGGUGAGUAACACAUAGAGUACUGAAUUCUAUCAGCAUAAUUCCUUCAACCAAAUUAGAGUUGAUAUGAAAAAUUUUUUGAAAAAGAGGUAUAUGUCAACAUAACUAAUAUGAUCAAAGGAUAAAAUUAAAUUACUAAAUUUCAUUUAUACCCAAAGGACGAAAGUAAAUUAAUUAAUAUAUACUAUUAUCAUAUGUAAAUUUUUUUAAAUUAACCUUAAGAUAACCGGAUAUUGAUACAUUUAUACCAAUAAACAAUCAAAUUAUAAUAAGAACCCUUUCUAAUGUCAAGUGCAAUUUUACCCACAUUUCAAGCUUAAAUCCGAGUUUAAGCAUUCAAUUCCGAGCUGAAAAUGUAAAUUAACCGAAGGAACAUUAAAUAAGGAAGUACCUUUCAAUAACCUUUAACUUCUCCAGGUAAGGUUUAACAAGCACCCGAGACCCACGAACAUAAUGGGAUUCCCUUUGUCUAAAAUGAUUUUAGCAGUUUGUGGAUCAAUAAACGUCACAAAGCCAAACAUCCUUUUUUACUGGAGGUGAGAACCAAAGACGAAGGAUUGGAUUAGAGAGAUAUUCUGUUUUGAGAAGAAGGAUGGAAUAGACAGUAAUGAAAAAUGGUUGAAAAGGGUGAUCAAAGAAAACGACGCCUUUGAAACUUUUGUUGACAUGUGACAUUAACCGCCAGAUAAGCAAAUGUUAAUGUGAUUUGUCAAAUAAUAGACGAAAGGACUAACGUGACUAUUUUUAAAUCUUUUGAGGACAAUUCUGAUUAAUUUUAUUUUUUUGGAAUCAAUUUGGAGAUCGAAUAAUUUUUAAGGACCAAUUUAAAUAUUUACUCUUUUCUUUUAUUAUUAUAAUUAAUCUGUUUGAAUUGGCUUUUCAAAUACUUUUCUAAAAGAAAAAAAAAUGUUGACUAAACUUACAAAAAUUUAUGUUUAAUCUGAUAAAAAAGUUAUUUUAAAAGAUAAAAAGUAUUUAAUUUUAAUAUACAAAAAUAUAGAUAAUUUUAUAUUUUUAUUUAAUUUGUAAUUUUUUAAAUAAUUAUUCAUAUUAUUUUUACAAAUAUAAUAUCACGUAUUAAAUAUAUGUNNNNNNNNNNNNNNNNNNNNNNNNNNNNNNNNNUAUAAAUAUAAAUACAUAAUCUUUCUUAUAUACCAAAUGCAAAAUAAAAAAUUUAUGCUUUUAAAUGAAAAACACCUUUUUAAAAAAUUUUACCAAACCAAACCUUAGACAUAACACUUGGAGUCUUGGACUCAUUCAAAUAAAGAAAUGAAAAACAAAAAAAGAAUAAAAAGCUUAUUCAAUUUGCAUUUACAGCACCAAACAAUUUCCACGCACUAUCAAUUUUUUUUUCCAUUCAAGCUACAACUGCAACAUUUCAUAAUUUAUGCACAUCAAAAUUUAGAAUUGAUUACAGCAAAAUUACAAAGAAUUGUGUACACAAACAAAUGGUACAAACUGAUAAUGACUCCACUAAAAAAAAUUAAAAAUAACUGAGAAGAAAGAAAUUAAAAAAAAAAGAAGGAAAGGGUCAAGACUGAAAAGAAUCAUAGCUUUAUAGCCUAUAGGACUGAAUGAGCGAAAAUACUAUACAACUCCUCAAGUCCCUAGUUUUUAACCAAGUCUUCUAGUUUAAAAAUUGUAUAAUUAAGUCCCUAUUAUGCAUAAAAAUCUUAAAGAGAAAACGAGUUGUCAUUACAGGGGUUUUUUGAAACUAGCUUCAGUAGCUUGCACUUUAUAAGGAUUUUUUAUUAAAAAAAUGGUUAUAUUGAAACAAAACUGUACCUUGGCAAGAUCAAAUGUGUGUUUCCUUUCAUGUGAUUAUUCAUAUCCCAUAGAACAAUUGGUUUUCAGAAUGCUAUAUAAUAAAAUUGUGAAAGAAUAGGAAAAUAAAAGAAUUGUGAAAGAAAAAGAUGAAGAAAUUUUAUUGAUUGUUGAUUGAAUGAAUUGUAAACUAUGAAGACAGCCAACCAAAUGACGAUAUACAAAAGGGUCGGAUAGCAAGGGACUUUGAUCUUGAUAUAGUCUUGUGGUACUAUCCAUUGGAACAGAGGCAGGUUUAGCACCUAAUAAACCAGAAUCCUCCAAAAGAUCAAGGCAAUAUUUUCUCUGAGAUAAGCAAAUUCCCUUCUCUGAUUGAGCAACUUCAAUACCCAAAAAAUAUUUUAAUGGGCCCAAGUCUUUAAUUCGGAAGUGUUGAUGUAAAAUAGACUUAAUGGCAGCAAGUUCAGAAAUAGAAUUACCAGUGAGAACAAUGUCGUCAACAUAGACUAAAAUGAUAGAAAUUUGAUCACCAAUGAAUUUGACAAAUAAACUAUAAUCAGAUGAGGUCUGCUGAUAUCCAUGAGAUAGCAAAAGAUGAGAAAGUUUGUCAUACCACAUACGCUAGAUUGUCGUAAACCAUACAGUGACUUUAGUAGCUUACAGCAUUGAUUCGGUUGAGGAGAUAUAAAUCUGGGUGGCAGAGUCAUAUAAACAUCCUCAGAAAGAUCCCCAUGUAAGAAAGCAUUAUUGACAUCCAACUGAUGUAUAGGCCAAUGCUUCAUAGAGGCCAAUGCCAAAACUAAUCUGAUAGUGGCAGGCUUGACAACAGGGGAGAAAGUUUCCAAGAAAUCAACACCUUCAGUUUGAGUGAACCCUUUAGCCACAAGGCGUGCUUUAUAUCGAUCAACUGAACCAUCAGGCUUGCGUUUGAUGCGAUAGACCCAUUUACAGCCAACCGGCUUAACCCCUGCAGGGCAAUCAACAAGACGCCAAGUUUUGUUCAGCUCAAGAGCAUCCAACUCAUCUUUCAUAGCACUACGCCAAUUAGAGUGUUGAUUGGCGUCCUUAAAAGACUUUGGCUCAACGUCAGAAUGUAGAGAUAAAAGAAACUUUUUAUGUGAAGAUGAAAGAGAAGAAAAAGACAUGACUGAAGAUAAAGGAUACUUGCACUUUGAGGGAGAUUGAUUUGUAGAGAUGAGAGAGGAAUUACACAAGUAAUCAGAGAGAUAUGCUGGAGGUCGGUGAGGCCGGUCGGAAUGACGAGGAUGGGGUUGCUCAGGUGGUGAAGAAGGUGACGGUGGAUGAGAAGGUGACGGUGGGCUGGUGUCUAGUGUUGAAAGGGAUUCGGUGGUCAUGGGUUCAACUUGGUUAGGAAACGAUAGUGAGGAAGAAGGAGAGGUUGUUGGAGAAAAUAAAGAACUAGGUGGAGUUGGGUCAAUGGGUAUAGGUGAGGGUUCAACUGGAAGACUAACUGAAUCUUGUUUUUGAGAAGGUGUGUUUGGCAAUGUUGGGUUAAGUGUCUGGAAUUGGACAUUUUUUGUGACUUUUUUAUUUGAUUCUGUACUUCUCCUUUUGAUUUUAAUAAAGUAACCCAUGUAAAGCGGCUAAAAUCAUCAACAAUAGUAAAAAAAUAUUUAUGAUUAUGAAUAGAAUUUUGUCGAAACGGACUCCAAAUAUCAAAGUGUAAUAAAUCAAAACUUGCAUUGACUUUGUUAAAACUUUGAGAAAAAGAAAGUUUCUUUUGUUUAGAAAGAUGACAAAUGUCACAAGUCUCGUCAUGAUGCAUAGAGAUAAAAGGAAAUUGUUUAUGUAAAUGAUUAAGUCUUUGCCCAGAAAGGUGUCCUAAACGAAAAUGCCAUAUAUUGGAAGGUGUAAUGGGUGGAGAUUGGAUGGAAUUUAUGGAGUGUGUAGUGGAUGAAUUCUUACCGAAAUUAGGUUCAAAGACACAUAAUCCCUCUCUCAUUCUGGCCAAAUCAAUUGUCCCCAAAUUGUUGCUCUGUAGAGUGCAAGAAGAAGAUGAAAAAGUGAGUUCACAUAUGAGUGCUGAAGUAAUUUUUGAAACAGAGAUAAUAUUAAAGUUGAAAUGAGGUAAAUAAAGAACAUCAUGAAGAACCAAGGAUGGUGAAAAUUGAACGAUGCCUUUAUAAGAAAUAGUAGUUUGAGAACCAUUUGGUAAAUGAACAAUAAUAGGAGAAAUUUGUGUGUAAGAAAUAAACCAAGACAAAUUUGAUGCAAUGUGAUCUGUGGCACCAGAAUCAAUGAUCCAAGUAUUCAAGAAUGAAUCUCGAUUUGAAGAAUUGUUAACAGUAGAAAAUGUAUUGAAAGAACAAAGAUAAUGAGUAGUUGGACUUGGCAGAAGUUCAAGUUGGUUUGAAGGACGAGCUUCUUCAUUGAAAGGAAGUGCCAUGAAAGAAAAGUGUUGGGCUGACGAAAGGUCCAAAAGAGACUCCGAAUGAAGUUGCUGGUGUGCCCUUUCUCCUUGAUCCAUGGAUGUCAGCAGAGCUCAAGAGGAGCUCUGAUACCAUAAUAAAAUUGUGAAAGAAUAGGAAAAUAAAAGAAUUGUGAAAGAAAAAGAUGAAGAAAUUUUAUUGAUUGUUGAUUGAAUGAAUUGUAAACUAUGAAGGUAAAACUAAGUAUAUAUAGAGUAUUGGCCUAUGAAAGAUAAAAUUAGAUAAAGAUAAGAUAUAGAUAAAGAUAACUAUAAGAUAAGAUAAAGACUAAAUUAUAAUUUAAUUUGUGUAUUCUGUUGGGCUGAAUUUGUGGGCCGUAAAACGUCUUUAUUGUUGUCAUGGGCUAAGGUGGAAGAGUGGUUUAAUACUAUAAGCAAGAGUUCUGAUAUCUUAGAAUAAGGAUAAAAUGAUUGAAGAGUACACUCACGUCUGCCAGCAUUGCUUGAUAAUAUCCGUGAUAGUAGGGUCCAUAUCAUCUGGAAUGACAAGGCAAGUAGGCAACAAUGCUGGAAACUGACAGCACCCAUAACUUGCAUCGGAUUCAUUCCACUCCAGGGCUGUUGCAAAGUAGAGAGCUCCCAUAAUAUGACUCCAAAGCUAUAAACAUUGCACCUGGAUAUUCAAUCACCACUUGUUAUAAUCAUAAAAUUAUGAAUGCCUCAAAAGGGUGGCAAAACCAAUGAGAAGAACGACGAGACAAGGAAGCCAAAGAACAACACUUAUAUGUAAUAAAAAUUCCAACUUAUUUUUUCCUAUGCCAGAUGAUUCAGGUCAGAGAGGAACACAGACUAUGAAAUCCUCCUCCACAAGCAAAAUAAAAAAAAAUUUAAUAACGAAAACCAAUGAUAACCGAGCUUACUUUUUAUUUGAAGGUUCAUUUCUUAACACUUCAGGCACCAUCCACUCAGCCUGCAACAUGUCAUAAAAAAUGAAUAUAUUGCAAUGCCAAACAAAUGCUUAGCAACAAAACUAAAUACGUGCAAAAUAUCAGAACUGAUCACGCAUACAAAAGAGAGGCGCUUGAGGUAGAGAGAAAAGCAUGUAGUUACACUAAGGUCCCAUUUGGCAAUUAUCAGAGGACACAGACCUAUUUGAAACUCUUACCAAACAAUAACUUUAGGCCUCAACAAAAUUAAGAAAGAUUUGCUCAUUUGUUACCAAAGACCAUUCAUCGUAGUAGAGUGAGUUGGUAAAGUCUAGAGAAGAGUUACAAGAGUUAGUUAUGAAAGAACUGUUGGCUGUUAGAACAGUGCCAGCUACAUAGGAGAGCUGUUAGUUACAGCUAUCAUAACUAACUUUAAGAAUGAACGGACUGUUGUGCCUUUUGUACUAGCUUGCACAGCAAGCUACCCUUAUUAAUAAAAUAAUUAAAUAUAAUUAAUUGUAUUUGGGAUUGUCUAAAAACUCCGCUUGUAUGACAGAGGUUGGAUAUUUCUUGUCAUUUUUUAGAUUUGAAGAACUGAUUCUUAUAUCAUAGCAGAUAUCCGUUCAGGCUCUCUUCGAGACUUUGGUGGAUAUGGCUAAUAAGGAAUAAUGACAUCUUUAAUCCUCAUAAAACUUGGCCUCCAAAAAAAGUGAUUUGUCUGGCAUUAACUUCAAAAAAGGAGCUUAGGAAUAUUUUUGAAUUACAACAUAUGUUCCUUCCCUCUAUUCUAAAUGUUUUUUAGAAUCUCCAUCCAUUGGUACUUUCAAGAUUAAUUGUGAUGCUAGUUAUCUUGAUUCGGGUGAUAGUGUUGGUUUUGUUUGUGUUAUUAGAGAUUGUAAUGGGAGUUGGCAAAGGAGGUGUUUGGGAAUUAUUCAGAGUAAUAAUAUUCUUCGAGGGGAAUUGUUUGCUAUUUGGAGAGGAUAUCUCUUAACUUGGGAUGUGGGUCAACGAGAUGUUAUUUGUGAGACGGAUUGUGUGAAAGCGUUUAAUCUUGUUACUAAUCACCAAGAUGGUUUUGGGUUUAUUGAUCCAUUGGUACUCAAAAUAAGAGAUAUCAUACAUUGGAACUGGCGUGUUGACUUUCGUUUGAUUAUGAAAGAUGCAAACAUAGUGGUAGACACUAUGACAAAGAUGACGAUGAAGUUACAACUUUUUCAUGUGGAGUUUUCUUCACCUUAGAAGGAGUUUAAGAAUAGUCUUAAAUGAGACUGUCCCUCUAUUUAAACAAUUUGUUUGGUUUUUUUUUUUUGUUUAAUUUAUUUAAAUCACCCAAAAAAUAUAAUAAUAAUAAUAACAAUAAAGAGACAUGUUACCUUUAGAAAAGUAUAAUAUCAACGAAUAAUUUUAAGAUUUAUGGUUUAGAGAAUUUGUUGAGUAAUAUAAUGUUAAAAUAGGUCGAAUUGGUAUGUUUGAAAUGGUUAGCAAUUAACAUCAUACUUGCCAUAAUUUUGCUGGUACACCUAAUAUAUACCUGUUUGUAAAAAUUUAUCUAAUUCUACUAUAUAUUUUUUGAAUUUGGAUCCUCUAAAUUUUAAAUUUGUAUUUUAGAGGGUAAAAUGUGAUCUUCUACUUUUGAAUAGUUUUUCUCUUAUAUUUAUUUUUGAUCCCAUCUAUAAAAUAAAUGGUGAGAGAUCCCACUUUACUCUCUAAAAUAAAAUUCAAACAUUAGAAAAUCUAAAUCCAUAUUUUUUUGGGUAAAAUAGAAGAUAAAAAAUAUUUAAUAUUAUGCUAGGAAAGAAUAUACUAAAGAAUUUAUACUUAGAUAAUAUUCAUGCUCUAACAAUUAAUUAGAGUUAAUUUUUAUUUAUGCCUCUUGAUAAUUGUUUAUUUAUAUUAAAAAAUUUAUUAAAUAAUAUUGACAAAUCAACUUAUCAUUGAAAAAAGGUUAAAUGGAAUAAAUAAAAAAUUAUCACCGAAUACAAUAUUGCACCUCAUAGCUAUUAGUUAUUAUCAUUAAAAUUAGGGAUGCUAAAUAAUAAUUUUUCACUAAGAAACAAUGACUGCUCUUUAAAUCUGUUAAUCUCAAUAAAUUUUUUUAAUGUGAAUUCAUCCAACAACAUGUAUUUCUAAACAUGUUUUUUUUAGUAAAAUGUAUUUCUAAACAUGAAUAGCUACUACUAUUUAGAGUCUUGGACAUAUCAUGGAAAACCUGCAGAAGACCAAAACUGAGUAUUGAUGAAUAAACCCCACAAAGAGAUUCUAAUAUACAUUAUUUCAAAAAAAAUAAAUUCAAAACAAGCAAAGAAAAAAUAUAGUAACAACAAUCAAUAAAAUUAUAAAAACACACACAAAAAGGGCCUCGAGGCCAUCCGUAGAAAAAAAAUUCACUAAUUAUCCUAUAGAGGAAACAAAACUUCUGUAACGAAGCAGAAAAGUUAUCCAAGACUAGGUAAAUGUGUCUCCUCUAGAGUAUGCCACCUCAGUUCAUCAUAUGAAAGAAAAAAAAAGUUUCAUUAGCAUAGUAAUGGGGCUAAAAAAUUUAGUUAUGGAUUUAUUAUUGGUAUUUUAUUUGAAAAUGGGUACAGUGAGUGUAUUUACAAAUUGGUGAAACUGUUAGAUGAAAGAUUCAACAGGGGGGAGAGGGGGGAAGUGUUGAAUGCUACUCUAUAUAUAAGGCAAAACUCGGUACCAUUUUUAUUAUAAGGAAGAGUAUUCUUUUUAGUGUUCGUUUAUUGUGUUGCUAGUGUAAUGGAGGUACCACAAACUUGGUAGUGUAUCGCAACCGUGAGAUUAUACGGAAUACUCAUGAAGGAGUGAGAUUUGUGUGUCAGAAUCCAUUUAUNNNNNNNNNNNNNNNNNNNNNNNNNNNNNNNNNNNNNNNNNNNNNNNNNNNNNNNNNNNNNNNNNNNNNNNNNNNNNNNNNNNNNNNNNNNNNNNNNNNNNNNNNNNNNNNNNNNNNNNNNNNNNNNNNNNNNNNNNNNNNNNNNNNNNNNNNNNNNNNNNNNNNNNNNNNNNNNNNNNNNNNNNNNNNNNNNNNNNNNNNNNNNNNNNNNNNNNNNNNNNNNNNNNNNNNNNNNNNNNNNNNNNNNNNNNNNNNNNNNNNNNNNNNNNNNNNNNNNNNNNNNNNNNNNNNNNNNNNNNNNNNNNNNNNNNNNNNNNNNNNNACCCCAUCUUCUGGAGUACAAUAUCUAUGAAGCUCCACUUAACACUGUUAUACGCCUUCUGGAAGUCCAAUUUUAUAAUCGCUGCUUUUCUUUUCCUCAUCUUUAACCAUUGUACUGUUUCGCAUGCGAUAAGUGCCCCAUCAUGUAUUUUUCGACCCUUUACAAAAGCACUCUGCGUCUCACCUACUAGACCUGGCAUCACUGCUCUCAUCCUUCGAACCAAGACUUUAGAGAUUACUUUAUAAAUGCAACCAACCAUGCUAAUCGGCCUGAGGUCCUUAAUCUCCUUGGCUCCAGUGAACUUUGGUGCUAGGGCCACCCAGGUGAUAUUCGAGCCAGAAGGCAGUCUUGAUGAGUGAAAAAAAUCUAGUACAGUUGUCGUGAACUCUGCACCAAUGUUAUCCCAGCACUUUUUAAUGAAGUUCAUGUUGUAACCAUCGCUUCCUGGAGCUUUAGAUGACUCACAGUCCCAGACUGCCGCUUUAAUCUCCUCCAUAGUCGGGAUCCUUUCCAAAGCUGCUGCAUCUUCUUCAUCAAUCCGAUUUACCAGACCAUCCCUAAACCUCACAACCGGCAAUCUCUCCUGAAGAUACAAUUCCUUGUAGAACUCUCUAAUAGUAAUCUUGAUCCGAGCUUGAUUUCUUAUCAGUCUUCCGUUUAUGACCAAAGCAUCAAUUCUGUUAUUCCUCCUUCUUUCCGACGCCAAGUGAUGGAAGUACCUUGUGUUUUUAUCCAUGUCCUUCGCAUGCCUGGAUCGCGACAUUUGCUUCCAGUGUAUUUCUUUUCUCACAUACCAUUGCUUACAACAACUUACCAGAGCUUUCUUCUAGCCUCGACUGUACCAUCAUAAACUCCAUUUCCAACCAUCUCAUCUAGCUUCUUUAUCUCCUCCUCAAAGCGUUGAAUCCUCUUAUCCAUGUCACCAAAUUUGUUCUUGUGCAAUCUCCCCAAAGGCAAAGUUAAAGCCUUCAAAUUUUUUGUAAACUCGAGUUCUCCAAUAUUCCUCCACUCCUCCCUAACCAUUCUUAAGAAUCCCUCAUGUGUAAACCACAAAUCUAGACUCCGAAAAGGACGUGGACCAUCUCUAAAUUUGGAAUCCUCCACUACAAUUGGGCAGUGAUCAGACGAACCUCUCGAACCACCUUUUAAUCGAAUUUUCGGAAAUUUCUCAAGCCAUUCUACACUCAUGAGGACCCUAUCAAUGCGGCUGCAGGAGCGGCCUCUGAACCAAGUAAAUUUCCGAUCAUUCAACGGUAAGUCCACUAGUUGCAUAUCUUGGACCCAAUCUUUGAACUCUGCUGCCGACGCUGGUAUUCUGUCCUGCCCUUUCCUUUCUCCAACCUAUAUGAUCUCAUUAAAGUCUCCUAUAUAACAUAUCAGAUCCUGGCAUAACCCAGCUACAAAGCUCAGUUCCUCCCACAUAGCCAGUUUUUCCAUUCUAGUAUGAGCACCAUAUACCAAACAAAUUGCACAGUUGAACUCAUUUUUUAGAAGCACUCCUUCAACACAUAUCCAUCUUUCCCCUUUGUAACAAUUAUUCAUUUUAAAUUGCAUGUCAUCCCACAUUAACAACAGACCCCCAGAUGAGCCUUCCGACCCUACAAACUCCCACCCGACAUUAUCGCUUCCCCGGAUUCAGAUUACAUCAAACUUAGUCAUGACUUGCAAUUUAGUUUCAACCAAUCCUAACAUAUUCAAUUUUUGCUUCUUUUUUAGAUUUUUCACCAUACUCACCUUUCCAACACCCCUUAACCCCCUAAUAUUCCAAGCGCUAAAAAUCAUUUUAAAACUGUUUUACACACCUUUUUGGGAUUUUUAGGUCUGCAUCAUCGUGCCUUCUCUUUCUUCUUUGCUAACCUCCUCUUCUGAGCUAAGGCCUCGUUCUGUUCUUGAAGGAUUGCCAUGAUAUCAUCUUCUUCGUCAUACUGCACAGCUCUAAUUCAACAGCCAGCUCCCACGUCCUCCUAUUCUCCAUCAUCAUUUCCUCCCUUUCCUUGUCCUUCCCGUCACUAUUUCCCAUAUUAUCAUCACUAUCGUCCACAGCAAGCUCAGCUCUGACUCUGUCUCUGUCUACUCCCUCAGCAAUCAAGUUCAAACAGUUCCUAGGUGUGUCAUCCGUAAGCCUCAACAAGUCAACCUUUGAACCGGCUUCAGACUCCCGAGGUGCUAAGCAGCGCAGCUCUGCAUCCGGGUCAGGCUCGCCGUCCAUGAGGGAGCGCGGCGACGCCAUCGCCGGUGUUAGACGGAGCCCAGGUGGAGAGUCAGCUUCCAUGGGAGGGCACACCAAUAGUCCUUGGUCGCAGGUCUCUACCGCCGUUGCAGGUCGGGUAGCUCNNNNNNNNNNNNNNNGCGCCCACUUCCUGCGCAUUCUUCACGCCAAUCAUCUGCGAGAACCUCCCCUCACGUUGAUGUGGCAGCGCUGCGCACAGACCAGGAACCGGGUUGCUUCAGUCUGGAGCGCACCAGCCCAAUCCGGAUUACCCAGCCCGUCUCCUCCAGCGUUUUCAGUGUGGCCAGCACGAGUUGGGCUAGCUGCUGUAGGAAGGAGGCCUAUACCUACUUUAUUGGCGCAGCUUCCACAAAAAACCGUGUUGGGCUUCAUAAUAAGCUUGCUUUGGAUUUCUUUUUCCUUCCAAGUACCGUUUUGCUUCAGCUUCUUGUUAUUGUAAGCCCAACUCAGUGUUUUUUCUUAUGCAUCAUCAUUAACACUCAAAUUAUUACAUCCCAUAAUAUCCUCACUUUCCUCUGAUUCCGAAUCAGGUGUUUUCCUUUCUAUACACAUUUAUACUGGAUUGUAAUUAAUCCAUUCAUUCAAAAUUUCUUCUAAAUUUAUGACUCUACCCUUGUCACUUUCUUCCUCCCUUGGCACCACCAUCACUAGCUCAGCCAUCGGGUUUAUGCUUUCCACUGGCAGCAUGGUCUUCGAGCUGCUCGCAACCGUCUCGCAUGCUUUAGGGAGGCCAAGAUUCCCUAUCUCUUCAAAUUUGCACUCUCCACUAUAACUCUCACGACCAACCUCUUUAACCAAAACGUCGAACCCGCUAGUGCCAACUGUGACGUGGAUUCAUUCGUUGAUGGCGUCCAUGAUACAAGUAUCAAUUUGUACCCGUCCAACGCUAAAUGAGAGGCAAGAUUUAGUGGCUUCGUCACAUCCAAUCACUUCUCCCCAUUGGCUUUCUAUGACCUUAAAUGUCUCCACUGACCACGUAUGCAAUAGAACACCGAAACAUUCUAACCAGACCCUUCGAGUUUUACUACGUUCCUCCUCAUUCCAUCUCCAUACGUUGUGGAAAAAUUGCAACAUAUUGUUCAUUUUGAACGUGUAGGCUUCUUCUGCACUCAAUACACUAUCAAAAGUCAUGAGAGCCUUAUACGCUCCUAGCUCUCGCACAUGCACCACUUGAGGCAGAUUCUUCCUAAUCAUAGACAUCAGAGAUGGGAGGUUCAUAGCCUUCGUCGCCCCGCCUAUGAGGCUCCUCUGUAGCCAUUCUAGGUUUACUUUUGCCACUGGAAUUUCUAUCUUCUUCGUCCAUCCAUUGCCAUGUGGAUCUUUCUUUUUCCCCUGCUCUCUCACCUCUUUCACAUUUUUCCUCAGAAACCUCGUGCUAUCCUCAGGUUGAGUUUGAAUUUUCACACCAUUCUGGGCAUCACCCGCCUCUUGAAGCCCCUUACUAUACUCCGUGUCAUUCUUAUGUCGAUACCUCGCUUCUCUGACUGAGAUGAUCUUCCCUCUUAGCCUCGUUCUGUUCAUCUCUGCAAUAGCCUUCAAAGCUCCACCCUUUGUUGUAAACUUGAUGAAUGCAAACACGUACAUCUUACCAUGCUUUUGUUUUCGUGAAAGAUAGAUAUCAUUUAUGCGUCGAGUCCAGUUGAAUAAGUGGUACAGCUCCCUUUUUGAUAUAUCAUCCGGGAGAUGAUCUACAAAAAUUGAGAACGAUUCGUUUUCCAAACGACAGCACUCUUCUCGAUUCCAAACCCUCGGAUCUCUACUGAUUUGCCUAACCCUACCCCUCCCGGUGUUUCCCACCCCCUCUCUUUCUCUCUCUCAUCUCUCUCUCUCAGUCUCUCUCAGAUAUCUUUAAACAAAUGCAAUAUUUGUCUUGUUUCACAUGAAAAUCGGAAUAUUGAUUGUUUUUAUAAAUUUUUUCCUUUUAUUUUCAUAGUAACAUUUUUAUUAUUAUAUCUUUUUUCUUGGUUUAAAAAUUUAACAACCGAGAAAUUGCAUUUUCCAUUGAAAGAUCCAUAAUCAAAUUAAGAGAACAAAACCAUUAUAGCUAUAAACCUACUAAGUAAACAAAUUAAAACAAAUAGAUGAACAUUUUAUAGUUUGUGGAAUUGUUCCCUAUUAUAUUAUCCUCGCUUUCACCCAAUCAACAUAUACCUUCUAUAAUGUUCACCGAGUUGUGUACUUGUGUUGUGCUUUCGCACAAUGUAGUUGAAACCUUGAAUUAAUAACAUAGGGGAAUAUUAGGGAGAUUGAACAAUAUAAACAACCACCAAUUAAAUAAAAACACACUACACCUUUAAAUUAAUCUUCUAAAUUUUAAUAUUAAAAUAACCAUCCAUACACUAGUAAAAUAAACAUCCGAUAUAUCUAUUAUUUACAUUGUUUAAUAUUUUCAUUAUUUACCUAUAUUUUUCCAAUAACAUAAUGUCUAUAAUUUGUAUUCUUCAAAUUUUGUUCACUUAAUGGAUGGCUUGGUUUCAACUUGCUGCUUUAUUUUCAUUGCAGUAAAAAGCCCACCAGUAUCAGCCUAUCAGGCAAAUCAUCAACCAAUACUAUUGUGUUUGAAGCAUUGAAAUUUUCAUGUCUGAAAAAAAACAAUGAAAUUUUGAAAUAUUUGUUGAACAAGUUAAAUAAAAUUUAAGCAAUUUUGAAGUAAUUUAUUUAUGACAAAUAUAUUUAUCUAAAGUAAAUUUUCAAAACUAUUUCUAAAAAAAUAGAAAAAUAUCAUCCUUUUAGAUUUGAAAACAACUAAAUCCUCUUAAAAUAGAUGACGAAAAAUUAGCACAAAUUUUUUAUGGAUAAUUUAUACAAGAUAAAAAUAUUAUUUUGGACUUUAAAGUUUCGGUUACAUUUUAAUUUAGUUCCUAACACUUAAAAAUUCUUUUUUUACAAAUAUUUUAUUUCAUUCUAUUUUAAUCUUUUGGUCGAAAUUAAAAUUUUUUCCAAAAAUAUUAUUUUCUCUCUAUUAUUGCCUUCUUAUUUCUUUUAUUGUUCUGUUACUUUUAUUUUUAAAUCAUUAGAACCAAAUAAAUAUGUUUGGAAAAUAAACAUCAAACAUUAGAAAUAGAAUUAGAACUUAACUUAAAUGUUAGAAUUAUAAGAGUACUUACAGAUACAAAUACAAAGUGAUAAAUAUAUCUAUACUUUUUUAUUAAUGCAUAGUAGUGAAUAAAUUUAUCCAAUAAUUUACAAAAAUUCAAACUAGAUUUGCUGGUUUCAGAUAUAAAGUUAGACCCUAAAAUGUUUGGUCCCCUGCUGAAUCAUCAACUGCAACAAGACAUAUUCGUUUUGGUGUUCCAAGCUUUUUUGCUUUGUUGGCUGCUGCUUUAUUUUAGAUUUGGACAAUAUACUUAAAUAAAUAAAAUGAGAGAAUUCUUUACCUGAUUGCAACAUUUAAAAACUCCUUACGUGAGUGUCUUGUUUUGUUUAUUAUGUAAACCGUGGGAGCUAACUACGGUUUCAACAUGUUCAUAAACUGUGGGAGCCUUGGACGGAUUUCAGCUGGAAAAAUUUGAUUAUAAACUGUCUUUACGUGAGUGUCUUGUUUUGUUUAUUAUGUAACCGUGGGAGUUAACUACGGUUUCAAUAUGUUCAUUAACUGUGGGAACCUUGAACGGAUUUCAGCUGGAAAACUUUGAACAUAAACCGUGGCUGCUCACCACGGAUUAUGAAGGAAAAUAGGUAGCUAUAAACCGUACUUGGUCUCCACGGUUUAUGAAAAAAAAAAAAACUCUGAACAUAAACCUCUACUGCCUACCACGGUUUAUGCAUAGAGAAGUAUAAAUACAUAAUCCGUCAUCACGGAUAGCAUUUGUGCCAAACCAAAAUUGUUGUACCUUGGUGGUUGAGAGAAUUGGAGAGAGAGGUUCGAAGGUUUGAAAGUUUUGGUGAUAUUUGGGUGGUGGAGCCAUAGAGAAUGAACCUCGCAUGUACUGGCUAUAUUAAAUUAUUAAUUUUAGUUACACUUCAAAAUGAAUAAUACUUUAAAAAUAACUAAAAAAAUUCAAAAAUCUCAUGUGAAUCAACAUGUACAUAAAAUAUUAUGUGAAAAUAAGUAUAAAUAUCAGGAUAGUCAAUAAAUAAUUACCAAAGAAUAAAAAGAGUAAAAAAUAAUUUAAAUUCUAAGAGUUGAAAUAGUAAAAAGAAUGAAGAAGAAAAAGUUAGAUAUAUAUCAAUUAAAUAAUAUUAUAAAUAAAAAAUUUAAUUUAUUAUUUUAUAAUAUCAUUUUUAAAAAAAUGCAACUUUUUCUUUUUCAUUCUUUUUACUAUUUCAACUCUUAGAAUUUACAAUUAUUUUUUACUCUUUUUAUUCUUCGGUAAUUAUUUAUUGACCAUCCUGAUAUUUAUACUUAUUUUCACAUAAGAUUUUUGAAUUUUUUUUAGUUAUUUUUAAAGUAUUAUUCAUUUUUAAGUGUAACUAAAAUUAAUAAUUUAAUAUAGCCGGUACAUGCGAGCUUCGUCCUCUAUGGCUCCACCACUCAAAUGUCACCAAAACCUUCAAACCUCUCCCUCCAACUCUCUCAACCACCAAGGUGCAACAAUUUUGGUUUGGCACAAAUGCUAUCCGUGAUGACGAAUUAUGUAUUUAUACUUCUCUAUGCAUGUGGUAGGCAAGGGAGGUUUAUGUUCAGAGCUUUUUUUUUUUUUUUUCAUAAACUGUGGUGACCAAGCACGGUUUAUGGCUACCUAUUUUCCUUCAUAAUCCGUGGUAAACAGUCACGGUUUAUGUUCAAAGUUUUCCAACUGAAAUCCGUCCAAGGCUCCCACGAUUUAUGAAUAUAUUGAAACCGUGGUUAGCUCCCACGAUUUACAUAGUAAACAAAACAAGACACUCACGUAAAGAAUUUCCAAAUGUUAUAAUCAGAUAAAGAAUUCUCUCAUUUUAUUUAUUUAAGUACAUUGCCCAAAUUUAUAUAUAUAUGAAUCUUUGUUUAUUUGAUGCUGAAAUUUUUUUUAUUAUUGUUUUUGCGAUGGGGGCUUGGUUGAUGAGAUUAUAUUGAGAUUUCAUUUCAUCAAUUGCAACCAAAACGCAUGUACUUAGAGUUAUCAUAGAGCAAUUCAAUGAUUCUUUAAUUCUUUGAUCAUUUUGCCAUAUUACAGUAUCUUUAUCAAUGUAUUAACAUUUUUUUUAUGCAAAGAAAGCAGAAUAGAUUCUGCAGAAUUGAAGAUAGUAUUCUAGAAUAUGAAUUCUAUAACAAUCUGAAUAGUUGAAUCACUAGUUCAUUAUAUGUUGUAUAUAGGGAUGGCCAAAAACCUUGAACCCAUGGAUAUCUAUUGAGAUUAUCCGGAGUUUUAACAGAACUCGCAAAAUCCCCACGGGGAUGAGGACCCCUCCCUUCCCUCCAACCCCCAAUAAAUGGGGAUGGAAGACAGGGAUUGAGGUACCCGCUCAACGGAAACAUGUGAAAUUCCUGCGAAGAAGAAUUAACUUAAAUGCCCUUAUGCACAUAACAAAUACGAUAAAAAUAAUAACAUAGAUGGAGGGCUGAAUAAGUCACAUUGACAAAACAUAAUGUAAUUGACUUCUGAAAUAAAAAUUUAUCGAACAAAAAAUUUUGAAGUAAAGCAUGAGUAUUAAAUUUGAAAAGAACAAAACAAGUACAAAGAUGCUGGAGCUAUCGUACUAUUAUUGGAGCCCUGAAAGUGUAUUGUUGAACGAUGGUGAUAAAAAAAUUUAUUUGGAGAGAAAAAUUAUGAUUGAAUGAUGACGAUCGAAAAUUAGGAAGUGGAAGGAUAUAUGCAGGGAAAAUUAGUAUUUGGAGGAAAAAUUAGCGAACACUCAGAAUUCUGUAUUGUUUCACUUUAACACCCCCAUAACAAAACUCCAAGCGAAUAACUUUUUUUAAAAUGCUAAUAAACAGAGACUUAGAGACAAUGGAAUAAUGUCUACACAAGAAAUAAUGGAGUAAUUUAUCUAAGAAUUAACAGAAAAAUAUUCUCCGAAAAAGUAAUUCAUAAUGUACAUAUUUUCAGCAGAAGCAAUUUCCAAGCAAUACAACUGAGUAGCAUUAAUUAAGAAAAUGGCCAAAAAUCUUGAGAUAACUAAACCAUGUUACCUUGACUCGAUGUUGCUUAGGUUGAUGAAAAGUGGGGACAUGCAUUUUAGAAGGUGGGUUUAUUUUUAAGAUGGAAGUGUAAACUAUAUAGCCUAAGAAUAAAUCCUUAUUACCUACUUAAAUUUCCUUAUAUAUAUAUAUGGUACCUAUAAAGAUACGGAAAAAUAAGUUGCACAACAGAAUAGUAGAGAACAAACAACAAACAACAAAACAAAAUUUUCAAUCUUUUUAGUUUUGCUUAAUUUUAGCAUGAUAAAUACAUGAUCUCAUAGAAUAACAGUAAAGAACACUCUAUUCCUAUAAAGAGAUCUUAAACACUAAAUCUGUAAGCUAUAACUAGGAAUAUCAUCUAAAGAAUCAAUAAUGUAGUGGAAUGAAAAAGGAUGAUAGCAUUUGCAAAAAUCGAAAGUACAAAAUUAAUUAAUGUUAUGGCAUUGCCAAAGUCCUCUGACCCAACAGACACAGAAUUUACAAAACUAUGAUACAUAUUCAGCAACAAUGAGAUGUAAUUUCAAUUCGAGUUGAUGUAUCUUACCUUCUUUUAUCAAUUCAAUAAGCCUCUAGCAACCAUUUCCCGAAGAAGUUUCUCCGCCAUGUCAUUCUCAUCUUUUUCAAACAAAGCACGAAUAACAGUUUCAAAAGUCACAGCAUUUGGUAAGCAACCAUUGUGUUCCAUUUCCGACAGCAGGGCCAAUGCUUCUUUAAACAAGCCCUCUCUACAGAGCCCAUUGAUCAUAAUAUUGUAUGUCCUCACAUCUGGAGGAUAGCCUUUCACAGAAAGAUCUUGAAAGAUCUCUUUUGCAACUACAAGUCUUCCACCUUUGCAUAGGCCAUCAAUAAGUAUAUUGUACGUGCAUAUAUCUGGAUCAAUGCCACUCUCUUUCAUUUGCUUGAAUAACAUAAGUGCCUUGUCAACUUGUUUGAUAUUGAACAUCCCAUCCAACAAGGAAUUGUAAGUGACUACAUUAGCGGGUGGACCUCUCUUGUGCAUCUUGACAAGAAGCUCCAAAGCACAAGAGAUUCUCUUUGAUUUGCUCAAGCCAUCAAUAAGAGUGUUGUAAGUUACCGUGUUUGGAUCCAAGUACUUACUACGCAUUUUUUCAAAGAGACUCAAGGCUUCAUCAACCAUUUUACUUUUGCACAAGCCAUUAAUCAUGAUAUUGUAACUUUGAACAUUAAGUAACACUCUACUUUGGGCCAUUGUGUUGAAUACAUAUUUUGCCUUAUUUACCUGAUUAACCAAACAAUAUCCGUCCAUUAAGCUGUUAUAAGUAACCACAUUUGGUUUCACACCAUGUUUUGUCAUCACAGCCAACACAUUUUUUGCAUCUUUGAUCUUUCCUUCCUUGCAUAGCCCAUCGAUCAAAAUACUAUAGGUACUAACAUCAGGAGUAAGGUUUCUAAGCACCAUAUCACUUAACAAAUCAAUGGCUUCCUUAUAUUGACCUUCAAGACACAAUCCAAAAAUGAGAGAACUGUAUGUGAUAACAUCUGGAGAAAUUCCCCUAGCAAGCAUUUCAGAGUAUAAAUAAAAAGCCUCACUUACAAGUGUAACCUUGCAGAGGCUAUCAAUAAUUGCGCUGUACAUGAAGACGUCAGGAGCAAUGCCAUACCGUGGGAUCUUUCUCAACACUUGAAUAGCAGCUGAUGUGUGUCCGGUCUUACAAAGCCCAUUGAUCAAGGUCCCAUAAGUGACUUGGUCGAAGUGAAAUCCAUAAGCCAACAUUGUGGCAUGAAAGUGCAGUGCUUUUUCAAUAUUACCACAGAGACAGAGGCCUUUCAGGAUUGUUGUCAAGGUUACGGUAUCAGGCUGAAAACCCAUCCUGAAAAUCUUAGCGAAAGCAGAGAAAGCAAGCUUCAUAUGACUCAUGGCGCAACAACAAUUGAUUAAGAUGUUCAAAGUAACUAUGCUGGGGGCGAUUCCCCUGACUUGCAAUUGCUGAAAAAGGGAAACGGCGGCGUGGAAAUGCUUCGUCUUGGAAAGGGAUCCCAAAAUCUUGUUAAAUUGGAUGAUGGGAGGAGUACGACGCAUAGAGAGCAUGCGAGUGAAGGAAUGAACAGCUUCAUCAACUUGGCGAAAGGAUGGGGGCUCAGAAUGAGAGUGAAGGGAUGAAGAGGAAGGGAAGGAAACAAAAUUAGGGAUUUGGAGAAGAGAAUACCUAAAAAUGAAAGUGAUCCUUGAGGUUGAGGAUGACAACAUUUUAGUGAUUCGCACUUUCGCUGUUGUCAAAGUUUGAGGGAGUUUGCUAACCCUGCGGAAAUAGUCCUACGGCUCCUACCCGUGCCCCUGUCACCGAUUUAAUCCUAAUAACAUAGUGUGUUUGGAUUACAGUUUGCAAACGGAAGUUUGUAUAAAAUUGAUUUUGCAAAAUUGAUUUUGAUAAAAAGUAAGUUUGUGUUAACGUGAUUUAUGUUUUGUAAUCUUUAUAUUAAAAUUGAUUAUAGUAAAAUAAAUGUUGUUUGAAUUAUACUACUCAAAAUUACUUUUAGAUAAAAAAUUACCAAAAGAGACAUCAAUUUAAAUAAUUUUUUUAUAUACAUGCAAAAUCAAAAUGCUAACAAAAAUAAUAUAAAAAAUAUUUAUCAUAUAAAUAAAAUAAAUACAAUAAAAAAUAAAAAUAUGGAAAAGAGUACUAUAAAUUUUAUAAUAUCAAACAAAAAGAAAAUAUUCUAUAAUUUUUUUAGUACUAUUAGUACUCUUUAAUUUAGUAUUAUUUUGGACUAUAAAAUUUCAUUAUUUAUGGCUUUAUUGUUACUUAUAAUUAAUUUUUUAUUUAUUUUGUCCUUUUUUAUAUGAUCAUAAUUUAUAUUAUACAAAAUUUUGAUAAUAAACGUAGUAUAUAAUAAUUACAAUUACAAAUUUUACAAAGUCAGAAUAAAAAAUAAAAAAAUUAAUACAAAACAAAAAUAGAGUACAUCAAAGAAUAAAAAAAAUUGAUACAGAUAAGAAAUAAUAAAAAUGUCAUAAAACCAACAACAUAUAUCAUAUGAACAAAAAAAAUACAAUAAAAGGUAAAUAAAAUUCAUAUGAAUAAAAUUAAAUAAAAAAUAAAAAAAUUUCAUACACAACAUAAAUACAAUACAGUAAAGGAUAAAAAAAAUAAUUCAUAUAAAAAACAUAAUAAAAAUAUCAUAAAAAUUAAUAAAAUACCUGAAAAAUCAGAACACUAUAAAAAUAAAAAAAAAAGUCAACAACAUUUAUCAUAUGAAUAAAAGAAAUACAAUAAAAUAAAUAAAAAAUCAUAUAAACAAAGCCAACCAAAAAUUAAAAAAAAAGAUUUUAUAAAAAUAUACAUAUAAAAAAUAAUAUAGUAAAUGAUAAAAAAAACUCAUAUAAAAAUAUAACAUGAGAAAUUAGAAUACUACACAAAUAAUAUAAAAAUCUUUAUCCUAUAAAUAUAAAAUAUAAUAAAAAAUAUAAAAAUUAAAAUAUGAAAGUGAGUACUAAAAAUAAUAAAAAAAAAUUAAAAUAUUCACUUUGCUAGUGAUUGAAACAAAUUUGAACCAUUUUUAUGAAAACAAAUUGAAACUAAGAACAAGUAGGAGGAACUAUAGAGAACUGUGAUAGUAAUAGUUACUAGUAUCCUUUGUAUAGAAGAAAAUGAAGGAUAGGAAUAGUAAAAAAGAAAUAAAAUUUCCACCUAAUUUUCUAAGAUAAUCAACCACCGUGAAUGUGAAAUGCAGAAGCUACAAAUUUUAUCUUCUCUUGUACGUAAGUUUAAAGGCAAAAUCACUUCUGCGUUCAGAAGAAUAAAAGUUGCCAAACAUAAAGGUAAAACUUUCAAGAGACUCAAACGUGUUUCUUUUCUCCUCAACGCGUUUACCAAACACACCCAUAAUAAUUGGAGGUCUCCAGAUUCGACGCCCGUUUUAUUUUUAUCAACUUUUGAAUUGGACCUAGAUACCAAAUAAAUUAUAAGGCUUGGGGGAGUAAUGGUUUCAUUUCAUCAAUCAUCAUGCUCGAGAAAAAAGGUGAUCCAUCGAAUAANNNNNNNNNNNNNNNNNNNNNNNNNNNNNNNNNNNNNNNNNNNNNNNNNNNAGUAUAUGAAUUUAAUUAUAAACUUUUAAAUUAAUUUAAAAUAAAAAUUUGAUAAAAUUACAAAUACCAAUAUAAUAAUAAUAACAAUAAAAGGACAUGUUAUCCUAAGAAAAGUAUAGUGUCCAUAGAUAAUUUUAAAAUUUAUGGUUUAGAGAAUUUGUUGAGUAAUAUAAUAUUAAAAUAGGCUAAAUUAGUGUGUUUGAAGUGGUUAGCAUCACACUUGCUAUAAUUUUGCUGGUACAUUUAAUAUAUACCUAUUUGUAAAAUUUUGUCCAAUUCUAUAUAUUUUUUCGGGUAAAGUGAAAGACUAAAAAUAUUUAAUAUUAUGUUAAGAAAUAACAUACUAAGAAAUUUAUACUUAGACAAUAUUUAUACUCUAACAAUUAAUUAGAGUUAAUUUUUGUUUAUGCCUCUUGAUAAUUGUUUAUUUAUAUUAAAAAAGCUAUCAAACAAUAUUGACAAAUCAACUUAUAAUUAAAUUUUUGGGCAAUUUACGCAUCUAAAUUGUUUGACCCCAAUAUUACGCAAAUACAUUGUUUCUAAAUUCAAUACGCAAAUGCAUUGUUUCACUAUUUUAUGUAAAUCGCUACUGGCAGUAGCAUUAUUAUUAUUAUUAUUGGGAUGGGGGCUUGCUUGCUUCGAUGAGAAUAUAUUAUGAGAUUUCACGUCAUCAAUUGCAACCAAAACACAUACUUAGAGCUAUCAUAGAGCAAUUCAAUGAUUUUAUAAUUCUUUGAUCAUUUUGCCAUAUUAUAGUAUCUUCAAUAUAUUAACAUUUUUUGAGACAAAGAAAGCAGAAUAGAUUCUGCAGAAUUGGAAGAAGAUAGUAUUCUUAAAUAUGAAUUCUAUAACAAUCUAACUAGUUAAAUCGUUAUACGGUUGUAUAUUCGGCCAAAAAAACUUGUAUCCGUAAAUAUUUGUUGGGAUUAUUCGUGACUGAAGGCUAACGGGUAUCUGCGCGCAAAAUUUUUAUGGAGAUGAGGAUUCACCCCGCCAAUAAAUACAAACGGGAGACAGAAAUUAAAAUACCUGCUCUACAUAAAUGUGAAUUUUUUAUAAAAAAAAUUUACUUAAAUACCUUUAUAUACAUAACAAAUACGAUAAAAAUAAUAAUAUAGAAUUUGUACUACAAUGACAAAAAUUACAUAACAUGUAUAGGUUAUGAUGGCUGAGUAAGUCACGUUGACAAAAAAUAAUGUAAUUGACUUUUGAAAUAAAAAUUUACCAAACAAAUAAUUUUAAGAGUGAAUUAUCAAUCUAGUCAUGUCCGUUUCUCAGAAUGACAACGCGACCUCUUAAGAAAAAAAUAAUCCACUUCGGUCCCACGUACAAGUCGGACGAAGGAGCACCAAGUACCAGGUCCACUCGAAAGCCACCUCCUUCACUCGUUUGGGCCAACCAACGCCAUCCGGCCCAUCAAUCUCCGGUUACCCACCGUAACAUUGGCGCCGUUGCCGGGGACCCGAGAGAUCAACCAGUGAUGGCGGAAAGAUCCCCUGAAGAGGGUCAUGUGGAGACAGAUUCCGAACAAGAGAAUUUGAACACUGGAAACAAUGAGAUAGAUCAGACCCUCCACCAGGAAGCCAAUGAUCAACAUAGGGAAGGCACCUCCGGAAUCAAAAAUCCGAAGGUGAACUCCUCGGAGGGGCGCGAAUCAGAAAAAGAAGGACCCUCCCACGCUAGUGAGCUUAUGGGAUUAAUCCAUAGCCGCCUCGAGCAGCUAGAACAGGAGCGGGAACGACAAAGGGAAGCUGAAAAGAACCUAAAAGAGGAGAUGGAGCGACAAAAAGAGUUAGAAAGAAAACUCUUAAAGUUAGAAUCCUCCCUCAAAGGUCGGAAUUCCCACGACGAUAGAGAACAUUCCCCCUUAGGAGAAAAAGAUCCGUUUAGCGAGGACAUAAUGAGGGCAAAAGUUCCGAGAAACUUUAGAAGCCCCGAUAUGGACCUCUACGAUGGAACCACCGAUCCAAAGCAUCAUCUGAGCAACUUUAAAAGUCGGAUGUAUCUGACCGACGCUUCUGACGCUACGCGAUGCAAAGCUUUCCCGACAACCUUGUCAAAAGCAGCGAUGAAGUGGUUCGACAGCCUCCCUCCGAGGUCAAUUACCAGUUUUGAAGACCUCUCAAGAAAAUUCUUAAUGAGGUUCUCCAUCCAGAAGGACAAAGUAAAGCAUGCACCAAGUCUCUUGGGAAUAAAACAGGAGGUCGGGGAGUCCUUACGGGCCUAUAUGGAAAGGUUCAACAAAGCAUGUUUGGAGAUUCAAGACCUGCCCACCGAAGCAGUCAUCAUGGGGCUAGUCAAUGGUCUUAGAGAAGGUCCCUUCUCACAGUCCAUAUCAAAAAGACACCCCGCCUCUUUAAAUGAUGUACAGGAAAGAGCUAAAAAGUACAUCAAUAUGGAAGAAAACGCUAGGCUAAGAGACCCGAGUUUGCGACUCGGGCACCCUCCCUAGACGAAAGAAAGGGAGAGGGAAGCGAAGAAGAAGGAAGAGCUUGGCCUCGAUAGGCCAAGAAAAUAUCACUCUUAUACUCCAUUGAAAGUUCCUGUAGUGGAUGUAUACAGAGAAAUUUGCAAUACUGAAAGGCUGCCUCCCCCCAGACCCAUUAAAAAUAAAAAAGGGGGGAGUCGCGGUGAUUACUGUGAGUACCAUAAGAUAUAUGGGCACUCUACAAACGACUGUUACGACCUUAAAAAUGUGAUAGAAAAGCUGGCCAGAGAUGGUCGGCUUGACAGAUAUCUCAUAGAAAGGUCGGACAGUCAUGGAAAAAGAAAGCGAGAAGAUACGGAUAGAAGAGACCCACCACCACAAACUCCGGAGAGACAUAUCCAUAUGAUCUCAGGAGGGUUUGCGGGAGGGGGACUCACAAAAUCCUCUCGUAAAAGACAUCUCAAGAGAGUUUAUCAGGUCGAAGAGGGGUCCUCCGACCUUCCGACCAUUUCAUUCACAAAGGAAGACGGGCGAGGAGUAAUCCCUGGGCACGAUGACCCAGUGGUAAUUACCAUGAUCCUGGCAAAUGCCCAUCUACACAGAACACUAGUAGACCAGGGAAGCUCAGCAGACAUCCUCUUCAAGCCCGCUUUCGACAAACUAGGAUUAGACGAGAAAGAGUUAAGAGCCUACCCCGACACCUUGUACGGGUUAGGCGAUACGCCAAUAAAGCCACUAGGAUUUUUGCCCCUCCACACCACCUUUGGAAAGGGAGAGAAGACAAAGACUCUGAGUAUAGACUUUAUAGUCAUCGACGUGGGGUCGGCCUAUAAUGCUUUAAUCGGCAGAGCUACCCUUAAUCGACUCGGAGCGGUGGUAUCGACGCCCCACCUUUGCAUGAAAUUCCCGACCUCAGCAGGGAUAGCAACGGUGAGGGGAGAUCAGAAGCUAGCAAGAAAAUGCUACAAUGAAAGCCUAAACCUGAGAGGAAAAGGCAAAGAAGUUCACACAAUAGAGCUCAGUGGAGCAAGGAUUAAAGAAGAGCUGCGACCCCAACCCGGGGGAAAAACCGAGGAGAUUCAGGUCGGCGAAGAGGAAGGGAAAAAUACUCACAUAGGAGCCAACCUAAGGGAAACCCUAAGACAAGGGUUGACCAAGCUUCUAAGAGAUAAUUCCGAUCUCUUCGCCUGGAAGGCCUCCGACAUGCCUGGGAUAGACCCCGAGCUCAUGUCCCACAAGCUUUCGGUCUACUCGGGAUCUCGGCCUGUACAACAACGAAGACGCAAACUCGGCUCAGAGCGAGCUCUAAUAGUAGAGGAACAAGUGCAAGCGCUCCUAGAAGCCGGUUUCAUCAGAGAAGUCAAGUAUCCAACAUAGCUAGCCAACGUAGUGCUAGUCAAAAAACAAAAUGGUAAAUGGAGAAUGUGCGUCGACUAUACCGACUUAAAUAAGGCAUGUCCCAAGGACCCUUAUCCACUACCAAGCAUUGAUGCCCUAGUAGACUCUAGCUCGGGGUAUCAAUACUUGUCGUUCAUGGACGCCUACUCAGGAUAUAACCAAAUCCCGAUGUAUGAACCAGACCAGGAAAAAACAUCAUUCAUCACGUCCAGAGCUAACUUUUGCUACGUGGUCAUGCCAUUUGGAUUGAAAAAUGCAGGGGCCACAUAUCAGAGGCUGAUGAAUAAGGUGUUUUUCCCCUCACUUAGGGAACUUAAUGGAAGCAUACGUCGACGAUAUGUUGGUAAAGACCAAGAAGGAGGUCGACCUCUUGUCCGAUCUCUCACAAGUCUUUGACACCAUAAGGUUGCACGGGAUGAGACUAAAUCCUGCAAAGUGCGCCUUCGCAGUAGAGGCAGGAAAAUUUCUAGGAUUCAUGCUAACACAAAGAGGGAUCGAAGCCAAUCCCGACAAGUGUAGAGCUAUCCUAGAGAUGAAAAGCCCGACUUGUUUGAGAGAAGUCCAACAGCUGAACGGCCGACUAGCAGCUCUCUCCAGAUUUUUGGCAGGAUCAGCAUUAAGAUCCCUUCCACUGUUCUCCCUACUGAAAAAGGGGCACCCGUUUGAGUGGACUCCCGAAUGCGAGGAGGCGUUCCAGGAGUUCAAAAGGUUUUUAAGCCAACCUCCUAUCUUGACUCGACCUAUAGCCGGAAAAGACCUCGUCCUAUACCUAUCCGUGGCAGACAAGGCUGUCUCAGCAGCCUUGAUAAGAGAAGACGAGGUCAGUCAACACCCAAUCUAUUUCAUCAGUAAAGUUCUACAGGGCCCUGAGCUAAGGUAUCACAAAUUAGAAAAGUUUGCCUACUCCUUAGUAACAGCCUCUCGAAGGUUACGGCCUUACUUUCAGGCUCACACAAUAAGAGUCCGCACGAACCAACCCAUGAAGCAAAUCCUCCAAAAGACGGAUAUUGCAGGAAGAAUGGUCCAAUGGGCAAUAGAGCUCUCCGAGUUCGACUUGAAGUACGAAACUCGGACGGCGAUUAAAGCCCAGUGCCUCGCCGACUUCAUUGCAGAAUAUGCAGGGGACCAAGAGGACAAACCGACUACCUGGGAACUCUACGUGGAUGGAUCCUCCAAUAAAACAGGAAGCGGCGCAGGCAUAAUACUGGUAGAUGAAAGGGGAACCCAGAUAGAGGUUUCCCUCAAGUUUGAAUUCCCAGCUUCAAAUAAUCAGGCAGAAUACGAAGCCUUGAUCGCAGGAUUGAAGCUGGCAGAAGAGGUCGGUGCUAUAAAGGUGAUGGUAUACAGCGACUCCCAAGUGGUGACCUUCCAAAUAAAUGGGGAAUAUCAGGCAAAGGACCCAAAUAUGAAAAGGUACUUGGAAAAAGCUUCGGAGCUCCUGGGGCGCUUUUGCAGAANNNNNNNNNNNNNNNNNNNNNNNNNNNNNNNNNNNNNNNNNNNNNNNNNNNNNNNNNNNNNNNNNNNNNNNNNNNNNNNNNNNNNNNNNNNNNNNNNNNNNNNNNNNNNNNNNNNNNNNNNNNNCCAUCUCGAAGCCAGGUCAUUGGCCAGGAAAGUGAUCCGAGCUGGAUUCUACUGGCCAACCUUACAGAAAGAUGCCACAGAAUUUGUGAAAAAAUGCCAGCCAUGUCAGAUGCAUGCAAAUUUCCACGUGGCUCCCCCAGAAGAGCUCAUUAGUAUCACGUCUCCAUGGCCCUUUGCAAAAUGGGGAAUGGAUUUGUUAGGUCCUUUUCCCCAGGCGCCAGGACAAGUUAAAUACCUAAUAGUGGGAAUAGAUUAUUUCACAAAGUGGAUAGAAGCGGAACCACUGGCCACCAUCACCGCACAAAGAAGUCGGAGGUUCCUCUACAAAAACAUAAUCACAAGGUAUGGGAUACCUUAUUCCAUUACCACAGAUAACGGAACCCAGUUCACCGACUCCACCUUUAGAAGCCUAGUAGCCAGUAUGAACAUCAAACACCAGUUCACCUCAGUCGAACACCCACAAGCCAAUGGGCAAGCCGAAGCAGCCAACAAAGUCAUACUAGCAGGGUUGAAGAAAAGGCUGCAAGAUGCGAAAGGAGCUUGGGCUGAAGAGCUCCAACAAGUACUAUGGGCUUACAGAACAACCCCCCAAUCCGCCACUGGAGAAACACCCUUCCGGCUAGUCUAUGGCGUAGAAGCCAUGAUCCCAAUAGAGGUCAAUGAGCAAAGCCCAAGAGUGAUUUUCCACGACGAGAUCAGAAUAGAGGUCAAAGCCCAAGAGUGAUUUUCCACGACGAGAUCAGGAACAUACAGGGGCACAAAGAAGAGCUCGACUUGCUCCCUGAAGUUUGAAGUUCGACACAGAUAAGAGAAGCAGCGUUGAAGCAAAGGAUGACCGCAAGAUACAACAAAAGGGUCAUCCGAAGGAGUUUCACCCCAGAUGACCUGGUCCUAAUCAGAAAUGAUAUUGGAGUCAACAAAUCAGGGGAAGGAAAGCUCGCUGCUAAUUGGAAAGGACCAUACAAGAUAAGUGAGGUCUUAGAAAAAGGGAUACUAUAAGGUAACCGACUUAGGCAGUACUGAACUACCUAGGUCGUGGCAGGCUUAUAAUAUGAAAAGGUACUAUAAUUAGAAGCAAACUCCACUCCCUGAUGUACUCUUUUUCCCGACUUCAUGGUUUUUUUCCCAAAAAGAAGGGUUUUCCUAAAUGGGGUUUUAACGAGGCAUCAAAGUGUAGGCUAAGGGGCAACAAUUUCCAACCCCUUAGUAGCAAAAAGUACCUUCAUCAAUAAAUAAAGAUCUUUUUCUACAUCUCUUUGUAUAUUCCAUUAAGUUACUAUCAUUUUUUCUACGAAACACGCCGACUUAAGCUCGACAAAACGUGAAAAUCCCAUGCCCGACCUACGUGGUUGGCAGGAUAAAACGACGAGGUACAAGUCGGUGUAAAGAGGUUAUAAAAGCAUAUCAUGAUAACUCGGAAAUGUUACACUAACAAGUUGAAAAAACCGAGAAAACUUGAAAUGCAUCGCGAAAAUAACCUAAGUUAUGAACAAUUCAGAUAGAGAAAUUUGAAUUCAUAAGGAAUACAAAAAGAGAAAAAAGGAAAAUCAUCAAAAAUCAAAAGCAGGGGCUAGCUCAAGUCUUUAGAAAACCUAAACACAAUUCAAACAAAGCCCAGCCUGCCCAAAUAAAAUGUUUUUUUCCAAAAAACAAAAAGAUUAAAAGGGUUUCUCAUAAAAAACCUAACAAAGGAAAAAUCAUAGAAAGCAUGCACAAGACAAAUAAAUUUAAAACCCCUUUAUCCGAAAAAGGGGAAACAGGAAUUAAAAGCAUUUUUUGUUUAUGGCCAUAAAAGGCCAGGAAAUGUCAACAACAAAUUACCACCACAGGCCGGGCCCUACAAUAGCCAGAAAUCAAUUAAACAGCAAGAAGGUCAGCAUUACCAGAAGGCAGAGAAGUCGGGUCAGCAGCAGGGGAGGAUGGAGCCGUCUCUUUAGCAGCAGGAGUCAGAAUGCCUGAAGACGUCGGCUGAGAUCCCUCUCGUUGAUCCUCAAGAGGAGGAGAUUCUACAAUCCUUUGACCACAGGUCUUCAGCUCAGAAUCCGUCUCAGGACGGGGAGGAAAGACAAUAGCACCAUUCACCACAAUCUUAUCAGGAUCUAGAGGAGAAAGGUCCAGGCCAGGAGCAAUAACUCCGACCUGUUCCUUAAAGAUCCUCUAGGCCUCCUCUGAGCUCUCCGCUACCCAAGAGUGAUUUUCCACGACGAGAUCAGGAACAUACAGGGGCACAAAGAAGAGCUCGACUUGCUCCCUGAAGUUCGAGAAGAAGCUCAGAUAAGAGAAGCAGCGUUGAAACAAAGGAUGACUACAAGGUACAACAAAAAAGUCAUUCGAAGGAGUUUCACCCCUGACGACUUAGUCUUGAUCAGAAACGACAUUGGAGUCAACAAAUCGGGGGAGGGAAAGCUCGCUGCUAAUUGGAAAGGACCAUACAAGGUCAAGGAGGUCUUAGGAAAGGGCUAUUAUAAGGUGACCGACUUAGGCGGCACCGAGUUACCAAGGUCAUGGCAUGCUUGUAAUAUGAAAAGGUACUACAGUUAAAAGAAAACUCUACUCCCUGAUGUACUCUUUUCCCAGCUUCAUGAUUUUUUCCCAGAAUCAAAGGGUUUUUCUGGAGAAGGGUUUUUAACGAGGCAUCAUAGUAGAGGCUAAGGGAAAUAAAUUAUCAAAAGCCCUUAGUUACAAUAAGGUACCUCCUCAACUAAUAAAGAUCUCUUUUAGUUAUUUAAAAUAUCUCUUUUAAAUUCCCUUUUUUAUUCUCCUUCUACGAAACGCGCCGAUUUAAGCUCGACAAAACGUGAAAAUCCCAUGAACCGACCUAGAUGGUCGUCAGGAUAAAACGACGAGGUACAAAUCGGCGUAAAGAGGCCAUAGAAGUCGAUCAUGAUAAACUCGGGAGCGGUCCGACUCAUGAGUCGGAAUGCGACACCGAGUAAAAAUAAAAUGAAUCGCAAAAGUAGCCUAAGUCACGAAAGGCUCAAUAAAACGAAAUUGAGUACUAGGAAUAACAAAAAGAGAUAGGAAAAACCAAGGAAAAUUGUAAAGCUACCUUGAAGAUCAAGGAGAUUCAGAAAAGCAGGCAAGCCCCAAAGAAAAGGUUUUUCUAGAAAAGAAUCAAAAGAACCACGAACAGAAAAAGCAUGCGCGCAUAAGAGUCAGGGGGAACGCCAGGAGCAGGAGUCGAAGAGGAAGUCGGAAGAAUGGUAGAGAAACUCGGAGUGUCCUUAGAGCGAGGAGGGGACUCUACGAUCCUCUGCCCCCGAGUCUUUAAAUCAGACUCAGACUCCACUAUGGGGACAGGAGGAUCCACGAUGGCACCAUCAAUAACAAUCUUAUCAGGGUCCAAAGGAGAAAGGUCCAAGUCAGGAGCAAUAACUCCGACUUGUUCCUUGAAAAUCCUCCAGGCCUCAUCAGCACCAUCCGCAAUAGAGUCCUCCAACUCGGUGUAGGCCUUCCGAGCAUUCAGCAAGUCGUUCUUUACAGACACAAGAUCAGCAAAUAAACUAUUGUAGCUGGCUUGCGCUGCUUUCCUCAAAUCUACCUCCAUGUUGCAUUGGGCUUGCAACUUCUACCCCUUCUCUCGGAGGCUGUCCCUCUCCUCCUUCAGUUUGGCGACCUUCCCCUCCAACUCCCUCUCAUGCUCCUGAUAUAUGCGAAGCCUACCCUCUAGCUCCUCGACCCUCGAGGUCGUCCCUAAAGAGCUGAUAGGAGUCUUCUCAAAUAUAUCCAAGAGUUUGCCGCAAACCCCCGCCGUCUUGAGACUUUCCUCAACCACAGUGGUGAGGUAAUGCCGAACAGAAACAUCAUCCAUACUCAUACGAGCAUGAGGAUAGAUGUUCUUUCGGACGAACGCAAGAGCGUCCGCCUCACCAGAAGCGCCGGACUCCAAGGUCUUGCGCUUCUUUAGCUCUGGUUCGGGAGUAGGUCGGGCGGAAGGGGGUGGCAGAGAGGAGGCAUAGGAAGAAAUCACAAUAGGUUGGGAGGAAGUCCCAACAUUCCGAGGAGGAGGAGAAGGAGAGACAGCCACCCUAGCACCACCAGAUCUGGCACGAGACUUCGCUUUGGCUUCCUGAACCCUCUGGAAAGACUCUUGAGCAUUUUUCUUUGCCAUCUCUGCAAAAACAAAUUGGCAGCUAAAAAUCAGACAAGUCGGUAAAAGAAAUUGCAAGUCGGAGAUAAACGAAAAGCGCAAAAGGCUACCUAGUUGUGACUGGACAAAGGUCGGCGACCCCUGGAGAAACUUUUUAGUAUCCAAAUAUGGGGCCCUCCCCCACACUUCUCGGAGGAACCCCACAAUGGCCGCCUCCACCUCAUCCAGGUCGUCCAGACCAUAUUUCUCGCAGGGAGAGGCCUCUAGCCAAUAUAAAGGGAACCGGGGAGAAGAAUCAUCAUCCAGGAAAAAGGGGUGGUGACCCUCUACUGCUUGAACUUUGAAAAAAUAGUUUUUGAAAUCAUGAAAGGAUUCGUCAAAAAGGGUAAAGAGCCUCCGACCUUGAAUGGCACGGAAGGACACCCACUGUUGUUUAUUAUUUAACCCACUGAAGGGCUUGGUCAUAUGGAAGAGAUAGAAGAAAAUUCUCAGAGAAGUCGAAAACUCUAAAGCCUGGCUAAUAAAUUGGUAAAUUUUAAAAAAACCCCAAGAGUUGGGGUGAAGCUGGGUGGGGGCAACCCGGCAAUGACGCAACACAGACAUUUCAAACUCUGAAAAGGGGAGAAAAAUGCCCAAACGAGUAAUCAUACUCUCAUACAUAAAAAAGAAAUGAGGGGCCGUCUCGUCGGCCCUCCCGAAACAAACCCGGUCUUCUGGACCCGGGACUAUCAACUCGUACUUCGGCUCAUCUUCUUCAGAAGUACAAAUUCUAUAGUGAGUGCGUAGGUGGAUGAUAAAUUCAGUAUCAAAUGAGGGCUCCUCCCCUAGGACCGUAACAUCAACCCACUGGGAGAGAGCAUCUACGGAAGCCAUUUCUUUUCUUAAAAAAGGGUGACAAGAAACCUACAAAAGAAAAGGAAAAUCAACACACAGUCUCUAAGGGAAGGGGUACGGAACUAAAGCCUACAAACCAAAUCUACCUACAAGAUAAAAGCACGCAAAUAGAACGCAUGUUACAGAAAGGGAAAAAGCUAACCUUUAAAGUCUGAAAUCAAGACUGGAGGAAGCAAAAGCCUUCGAAACGCAAGAACGCAGUACGAACAAAUACAAGGGAAAUUUGAAAGAUUGCAGAAACGAAACAACGAAAGAGAGGGAAAGUAUUUAUAAAGACGUUAGGGGCAUAAUGGUAAAACUGGGGCAACUCUUAAUAAAGGUGCACCUUUAAUUUUUUAUAUUUCAUAUUUUGAAACCUUGACAAUAUAAUCAAAAUGUCCCUUUUUUUAGUCACAAAAAAUGUCCUUUUUUUGUAUAUGUCGUUAAACAAUCAUUUAGAACUCAACUUUUAUACAAUUAGCUCUUGAUGAUAUUCAUAGUUGAAAAAAUUCAUUCAAUUAGUGUAGUUAUUAUGAAAAAAAAAAACUAAAACUAAUUUCAAAAGAAGAAACACAAAUAGAUAGAUAAUAUUCUUUUGAGCAGAUUUCUAAAAAAGAACACUAAUCUUAUUUAAAUUUAAAAAUUGAUUAUUAUAACGGAAAUCUAAUAUGAAGUUCUCAAAUUGAUUAUCAAGUGUCGAAAGUUGAAUAAAAAAUUAUUGUGGGGUCAAAUUUAAUAAUUUAAUGGAGGCAAAUAAAUAUUAUUAUUAUAUACUACUCAAUAAAAUUUCAAACUGUAGGGGGGGCGCUUGCUCCCACACCUAUAGGAGUGGAUCCAUUGGUGAUAAUAACCCUAUGAUAUACUAUUAGUAUUAUAAAUAAUGAACACAUUAUUUGAUAUAUAGUAAACUUUUUUUACUAGUAACAAAUUUAAUUUUUUAUCUCUUUAAACUAAAUUAAUAAUUCUAUUAUGUUUUAUUUCAUUUAGUAUUAGUAGCCUACUCAUAGUGUAUUUUAGUGUAAAGAUAUCAAAUAGAAUUUACGUACAAGUCGGACGAAGGAGCACCAAGUACCAGGUCCACUCGAAAGCCACCUCCUUCACCCGUUUGGGCCAACCAACGCCAUCCGGCCCAUCAAUCUCCGGUUACCCACCGUAACAAUAUUAAUAAUACAUAUUGUUAUAAGGCUAUAGAUCGAUGGAGAUUUAUCAAUAUAAGAAUAAUGCAGAUUGGUUAAAAUUUUACAUAUAUUAAAAUUCAAUUAAAUUUACAUAUAUUUUACUCAAAAUCAAGUAUUAUGAUCUAGAUAAUUUUCACAAUAAGGUGAAAACUAAUAAACACAUUAUUUGAUAUAUAAUAAAAUUUUUCUGUAUAAUAACAAAUUUAAUUUUUUAUCUCUUUAAAUUAAAUUAAUAAUUCUAUUUGAUAUCUUUGCAUUAAAUUAAUAACCCUAAUGUCAUACGUACUCCGUACUCUGUACAAUUUUGAAAAUCGAAGAUGAGCGCUGGAGUGAGCGGGGAAGAGACUUUGAGGGUGAAACACGGUGAGGCAGCCGAUAAUGUCGGCGGAAGAGAUAAGGGGGAGAGUGGGGGAGGGAUUGCAUCAGGAGAAAAGGAGGAUCAUAUUUCGGGAGGGGUUUCUAAGCCUUUGAAGGUUUCUUUCAGGGACACUUUCUUUUCUAUUUAGUCACCAAAAAAAAUAACCCUAAUGUCAUACGGUCAUUAUUAAUGUAUUAAUCGUAUUUUAAUGUUUAUUAUUUAUAUAUUUAAAAAUUAUAUUUCAAAAUUAUUUAUUUAGUUUCAUAAUAAAUGAUAUUUUUAAAUUUGAAUAAUUUAUUAAUUAGUUUGUAUUUAUUAUAUUAUAUAUUCAAUAAUUUAUUGAAAAAGAAUAUUAAUAUAAUGAAUAAAAAAAUAAUUUAAAAAAAUAUCGUUUAAAAGAUAAGGACAAAUAAACUCCUAACUAAUUUAAAUUUAGAGACAAUUAAGUCUCUAUUCAUUUUUAAAUUUGACACGUCAGUAUUUUCCGUUCAAAAUUAACAGAAAAACAGUACCGCGUUGUCUCACGAAAUAAAGAAUAGAGACCAAAGUGGAUCGUAUUUUUUUUAAGGGGUCACAUUAUCAUUCUGAAAAAUGGAUAGGGAUCAUAUUGAUAGUUCACUUAAAUUUUAAAGUAAAGCAUGCGUAUUAAAUUUGAAAAGAACAAAAAAAGGUACGAAGAUGCUGGAGGUGUAGUACUAUUAUUGGAGUCCUGAAAGUGUUCAUCAUUCAGGUGUAGUACUAUUAUUGGAGUACUGAAAGUGUUCACCAUCGUUGAAUGAUGGUGAUAAAAAAAAAUUAGGGUAAAGUAUACUUUUUAUCCUUGAAAUUUGGCAAAAGUUUCAAAAAUACCCCUAAGUUUUAUUUUGUUUCAAUUUUGUUCCAAAAGUUUUCGAUUUACAUCAAAUAUACCCUAGACGGGUAAAUUUUCAAAAAAUUUAAAACCAAUCUAACAAUAAUGCAUAAAACUUAUGCUUGAUUUGCUUAUGUUGAGGGUUGUUCUUAUGAAAUUGUUGUUGAAUUGAUCUUAAAUUUUUUAAAAAAUUAGCCGUUAAGGGUAUAUUUGAUGCAAAUCGAAAACUUUUAGGACAAAAUUGAAACAAAAUAAAACUUAAGGGUAUUUUUAAAACUUUUGUCAAACUUCAAGGACAAAAGAUAUACUUUACCCAAAACAUUAUUUGGAGAGAAAUUAUGAUUGAACGAUGAUCGAAAAUUAGGAAUUGGAAGGAUAUGUGCAGGGAAAAUUAGGAAUUGGAGGCAAAAUUAGCGAACACUCAAAAUGCAAAUUUUUCUUCAGAUAUCGAACCAAAUUUUAGUUUAAAAAUAAGUGAAAAUGAUAGCGAUAUGAUUAAAGAUCCUUUGAGAAAAUGGAAGCAAACAAAGAAAAUAAAGUCGAGUAAACUCAAUAAGAAUGAGAUAGAUAGCUAUUUGGAAGAUAAUGUAACCAAAGAUUUUAAUAGAUUUGAUGUAUUGAGGUGGUAGAGAAGAAAAACACUUAGGUAUCGAGUUCUCAUGACUAGAAAUAUAUUAGUCAUUCAUGUUUUUAACUGUAAUAUCUGUUUCUACUUUCUACUAUAUUGAACUUAUAUCAAAUUUAUAUUAAGCAAAUUCAAAAUUACAGAAAGAUUAAUUCAUAUAAUUAACAAAAUAAAAAAAAACUGAAAAGCAGAAGAACUCUGCAUCAAGCCAUCGAUUCAUAUAUUUAACAAGACAAUUGAACUAACAAUCUUCCAACAAACAAUUCAUAUAGUGAAUUAACAAAAUAUAAAAAAUAAUUCAAAAACCCAAGAACUCACAGUGGCAGAGAGCAGAGAUCAGAACAAAACACCAACAAUCUAGCUCUGUUAACAACAAUGAAUGAACAGCGAAGAAAAUCAACUCAGAAAACAACUAAUUAACCCAGAAAAAAAAUCAACAAUCAACCUAAUUAAAUCCAGAAAAAUAGUAAUUAACUCCCAAAAAUAAAAUCUGUAAGCUAUAACUAGGAAUAUAAUCUAAAGAAUCAAUAAAGUAGUGGAAUUAAAAAGGAUGAUAGCAAUUGCAAAAAUAGAAAGUGCAAAAUUAUAUUGAUGUCAUGGCAUUGCCAAAGUCCUCUGACCCAACAGACACAGAAUUUACAAAACUAUGAUACAUAUUCAGCAACAAGGAGAUGUAAUAUCAAUUUGAGUUGAUGUAUCUUACCUUCUUUUAUCAAUUCAAUAAGCCUCUAGCAACCAUUUCCCGAAGAAGUUUCUCCGCCAUGUCAUUCUCAUCUUUUUCAAACAAAGCACUAAUAAUAGUUUCAAAAGUUACAGCAUCUGGUAAGCAACCAUUGCCUUCCAUUUUUGACAAGAGUGCCAAUGCUUCUUCAAACAAGCCCUCUUUGCAAAGCCCAUUGAUCAUAAUAUUGUAUGUCCUCACAUUUGGACGAUAGCCUUUAACGGAAAGAUCUUGAAAAAUCUCUUUUGCAUCUAUAAGUCUUCCACUUUUGCAUAGGCCAUCUAUAAGUAUAUUGUAAGUGAAUAUAUUUGGAUCAAUGGCACACUCUUUCAUUUGAUUGAAUAACAUAAAUGCCUCGUUAGGUUGUUGGUUUUUGAACAUCCCAUCCAACAACGAAUUGUAAGUGACUACAUUAGCGGGUUGACCUCUAUGAUGCAUCUCGAUAAGAAGCUCCAAAGCACGGGAGAUUCUCUUUGAUUUGCUCAAGCCAUCAAUAAGAGUGCUGUA
This 132381-nucleotide long non-coding RNA is filed under the name Arachis ipaensis. Its description in RNAcentral is "long non-coding RNA (AIPA_LNC001305)". Lineage: Eukaryota; Viridiplantae; Streptophyta; Magnoliopsida; Fabales; Fabaceae. The record is from RNAcentral.